CUGCCAAGAGUUUCAUGGCUGAGUGCAAGGUCCUCAGGAAUAUUCAGCUUCGGAAUCUCCUUGGAAUCAUAACUUCAUGUUCAAGUGUGGACAACAAAGGUUGUGAUUUUAAGGCUCUAGUAUUUGAGUUCAUGCCUAAUGGGAACCUAGAUAGCUGGCUGUAUCAUGAAUCCAGAAAUUUAAGCUUCAGACAAAGAUUGGAUAUCGCAAUUGAUGUGGCUAUUGCUCUGGAUUAUCUUCAUCACCAAUGCCAGACACCAAUUGUUCAUGGUGAUCUAAGGCCAAGCAAUGUUCUUCUUGAUGAUGACAUGGUUGCCCAUGUUGGGGACUUCGGGUUAGCCAAGCUCCUUCCUGAAGCUAACGAGAUUCUGAGUAGUGAUCAAACCAGUUCGGCACUGAUGAUGGGAUACAUCGGUUAUGUUGCUCCAGGUACACUUCCUCACGUUUUUUUUUUCCUCAAUCCUAAAAAUAAGUUAUGAAAUUGUUGGUUCAAAUUGGCAUGCAGGAUAGCAUAGCUAUACUCGGCCUAUUAGCCUUCUUACUUUUCAAUGGACUUAUAAGUAAAAAGAUGAAUAUAUGCAUUGCAGAAUACGGAUUAGGUGGCUCCAUGUGGCCUCAAGGAGAUGUGUACAGCUAUGUCAUCCUUUUGCUGCAGAUGUUCACGGGAAGGAGACCAACAGAGAGCAUGUUUUCAGAUGGUUUGAACCUUUACACUUUCUCUAAGAUGCCAUUGCCAGAACGUGUAAUGGAGAUUGCGGAUUCAAACUUGUUUAGGGAGUCAGAUGAAGCAAUUAGCAAUGUAGGAAAUCAACGUGAAACGGAAGGUAGAAUGUGCCAUUGCCUGGUUUCAAUUGCCAGAAUUGGAGUAGCAUGUUCUGAAGAAUCAGUUAGUGAUCUAAUGGACAUCGAAGAUGUGGUGAUGGAACUGAAUAUCAUUAAGGAAGUGUUUCUUGGGGCAGGAAUCCAUCGGGAGAGAUAUAUCAGUGCAAGUAGGUGGGGAAGGAGCAUCUCAGCUGAUGACUGAACAAGAAAGCGACUGAUCUGCUAGAUGGUCCAUCCAGACGUCUCACGUUACUCUCUCUCUGGGGGAUAACCCCUGUUUUAUUUUGAAUUUUGAUGCAUCCCUUUAUAUCUGCAUUUCUCUUCUGUCACUCUUAUAUAAGAUAUCGCCUGUUUUAUAUUGAAUGUUCAUGCAGGCUUUGUAUACAUAGAUUGUGGUGUAAGUUAGAAUCGGCUUCACAGUGUAGGAGUCCUAUUCUCCUGUGCUCCUAUUUACAAAAUGAAUAAACUUCUCCGACAAAAGACUAUAUAUAUAUGGGUUAUGCUAAGGUACCGAAAUGUGGUUUUUCGGUACCAUACCCACUUUUUUGGGCUCACAAGAUGAAGACACAUGGCAUGGAAAAAUAAUAAAAAAGUGAACAAAACCAAUUCUUCAGGUUGGUAACCGGUUGCCAUGGGAACUAAUCCCAUGCAACACACAUUUUUACAUCCAUUACAAUAACCAAUUAUAAAUUCCUGUUUAAUGUAAUUAUUUUGUUUGGGGAAUUUUUUUUGUGCAACAGAAAAAUAAAGAGAAAUUUGAAAAAAUAAAUAGCAGUUUUUUUUUUGUAAUAUAAAGUGAUUAAACCCAAGAUAAUAAUUAAAUUUUAAAUAAAAAAAAUUCAAACUAAUUUGGUGAUAAAAUUUAUAAAUUAAGGAAAAGUAAAUAUAAUUUAUUUUAACAUCAAAUAAUUUGUUGACAAAAUUUGAAAAAUAUUUGAAGUGUGAAAAGCAAUAUAAUUUGUUUAUGAAGUGAAAAAAUAUAUAUAUAUAUAUAAAUAAAUGAGAUAAAAUAUAAAUAUUAAAUUUAUAUUAAAUUAAUUGUGUACUAAUUAUUAAUUGAUAAUAUAUGACCAAAUUAUUUCUUAGCGUUUAAAUUGAAUUACAGAAAAAAAAUUAGUUGAAAUAUUGAAAAUACGAAAAAUGUAUAAUUACUAACCAUAUGGAAAUCAAAACGCCUCACAAUAUUUUUUCGUACAUUUCCAUUUUGAAUUUUGAAGAAUCCAUUUCACACCCUCAGACAAGCGGAAAAUGGUGAGGAUUUCUCACAGUCUUCGUACCCCGUCCAAUUUUAUAAUAUUUUUGGAUUUGGAUUUUUCCGGGACUCAUUCAAACACCGCCUAAGUGGAAUCAACCUAUUUAAACAAUAUCCAAGGCAAAUGAAGUCCAAAAAAAAAUUUUAAACUUCAAAGAAGUGCAGAUUUGGGAGAGUAUGAAGAAUGUGAGGAUUCCUCACAUUCUGCGUACCUUGUCUAAUUUUUUAAUAUUUUUGGCUUUUAAUUUUACCGGGACUCAUUCGAACACCACCUAAGUGGAAUCAACCUAUUUAGACAAUAUCCAAGGCAUAUGAAGUCCAACAAAAUUUUUAAAACUUCAAAUAAGUGAAAAUUUGGGAGGGUACGAAGAAUGUGAGGAUUCCUCACAUUGUUCGGACCUUUUCUAAUUUUUUAGUAUUUUUAGGUUUUAAUUUUUUCGGGACUUAUUCGAACACCGCCUAAGUGGAAUCAACCUAUUCAAGCAAUAUCCAAGCCAUAUGAUGCCCAAAAAAUUUUUAAAAAGUCAAAAGAAGUGGAGAUUUGGGAGGGUACGAAGAAUGUGAGGAAUUGUGAAUUUUUUAGUAUUUUUAUAUUUUGAUUUUUUCGGAUAUCAUUUGACCACCUUCUAAGUGUAACGAACCUACUUAAACAAGAUCCAAGCCAUAUGAUGCCCCAAAAAAUUUUAAAAAGUCUAAAGAAGUGGAGAUUUGGGAGGGUACGAAGAAUGUGAGGAUUGCGAAUUUUUUUGUUUUUUUGGAUUUCUAUUUUUCCGGAUAUCAUUUGACCUUUUUCUGAGUGUAUUGGACCUUUUUAUGCAACAUCCAAGCCAUAUGAUGCCCCACCAAAUUUUAAAAAGGCCACAGAANNNNNNNNNNNNNNNNNNNNNNNNNNNNNNNNNNNNNNNNNNNNNNNNNNNNNNNNNNNNNNNNNNNNNNNNNNNNNNNNNNNNNNNNNNNNNNNNNNNNCCAAAAAAUUUUAUAAAGUCCAAAUAAGUGGAGAUUUGGGAGGGUACGAAGAAUGUGAGGAUUCCUCACAUUCUUCGUACCCUUGUGAAUUUUUUAGUAUUUUUCGAUAUCGAUUUUUCCGGAUGUCAUUUGACCACCUUAUAAGUGUAACGAACCUACUUAAACAACAUCCAAGCGAUAUGAUGCCCCAAAAAAUUUUAAAAAAGCCUAAACAAGUGGAGAAUUAGGAGGGUACGAAGAAUGUGAGGAUUCCUCACAUUCUUCGUACCCUUGUGAAUUUUUGAGUAUUUUUCGAUUUCGAUUUUUCCGGAUGUCAUUUGACCACCUUCUAAGUGUAAUGGACCUAUUCAAGCAACAUCCAAGCCAUAUGAUGCCCCAAAAAAUUUUUAAAAGUCCAAAGAAGUCGAGAUUUGGGAGGGUACGAAGAAUGUGAGGAUUGUGAAUUUUUUAGUAUUUUUGGAUUUCGAUUUUUCCGGAUAUCAUUUGACCAGCUUCUAAGUGUAACGGACCUAUUCAAGCAACAUCCAAGCCAUAUGAUGGCCCACGAAAUUUUAAAAAGUCCAAAGAAGUGGAGAUUUGGGAGGGNNNNNNNNNNNNNNNNNNNNNNNNNNNNNNNNNNNNNNNNNNNNNNNNNNNNNNNNNNNNNNNNNNNNNNNNNNNNNNNNNNNNNNNNNNNNNNNNNNNNAAAAAAAAUUAAUUACUAAAUUUUCAUUUAUAUACUUCAUGUUGUCUAGUUUCGAAAAUAGAACAUGGUAAUAACUUUCUAUAUAAAAUACAAGAACUUUUAAAAGUUUACAUUAAAAAGCUAAUGAUUUUUGAAAACUAUUUAAAAAUAAAUAAAGGUAUUCAUAAAAAUUUAAUAUCUUAAAUUAAAAAUUUUUUGAAAGUUAUUUUUAACAAUAUAAACUUGGUCUACACUUUUUAUAUUUAUAUUUAUAUUUUUUAGAAGUUCUUACUAUUUUUAUUUAAUUUAAAAAAAAACACCAAAAAGUAUGUCAAAUGGACAUGAAAUUAUAAAUUAUCAAGUGAUUUUCAAAUAGUACUAAACAUGAGAAAUAUUUUCUAUAUGUUUUUUUUUUCUUAACAGGAAUGCAAUAUAUUUUUUAUUUUUAAAAAAUGGAUGUUGAGAUGUAAUAAAAUUUCUAUUAUUUUUUUUAUUCAUUUCAUAAAUUAAAUAUAAACAUGCAAUAAAAUAUUGUGUUGGAUAUAAUAUCUAAAAUACCAUUAUCAUAUAAUAUCUUAAGAUUUGACCGGAUAUAAUCCGAGAGAUAUAUUAUGUCUUAUUUUGUUCUAUUCAACCAAUCAAACUUAAAUUACCUUUUUUUUUAAUGUUUUUAUCCAUCAAUUAAAUGCAUCCUCCAUAUUUUAUAUUGAUCUUACACAUGGAUAGGCAAAAUGGAACUAAUUAGGUUGCAUCAUAUAUGUAAUUUAAGUUUUAUCAUGUUAUACCCGAGUUCUUUAACUUUGUACCUCAAAUAUGAUUUUAAUACUUUGUACCUUGACCUCAUUCCCAUUACUAUUUUUAUUCAACGGUCCAAAUUUUAUCAUAAACUUUGAAUGACUUGAAUUUGAACUUCAAUAGGUGUCAAUUUUAUACCUUAGACUUUUUCGGACCUUAAAAACAUAAAAGAAAAAUAAAAUUUUAAAUAAUGAAUUUUAAGAAAAAUGAUGCAAUGAUGCCUUUUAUCUUAAUUUGAAAAAAAAGAAUGAAAUUGAAAGAGACAAAAAAAUUAAAAUAUAAAAAAGGAAAAUAGAAAAAUGAAAUUUAUUAUCAUUUUUUAUCAUCUUUUGUUUGGUCUUUUAUUUCUUCAAUUUUUUUUUUGUAUUUAAAUAUAAGAAAAUCACAUUCCUUAAUAUUAUUUUCUUAUUUCUUUAACAUUUAAAAAAAAAAUGAAACAUAUUCUUAUUAUUUGAAAAAUGAAUUCAAUUGAAUCUAAAUUAUUAAUUUUAUGGAGGAAAAUGAUAUGAUACCGACAUAUCAAGCACAAAAUCUAUGGUACGAAAAUAUAUUGUUAACUUUAAGCUCUUGAAUUAGGGUGCGAAAAAAUGCUUGAUUACAAAUGAUUUUAUAUGCAAUAUAAAAAAAAGAAAUCUAUUAUUAUUUUUAUUUAACCAUGCGAUGAUUAGCAUUCAUUUUUUUUUUUUAUAUGAAGUAAAAACAUGUAGAAUAGAAUGUGCGUGACAUUUAUUAAAUUAAUUCAAGAAAUGUACAUAUGUCAUUUUCAAAGUAGCCAAGUAAUUCAAAGAUGCCACCAUCCUUUCAUCAAACAAUUCAUAAGCUUUAAAUAUCCAAACUCUAUCGACCACACACCUAUCAAUUGCAAUAAAUACCUAACCCUUGUCAACACCUAAUUCAACCAACCACAAUAAACACCUAACCCUUGUAAGCCACUAAUUCAACCGAUUUCAAAUGCACUAAGAAUUAAUCCAAUAAAUUAUAUUCUAAAAAAAGUCAUUCAUUGGAUAAGAAAAAGAGACAUUUUUAACCAUGUACCCAUUGAAGAAAAAUGAUAGAAAGAUUAGAGUCCGAUAUAAUAUCGAAUAAAUAUAUAUCAAAAAGUAGGACUUAUUAUUUGAUUUUAUUGUUUUGUAUUUAAGUAUUCUAUUUCUUUAUAUCUUGAUAUCAUUUUUUAUACUUCCAUUUAUUCGUACUCUUUUAUAAUAAUUUAGAUUUUAUCAUAGAUUUUUAAUGAUCAAUAUUAAAAAUUUGGGAGGUAUUGAAUUUAUACCUUAAAAGUUCCUUUUAUUAAAUAUACAACAAGAGAUGAUAUAUAGAAGAUUAGAAAGUAAAUUAUUUUCAGAGAAUAUCACAAAAUUUUGAUACACAAAAUACAAAUUACUUGAAUAUAAAAUCCUAUCAAGGAUUAAUAUAAAUUUAUUAAACAAAAACUUCCAAGUUUAUGCUUUUACAUUCUUGAGGAAUUUAAUCUAUAUAUAUAUAUUGGCUUGAACAUUGACCUCGCAAUGGACUAAAUAUUUCACUUUGACAAAACUUUUUCGUGACCACUCAAUUAAUUAAGGAAAAGACACAAUUAAAAUGAAUAAACAAAAGAAAAAAAGAGUUGUGCGCCUUCUCCCCACCACACAAUCCGUACUUCCCAACAUGGGUUGGCAAAAUAUAAUAAGGACUUUUCCAUCACUUUCUAUUAAUAUAAAAGAAAAACAUAAAAAUUAAAGACUAUAUUUUGCUUUGAAAAUAUUAAAUAAAGGAAAAAAACUGUUAAAAAAAUAAUUUUAUUAUAUUUGACUUUAUUAUGAAAAAUAUAAUUAAAAUUAGUUAGAAAUUUAUAUAAGCGAUAUUUUUCCGAAAUAUGGCCGAAAUUUUUCGACAUUUCAAUCCUUGCUCUCCACCGCACAACUUCACGGUAAAGGGGACCCACCUUCUAAACUAUACCUAAGAGGCGCAAAUCUAAUGAAUAAAAUUUUAGAUCAUCUCCGGAAGACUUUUGUUAUUUUUUAACUUCUAUACUCCUUGCAGUUGUAGAAAACACAUCUUCUUUGGAUUAUCAUCUGGUAUCAUAGUCAAGUUGAUCAGAUGGUUAUCUCAAUCCAACCUACCAUCCCAUUUUUUGAAGGAAAGGGAUAUGAUACUUGGAGCAUAAAGAUGAGGACUCUUUUUAUCUCCGAAGAUCUGUGGGAGCUUGUGGAUAAGGGUUAUGUAGAAGAGGAAAUUCCAAGAGAUGCUAUGAGAGAUGUACGAAAGAAUGAUGCCAAGGCAUUGUUUUUUAUUCAACAAGCAAUCACAGAGAGUAUUUUUCCUCAAAUUUCAAAGGCAACGAAGUCUAAGGAAGCAUGGGACACUUUGCAAACAAAAUAUCAAAGCACAAGCCUGGUAUUAGUUACAAUGUAUUGAAUUUUUAGAUUCAGUCAAAUAAAGUAACAUAUACAUGUUUCCUACUAAUUUGUAAGAUUGGAAUGUGUUGUUGGAUUAAAGGGUUCUGACUACAACUUUAUAUUAAUGGGUUGUUGGAUAAUAUAUUUAGGAGUUUAUUUGAGUUUUUGUUGCUUAUUUAAUGGCAAGUAUGAUGGAUAAUAUUUGGGUUGAACUCAAUUAGAUUUCUUAUCUUUCAUCCUGAACUCUUUUUAAAUGCUUUAUUAUUUUUUUAACUUCUCUCUUCUAGCAAGGCAUCUUUUUCUUAUUAUUGUUAACGAUACAAUGACAUAAUAUAUCACUUCCAUUCAGCUCACUUUAGUUGAAUUCACUUUUAUUUGGGAGGAUUGAAGGACCUAAUAAAUACUUAGGAUAUGUUUGGUUCCAAAAGUAGGAAGAAAACAAAAACAAAAUAAAAUAAAAUAUUAAAUAAAAUUAUUUUCUCAUAUAUGGUUUUACUAUGAAAAAAUUAAAUAUAAUUAAAAAAUUAUUUAUUUUUAAUUUAUUUAACCUUUAUACAAAAUAGUUAAAAUAACUUAAAUGAGUUUGAAGUAAGUAGAAAUAUAAUUCAUUAAUUUUCAUACUAUUUUUUUAUUUUCAAUUGUUUCUUCUACUUUUCUUCUUUUCUUUACAUUUUCACUCAAAUUUCCUGGGUGCUUCUAACAACGGUGCAGAAUUACUGAAUUAACUCGUGUUCUGAUUUGAAUUAGGUUGCAGCUCAAGAUGGAGAUGGCAGCCAAACUGACAUCCCAGUCAUGGAUGACUCUGUGUAUGAGGCAGCAGCGAAGGGCGACAUUGACGUUCUGAAGAAAAUUCCAGAGUCCGAAUUUCAUGCCCAAUUAAGCCCAAAGCAUAACACAAUACUCCAUAUUGCAAGUGAAUUCGGUAAAAUAGAGUGUGUGAAUUGGAUCCUUGAUUUGCCUUCAUCUUCAUCUCUACUGCAACGCCCUAAUUUGAAUGAGGACACUCCCCUUCACCUUGCAGCAAGGCAAGGGCAUUUGGAGGUCGUGGAAGCUCUUAUAAAUGCUGCAAGAGAACCUACCCUAGAUAUUGAAACUGGGCCUGGACCACAUAAGGUUAUGCUGAGGAUGAAAAAUAAGGGGAAAGACACAGCCUUGCAUGAGGCAGUGCGAUAUAGGAAUUAUGGGGUGGUGAUGUUAUUGAUUGAGGAAGACCCCGAUUUUACCUAUGGUGCUAAUGAUUCAGGUAUCACUCCUCUUUACAUGGCUGUGGAGGGAGGAUUUACAGCCGCGGUGAAACUAAUCAUUGAGAAAAGUAGUACUUCGCCUUCUUACAAUGGCUUAAUGGGUAGAACUGCCUUGCACGCUGCUGUAAUAUGCAAUGACAUAGGUAGUAUGCUCACAACACUAAUGAUUAUGUUGUUUAUUUUGUUCAUUUGCUUAAUUUUCUUAAACUUUUUUUCCUUUCUCUAUUAAUCAGAAAUGACAAAGACAAUACUGGAAUGGAAGCCAGAUCUCACCAAAGAAGUAGAUAAGAAUGGAUGGUCUCCACUUCACUAUGCUGCAGAGAGAGGUUGUGAUCCAGAAAUAGUGAGGCUAUUGCUAGAAAAAUCAGAAAAGAGUGUAGCCUACCUUAGGAGCAAAGAUGGGAAGAAGACUGCCCUUCAUAUUGCAUCUUUCCACCAUCAUACAAAAAUAGUAGAGAAGAUCCUAUCUCACUCUCCUGGUUGUCGGGAGCAGGUUGAUGAUAAGGGCAAUAAUAUUUUUCACUUUGCCAUGAUGAAAGAGGGAGACGAUGAUUUUAACCCUAGUAGUUACUUCUUCAAUUAUUGGUUAAGGUCGAGAGGACUUGUAAAUGAGAAAAAUGCUCAAGGAAACACACCCAUCCACCUGCUCUCUCUUAAUCAAAUUUUAGAUUUUCGGUUUGUAUGGAAUUAUAAAGUGGAUAAGAAGGCGUACAACAAUGAAGACUUGACAGCUUAUGACAUAAUUUUGAGGGACAAAGAGGACAUUUCCGAGGAAAAGGUAAGACUCCCACAUAACUUCAAUUAUAUGUUUAUUGGCAAAUGCUAGUUUAAUUUACCCCGUUUCUCAUUUCUUUGAGCUGUGUUAUGUUUUGUUAUUUUUGGUAUGUUUGGAUUCCUUCAACCUAAACUUACCAUCCUUUCAGUCAUAGCCAAUCGAUUCAUGUUGGGAAUAAGAUCCAUCGCAUAAGCGUUAGCUAGUUUCUUAUUUUCUUGUCUCCAAAGUUUCAGGAUGGGAUAAUAGAGAAGGAAAAGAAAGAAAUAGAGGAAAAAAAUUACAAAAUGUUUAUUUCUUUUCAUUGUUCAUUGAGAAAUUAAGCAAAAGAAAUUUAAAUUUAAGAGGAAUGUACUUAGCAUAAACUUUUUUUUUUCAUAAAAAAAAAAGGGAAAUGAGAAAAAAAAUUGUUAGUAUCUUUUAUUUAGUAAUUUUUUUCUAAUCAUUUUUUCACUUGUAUCCAAAUGUUGAAAAAAGAAAAAAAAAACCAUCUUUCUUAAUUUUUUUUUUCCAUUACUUUCCAAAAUCAAAUGUAGUUUAAGAUUAAUUUGAGGAAAAGAAAAGGAAAAAGAGAAGAAAAUAAAAAGAUAAUAACAAUUUAUAAAAUUUUCUUUUAUUUUAUUGUUCAUAAAAAAAUUGAGAAAAAAAUUUAAAUUGUUGAGAAAUGCACUCUUUCCAAAUUUUUUCCAAUUUUUCUAAGGAAAAUAUUUUAUUUUUUCCAUUUUAUUUUAUUUUUUUAUAUUUCAUGAAUUCUUCUCAUACUAUAUUUAGUUUAUGAAAAACACUAAGGCUCUAUUUAUUUCAUUGUAAUUUUUUUUUCUAUUUUCUUUUCUUAAAAUUCUCCCUUAUGGUUUCUUUAAGAAAUAAACAUAGCCUUAUAAUUUGUUUUAGCUUUUUCUUUUUUUAUGACUAAAAAUAGUUUUAAGAUUUCUCAAGAACAUCAAGAAAACAUUUUUUCUUUUCCACAUUUUAAUUAUUUUUACCACAUUUUAAAGCAGUAGAAGGUGAAUAAGAUAAAGAGUUAAUAAAAUUUUAUUUUGCCUUUUCUUUUUCUUUUUAUCCUCAUGGAAUUAUUACCUAUACCUCCUAGAUGCAAAAAUAUGGUAAAACUAAAGGACGAUUCUUUUGUUUAUCUUUGUUGUUGAGAUCAUUGCAAAACAUGCGUUCCAAAACUUAUGAGGGUUAAAAAAUAAAAAUAAUUAAAAAUGAAAGGAAAGUUAGAACAUUUUUCCUUGUUUCUAAAUUAAUUGGAUUUAUUGAAUAAUUUAUGUUGAUGUUCAGAUUAAAAUGAAUUGGCACUCAUCAUCCUAUUUUUAUUAAGAAGUUUAGAUUAACCCCAAAUCUCUAGGAAUAAAUAAGCUUGAUUUGAUGUAUUUAAUUAAAGGUUGGUUAAGUUUGAUUGAUUUAUCACUUGUAUCAGAUUUUCAUUCAGCUUGUUUACCCACCAACGAGUGACUGAAUGUGAAAAAAGUGGAUUCAUCAAUUGAAUUAAAUUUAAAUGUUCCUCACAUCUGAUUUCAGGAUCGCAUCCAAUCUUGGUUGGAGGCUGUUACGACUGGACGUAUUUCUUCGUUUUGGGAGAAGGAAACUAAGAGACAGGAGAUAGAGCAAGAAAGGAAAGAAUACAUCUCUCAAUUACAAAAACAAGGGGAAACCCAUUUGAUAGUUUCUGCGCUUAUAACAACAGUAACUUUUGCUGCGGGUUUCACCUUGCCCGGUGGUUACAAAGAGGAUGAUGGCCAGGCAAUUUUAUCAAAGAAAGCAGCCUUUAGAGCAUUUGUUGUGACGGAUACCAUAGCCAUGGUAUCUUCACUAUGCGCCGUAUUUCUUCACUUUUUGAUGACCCUGCACAAACGUGGGAAGUUCCUUGAAAAACAUUUACUUUGGGCCUUUAGUUUGACCAUGGUUGGGAUGGGAGCAAUGGCCAUCGCUUUCGCAACCGGCUUGUACGCUGUUUUACCGCAUUCCUCGGGCCUUUCAGUUCUCACUUGCAUCCUCUGCUCUUGCUUUUUCCUCUCCAUUGCAGUUGAAUAUUGUAAAUUUUGGAGAGGUACGAUUUCGGAAUGGAUGUUUGGAUGAGCUAUUUUCUGAGAGGAGAGAGAGAACCGGGUCUGAGCUAACUGAUAUCCGAAGCAAGGAAAGCUGAAAGUAGGGAAUCAAAAUGUACUCAUUUGAAUGGGAAUUAUAUUUUAAAUCUGGGUGGAGUAUUGAACUCAUUUGUCAAUGGAUACAAUUGUGAAUACGAAUAAUGUUAGUAUUGGAAUUCAACGAGAUUUUUUAAUCUACACUAUGCAAUAUUUUAUGAAUUGGGGUUGGACUGGGCUGGCCCAACCAGGAAAUAUCUUCCGCGUUCACAAUUUUUAUAAGUUUAUAUUGAUGAAUGAUGAUGUCAAUUUUUAAUUAUUUUUUUCUAUUAUUGAUUCACAUCACUAAAAUCAAAUUUGUUAUAAACUGUUUUUGAUAAAUUUAUAUUAAUGAUAUCAUUUUUUUUUAUAAACUGUUUUUUCCAUUCAAUUAAAAUUAUUAUUUUUUUGUAUAAUUUCAUUAUGUAUAAAUUAUAUUUGAUGCAUUCAUUUUUUUUUUUUUUUUUUGUGAACUGAUUUUUUAUCCAUGGAUGUCAGUGUAUAAGAUUGGCAGUCAGAAUUUAAUUUCAUGAAUCAAUUCUUAUAAAAUUGAUACUACUAAAGUUAGAAUUGAUUAUUAUGAUCUUUAUUUUAUUUUUAAAAUUGAUUCUAAUAAAAUUGAGAUUAAAAAAUUAGAACUUUAUUCUGUAAAUUAUUUUUUAUAAAAUUUGAAGUGUUGUCUUGGAUUAUAACAAAAGACUUUUUUGGGUGUCUAGCACUUGAAUUGAGAUUACCAUGGCUUAUUUGAGUGUCUAGUCAUUGCGCUGGGAGUGAUUUGAAACAUGAACCUCAUGAUGGAAAAGUAAGAGAUAAGCCACCGAGCAAUAUAUCACAUUACUAAAUAUUUCUGUAUAAUCCUAUAAUGAUUUUUUUCCAACGUUUAUUUUUAUAAUAAUAGGUAUGAAAUUAUAUAAAUUGAUUUUUAAAAUUUUAAAUUAAUAAAAUAUGUGGAUAUAUAGAUAAAAUUAAAUAUUAUAAUUUUUUUUAUCUUAAAUAUCUUUAAACUUAAAUAUUAUAUAUAUUAUAUUUAAUAAAAUUUAAAAUAUUAAUAUAUUUAUACUUAUUUUUAUGAUUCAAUUUAACAUAUUAUAUAUAAAAAAUAAAUUAUUAUUAAAUUUUUAAUUGUUUAUUUUAAAUUUUAUAUAAUAUAUAUAUUAUAUAUUUAUGAUAUAAUUGAUUUGAUCAUUAGUCAACCAUGAAUUUGACUAUUGAAUUAUGAAUUAGUGUCUUUUUUAAGUCAAUAAAUGGUUCAUUUCUAAAAACAUUGUUAACACUUUUUUAUCGGGUGAAUUAAUCAAGAAAUUUAUUCUUGGCUCUUACACUUUGACCUUUUUAAGGUAUUCAGUUUAUUUUUUUUUUUGGUACUUAAACCAUUAAUGUAUUUUUUUUCUUUUUUCUUUUUUUAAAAUAAUUAGUAAUUACUUCAAAUAAAUAAAUAAUAAUUUUCAAAUAAAAAUACAAAUAAAAAGGUGUGCAACCAUCUUUUGGGUGAAGGUUAAGUCACAUACUCACAUAUCAAAAAAGUAAACUCAAAUGUUAGUGCAUUGAAAACAUGUCAACUUAAUAUGCAAUCAAUGAAAAGAACAUUCUGUUAGACCUAAAAUCUAAAAAUCAAUAAUAUUAAUAGUAAAUCAAUUUUUAUAUUAAUAAAAAAGAACAUGGGUUAGAAAAAGUUUGAUUCGGAAUUUUGAGACAUAAAUGUGCUUCCAUAAGAGAAAAUAUGCCACUUCUACAUAGAGUUAAUUGAUCCUCUUCUACCAAAAUAUGAUAAUCUUGUUAUAUAAAUUUGACUUUAAUCAAAUAAGAUCAUUUCACACAAUAGUAGUUUUUUCUAUCAAUAACUUCACACAACUUAUCUAACUUAGAAGAAUCAAGUAAGAGCGACAAAUGUAGGUAUACUAGAAUCUCAUCUUCUUGUAAAAAAUCUCACCUAUUCUUCAUGUUUAGAAAAAGAUAAAGAUACAAAAUUAGUAAAAUAAUAAAAUAAGAAAAUAAAAUGAAUAAUUAUAAAUUUUAAAUUAAAUAUAACACUUUAACCAUUUUUUUUUGGUAUGGAUAAUUUUGUCUACUUCACGCUAAUUUGCUUUCAUUGUGCCUUGUUGCUGGUUUGAUUUUGUAUAAGAGUGAUACUAUCAUUUCAAAUAGAAGUUGAUAAUGAAUAUGCUUAGGGAUGAUAAUGGGUUAAGCUUAGAGGAUAAUCCGCCCCGCCCCGCCCCGCCGUACCCCGCCUCCCCCUUAUUGGAAUGGGUAUGGAAGGCUUUUAUUCAAGUUCGAGAUGGGUUUGGAGAAGCUUUUGAAUACUUGGAUCAGAUAUGGGACGGGUUUGGUUUUACUACGCCCUACCUCACCCUGCCGCGUUUACCAACAUAAUGCGUGCCCUCCACCAUAUACCAUAUUACACAUUCCUUAAAAAGUCAUGUGUAUAAAGUAUCUUUGAAACCUAGUUUUCCACUGCUUCUCUUACUCUUAUUCUGUGAAGCUCCCAAUGACGCUAUCAUGUGUACUGUUGAUGCUGUCCAACGAUGUUACCAUCAAGCUAUUCUUCUGCAUCCCACAAGCUUCGUCACAAAAGAAGACAUCAUCUUCUAGACACACCACUGCAAACCCUAGAUGCACUUCUAGUGUUGAUCUCUGAAGCUCCAUUUUUGAGAAUCGUAGAAAAAAAAUUGAUGGGAUUUGAUUGGUUAACAAGAAAAUUGAAGGGAAAAGAAUUGUAUGUUGGGAUUGUGGGAUGGGUUGUUUUAAUUUUGCAUAUUCCUUUCUGGCUUGUUUUACCAUUUUUCCCAAACUGCACCUGGUCAUUAAAGAGAAUUGUUCAAUACUUCAACUAAAUCUCUCUAUUUUUUUUUUCCAAAUAGAUCUUACAUGUCAAAUGAUAAAAAUACUUUCUUCUUCCACCUCCCAACCCUCCUCAUUCAUCCAAGCAACCCUAUUUCAUCUCUUUUUUAUCCUCUUUUCUUUUCUUUCCUUCAUUUUCUUUAAUCUCCAUCUUUUAUUUCCUUUCAUCUUCUUUCCCAAAGUUGUUAUAACAGUAGUAGUUUUUCAGCUCAGCACACUCCAUGUAUUUUUUUCUCAUUUCCAAAUAAAUAAUUUGUAUAAAAUUAUGUAAUGUAAGUUGUAGAUCUUUUAUAUUUUAAAAAAAUUUCCAAUAAUUUCAAUCUCAAACACUUUAAUAUAAUAAAAUAAUAAAUCAUAUUUUAUAUGCUCAAGAUGAAGUUUAAAUAAAACUUGUUUUAAUUGGUGAGAGUAUGUGUGCAGGCGUGUUGUGCAAGUAUGUGUGCAGGCGUGUUGUGCAAAAACUCCUAUAUAUAUAUAUGUAAGGGAAAUUUGGAACUUUCAAACAUCGCAUUCUCCAUAAAAAUUUCUUACUUUUAUUGAGCAAAAAGGAAAAAAAAAAAUGGUGUGCAUGGCCAUGCUUAAUAUUAAUUUCGUUUUAAUUGUUUCUUUACAUUUUUCUAAUUUUCAUAUUUGUUCACUUCUUAGCACCUUAUCAUGAUUAGAAAAGAAGUAAAAUUAAUGAACAUUUACCAAAACUCUUGCAAUUGUUUACGUCUUAGACUUCAGUAUUGCUCAUCCAUUCUCAGUAGUUAAGAAUGUAAUAGCAAAGGUUAGAACUGACCCUUUCGGUCUACAUGAUGAUAUCUAGGAAACACCAUGACCUGGGAAGAUACAACGCAUCCCAUAUGGUUGUACGGUUACUGCAGUUUUCCUCCAAGACAUGCAGUCUUGAAGGCUACAAUAGUAAGGAAAUCUCAGAGCUUAUUGGAAGCAGAGGGGUGGAAACUUGUGAAGAUAGGCUCCUUAGUAUUCAUAUUUACGGACAAAGUUUCCCAUUCCAAGACAUGCUGAGUGCUGUUUGCUUUUAUCAAUUUGCUAUUGCUUAUCAAAGAUCAAAGACUGUUGUUGCCAUUGUUUCUUUAGUGCAUUACCAUAAACCAUCAAAAACAGGAAGAUGUAUUUUCUUUUCAAAAAUUUAGGCCACCAUCAGCCACAGCAGUCCAAAGCUCCAUCACAUCCUUCCUUGCACGGAACAACAAAAAGCAAGCUCCAUCAUAUCCUUGCUUGCAUGGAACAAUAAGCAACAUUUUCAUAAUUGGUGAUUGAACCAAAAUAGUUGUCAAUUCAAUGAUCGGACUGAUGGUUGAAUUGUGACUAUAGUCAAACUGAUGAUGUUAUAAAUAUAUAAUUUAUGUAUUAUUAAAAUUAAAAAUAAUUAUAUGAAAUUUGAAGAAAUUUAAAAUUUAAAAAUUAUAAAUAAGAUGUGUAAAUAAAAUUAAUGCAAUGAAAGUUUAGAUGGAUGCAUUAACAUUUCCCCAAAACUAAUCUUUAAACUAUUUCCAACUUCUAAUGUGAUGAUAAUUUCUUGUCCUUUAAGAAAAUCUUCUUAAAGGGUUUUUUUCUUAAUUUAAUGAGCAUUGUAUUCUUUUCUUCUACAAACUUUAGUCUUCUUAAUUUAUGGAUGAAUUUCUUGAUGGAUAAUAUUUUUGUGUUUUUUUCCUCGGAGUACAUGAAAUUGAAUCCCCACCCAAGGAAGGUCCGUUCCCAGAAUCCAAGCCUCGAGAAAAACACUCUCUCGCACCACUGGGUUUACUCUAACCCCUUUGGCAAGGCCAAGUCCAUCUAACCCCUUUCUGAUUAGGAUUUCUGUGGCUCAAGGAGGUUGAUUUCCUCCUUAUCUUGAUUGAAUGGCUCCAUGAAUGGUUUGAGACGAUGGCCAUUGACUUUAAAGGUGUCUAUUGUUGGAAUUCAGUAAUUCCACCAUUCCAUUGAGAUGCACUUGGUGAAUAAUGAAAGAGUCUAUCCACCUUGACUUCAGCUUCCCAGGAAAGAUAUGGAGCCUAGAGUCAUAGAGUAAGACUCUUUGUCAUUUCCGGAAUUCUUUGUUGGAGAUUAACUGAUCAUGCCACCUCUUCAUCCUCUGUUUUGCAACUUUGGAAUUGAUGUAGGCAUCAUUUCUUAAUUCCUCCAUCUGAUAAGGUCUAAGCACCUCUUUGCCUUGGCUCUGAUCAAGUCCAUGUUUUUCAAGAAAGUAAUACACAGAGCUUUGCUCUGCCUUAUCUUCUCAUUUUGUUUUCUCGUUAUUUUGAUUUCUAGCAAAUCAAACUCUGAGGAUGUUUUCCUAGAAGAUGAGUGGCUAGGCUUUUUGUUUCUUGGAGUGAAGGAAGCUAGGUAAGGUUCCAGAUGCAAAAUUUGAAGUUUUGUUGUUUCGGUUUUUAAUGAAGAGAAAGUGUGAUCCGUUAAUGGUUUUUAUCUUUUUAGUUAACUUAAAAUCCCUUAAAAUCACUUGGUCCAACACUUGGUAAGGCAAGUGGUCUCCGUCCAUUGAGAUACACUAGUUUAUCUCUUGCAAGCCUCUAAGAGGUGGUUUAAAUGUAGGAUUAUCUAGAAUAGCCAACACUUGGUAAGUUUGUGGACUCCUAGGAGACAUCCAUUAGUUAUCUCUUGUGAGCUUUUGACGGGUAAUCCAAGGUUAAAGAUCACCUUAAAUGACCAAUACUAGGUGAGAGGUAUGAACCAUUGCAAGAUGAUUCAGGGAUUUAGUGUUUGAACCCAUUAAGGGCAAACAUCUGUACCUCACCGGUUUGAGAAAUAACUAUAUGUUAGAUCCCCAAUACGAGGAAAAGAUUCAAGUGACCAGAACUCCCUUUUUGUAUGACGAAUCUGAGCCUAGUGAUAUAAAACUCCAAGAAACACUUUUCUUUGUAAGUAAUUUCCGUUACUUUAUUAUUGGUUUCACUUAAAACCAACAUUUUCAAACAUAUUUAUGUUUUCUUUUAAAGCUAACCUUGAAAAGAAAAAACACUAAUUUAGUUUUUGAACUAAUAUUAGUUGUAAUUUGAAAACCCAUCCCUGUGGACGAUCUUAGAGUCACUAUGCUAUGCUUGCUAAUGCUACCCUAGUAUAUGGUGAAAUAGGUUUAUAAAUUUUGUUGAUCACUCCCGUCUAAGGACAGAAAUCAGAGUACAUCAAUUGAUUGAACACCAAUUUUUUCCACUUUUUCUAAGGAAAAUAUUUUAUUUUUUCCAUUUUUUUUUUAUAUUUCAUGAAUUCUUCUCAUACUAUAUUUAGUUCAUGAAAAACACUAAGGCUAUGCUUAUUUCAUUGUAUUUUUUUUUUCUAUUUUCUUCUCUUAAAAUUCUCCCUUAUGGUUUCUUUAAGAAAUAAACAUAGCCUUAUAAUUUGUUUUCGCUUUUUCUUUUUUUAUGACUAAAAUAGUUUUAAGAUUUCUCAAGAACCAAACAUAACAUCAAGAAAACAUUUUUUCUUUUCCACAUUUUAAUUAUUUUUACCACAUUUUAAAGCAGUAGAAGGUGAAUAGGAUAAAGAGUUAAUAAAAUUUUAUUUUGCCUUUUCUUUUUCUUUUUAUCCUCAUGGAAUUAUUACCUAUACCUCCUAGAUGAAAAAAUAUGGUAAAACUAAAGGACGAUUCUUUUGUUUAUCUUUGUUGUUGAGAUCAUUGCAAAACAUGCAUUCCAAAACUUAUAAGAGUUAAAAAAUAAAAAUAAUUAAAAAUGAAAGGAAAGUUAGAACAUUUUUCCUUGUUUCUAAAUUAAUUGGAUUUAUUGAAUAAUUAAAUGAAUUGGCACUCAUCAUCCUAUUUUUAUUAAGAAGUUUAGAUUAACCCCGAAUCUCUAGGAAUAAAUAAGCUUGAUUUGAUGUAUUUAAUUAAAGGUUGGUUAAGUUUGAUUGAUUUAUCACUUGUAUCAGAUUUCCAUUCAGCUGUUUACCCACCAUUGAGUGAAUGUGAAAAAAAUGGAUUCAUCAAUUGAAUUAAAUUUAAAUGUUCCUCACAUCUGAUUUCAGGAUGAGAUCCAAUUUUGGUUCGAGCUUGUCAUGCCUGAAACUCGUUCUGUGUUUAGGAAGAAGGUAACUAAGAGACGGGAGAGAAAGAAAGAAAGGAAAGAAUACAUUUCUCAAUUACAAAAACAAGGGGAAACCCAUUUGAUAGUUUCUGCGCUUAUAACAACAGUAACUUUUGCUGCGGGUUUCACCUUACCCGGUGGUUACAAAGAGGAUGAUGGCAAGGCAAUUUUAUCAAAGAAAGCAGCCUUUAGAGCAUUUGUUGUGACGGAUACCAUAGCCAUGGUAUCUUCACUAUGCGCCGUAUUUCUUCACUUUUUUAUGACCCUGCACAAACGUGGGAAGUUCCUUGAAAAACACUUACUUUGGGCCUUUAUUUUCACCAGGGUUGGGAUGGGAGCAAUGGCCAUCGCUUUCGCAACUGGCUUGUACGCUGUUUUACCGCAUUCAUCUGGCCUUUCAGUUCUCACUUGCAUCCUCUGCUCUUGCUUUUUCCUCUCCAUUGCAGUUGAAUAUUGUAAAUUUUGGAGAGGUACGAUUUCGGACAUGCUAGGCAAACUAAUCGCUGGAGAAGCUGAAUGGGGGGAAUAAAAAGAAAAGAAAAUGCAGAUGUGUAGAUGAGGGCUCCCAAAUCGAUCUUUGAAUGAGCUAUUUCAUUUUCUGAGAGGAGAGAGAACCGGCUCUGAGCUAACUGAUAUCGGAAGCAAGGAAAGCUGAAAGUCGGGAAUCAAAAUAUGCUCAUUUGAAUGGGAAUUAUAUUUUAAAUCUGGGUGGAGUAUUGAACUCAUUUGUCAAUGGAUACAAUUGUGAAUACCAAUAAUGUUAGUAUUGGAAUUCAACGAGAUUUUUUAUGAAUUGGGGUUGGACUGGGCCGGCCCAACCUGGAAAUAUCUUCCAAAUAGAUGUGGAAGGCAGAGCUGUAUAAGUUUGUAUUGAUGAAUGAUGAUGUCAAUUUUUAAUUUUUUUUUUCUAUUAUUGAUUCACAUCACUAAAAUCAAAUUUGUUAUAAACUGUUUUUGAUAAAUUUAUAUUAAUGAUAUCAUUUUAUUUUUUUUAUAAACUGUUUUUGCCAUUCAAUUAAAAUUAUUUUUUGUAUCAUUUCAUUAUGUAUAAGAUUGGCAGUCAGAAUUUAAUUUCAUGACUCAAUUCUUAUAAAAUUGAUAUUACUAAAGUUAGAAUUGAUUAUUAUCAGCUUAAUUUUAUUUUUAAAAUUGAGAUUAAAAAUAAAAAAUUUGGAUCUUUCUUAAUUCCUUCAAGACUAAUUUUCAUUCUUUUUUUCCCUUUUCUUUUUAAACUUUUCUUUUUCUGAAGAUUAUUUUCUCAAGUGAUGAUUUACUUCACUGCAUUGUCCUCGUUCCAUCAUCAUCAUUUUGGUGGUGGUGAUGGUUGUAAUGGUUGGAAAAUGAAUAGGCAAAUGGUUAUUCAACAAGAAAAUCCUCUCGGAAUUUAGUCUUUGAAUAUGAUUAGUUAUGUCCAAAAGCACAUGUUUGAGAACUAUUUGCUGAAAUUGACAUUUUCAACGAAUCUUGCACUUAAAAGUCCAUGUCAAAUUUCGUCUUACUUUUACAUGUAGUAGAAGUUGUCUCUGAGCCGUUGUAAAAGGAUGCCAAAUUCUUUGAGAAUUGGUUUCUUUAGAUUUCAAUUUCAGGAUUCCGAUCUAGAACUUCUACAUGAUUUUCUCAUAGCAUCCCUCUGAAAAUUGAGGAAAUGGGAAUUAAAAUGUAAGUUUGAACUAAAGAUUUGAGCUAUUCAAGAAUCAAACAUUGAGGCACUUGUUUAACUUUUGUCAGCGGUCAAUAUACUCUGUUUCGUGUCGAAGGAAGAGAUUACAUUUGGAUUUGGGUGCAUUGACAAGUCCCAGACUAUGUAUAUCAAUAUACUUUGGGUUCCAUGGGCCGCCUACAAAAAAGAAAUCAUAGGUUUUGGGAUAGAAUACCAAAGGUAAGUGCCAAAUGAAGUGUUUUUUUUUCCCUUCUUUAUUACAAAGAAGGUCAUGAUUUCUUUCUUAAAACAGGUUUGCAGGAAUGGCAAGGGGAAGGAGGUUGUGUCAGAUAGGGUAUGCAUUUUAGAGGUGCAAGUUAUUGAAGUUUUUGGGAUUUGACUCCUCUUUGUGACACUAUUAUUUCCCUCAGAUUGUUCUUUAGAUGCAUGCAAUGUCAACAGUUUCAAUAUGAAAUUCAUGGCUGAUAAAAGGCCCUCCCUUAUAUCGGCUGUGGAUUUUAAAGCCACAUGACAUGCACUCAUGCUGUGGCACGACCUGUCGAGAUAAUCGAGGCAAGGGAUACUUGAGUACAUUUUAAGAAAAUGGAAUUGUCUUACGCAAUUUGAUCUGUUCCAAAGGAUUUUAUAGGAAGGGAAGCCUGGAGUGGGAUCAAACCAUGGCUUAAAUCCUCUGCUCCCUCUUUCCUACACCAUUUACAAAGACAUUGGUCUGUGGAUGAUGUGGGUCUUGUUCUCUAGAUUGCCCAAAAGCUCAAAAUCCAACUCAAAACAAUUUACAUUAGAAAUCAACACCGGAAUGAGUCUUUUCAUGUUACUCUUUGUUUUAGUCACACACUCAUCUUACAUAGAAAGCUGUCACAACCCUCCCUGCAGAGUUACUCCCAGGUAGCAUUAAUUGCAUGUGGAAAAACCCAACCCACAUCCAAAAGUCUCCAGCGAUGAUUCAAAGGCCCACCCUGUUUACCAUAAAGCAAUUACGGUUAAGACUCUAGAUAUAGAAACCCUUGAUAAGUUUGUUAUGGUGGUAGUAGAAAGAGAAAUAAAGUUGAACGAAAUGAGCAGAGGCAUGGUCGAGAACAAUGUUUUUGAAACUGGAUUAUUUAUUGAAUUGAAAAAAUUACGGGUUUAUGGUUUAGUGGUCAAAUCGGUCAUUGAACCGAGUUUAAACCGGUGAGGUCAUAACUAUAUAAUUUAUAUAUUAAAAAAUAAAUUAAAAAAUUUUAAUGUAAAGAAAUAAAAUAUAAUAAUAUUUAUUUUUCACCUUUGAUAUUAUUAAACUUAAAUCAUGAAUAAAUAUAAAUGUAUUAAUAUUUUAUUUUAUUUAAAUAAAAUAUGUAUAAUCUUUAAAUGUGAAGAAAUAUAUUAAAAUAGAAGAAAAUUCUUUUAUUUAUAUUAUAUUAUUUUCUUAUAUUAAAAAAUUUAAAAUAAUUAUGUUGAUUUAGUUUAUUUUGAAAUUUUAAAUAACAACCAUUAGUAGUAAAGUGGUUAUAGUCCUGACAUGUGAAUUUUAUGGAUUUUUUAAAACUCAUCCCACAUAGGAAGUUGAUAAGGAUGAGAAUGCCUUUAACUGUCCAUUUCAUGAUAUAAUAAGCAUGCAAGAGGGCUCAAGACAGAUCCUUGUCCUGGUCUUAUUAAUUGGGUUGGGCUUCCACCCAAUCUUUUGUUGAGAAGUAAAAAAUGCCAACCUUGAACCAAUGGUUCAAAACUAGUUCAAUGUGUACUUUUGCCCAAAGGCUAUAGAUUGAACCGUGCCAAGCUUUGGUCAAUGGUUGGACCAAUCAAACUAGUUGGUCCAGUCGGAACUUUGUAUAUUUUCUCAAAGGUAGGGCCGCUUUGGGUAUUUGCAAGUAUUGUCUCAUCUAAAACUAAUGGUUAGAAACUCAAUAAAUAACUUGACUCUCUUUUUGUAUAUAUUAUUUUUUGAAAACUAUACUUGCACCUAAAUCAAAAUAUAUCAUCAUCAAUUAUACAAUAUCAUAUAUAUAUAUAUAUAUAUAUAUAUAUAUAUAUAUAUAUAUAUAUAUAUAUAUAUACAUAUUUAAUUGGACUUCUUAUUAUCUUAAUAUCAUAUAUUUAGAGCUCAUUUAAUUGUGUGAUUUAAAAAUAGUUUUUAGUUAUUAAAAAUAAAAAAUUGUUUUUAAUAUCAUUUGACGGUUGUUCUCUGAAAAUGAUUUUUAAAAAUAAAAUGAAAUAAAGAACAAUUUUUAGGAAACAAAUAAAGUUAUUUUCAUAAAUUUUAAAAAAUAAAAAUAAAAUAUGAGUUCGUUUAAUCAUGUUUUUUAAAAUUUGUUUUUAAGUUAAAGAAUAAAAAUAGUUUUUAAAAACAAAUUUAAAAAACAUGGUAAAAAAAGACUGUUAUACUCUCAUUCAAAUGAUCAAGAUUUUGACUUCAGUUUCAUAUGUUGGUAUAUUAAAAAAUUUCUAUAUUAAACAAUUUGGAUAUGAAUCAUAUGAUACUAUAAGUUGGUGCCAUGAAUGUUUCCUGAAAAACAAGAAAGGAAGAAGGGGGGAAGCCCGGAAAGGUGCGGUGGUGGGUGUGAUGAGAAAAGCGAUGAUAUGAUAUAAUUUUUUGUAUUGCAUCAAAGUUUUCAAUAAAGUUUUAAGCAACCAUGAGAGUUGUUCAUCAUGUACCUAACACUUUGGACGGACGAGAUGAUGGCACCUUUUUGACUUCUAUUUCAUGUCACGUGCCUCGAAUAAUGUUAAAAAGCAAAAAAAUUAAAUAUAUACAUAUUUUAUAUUAUUCCAUAAAGUUGUGUUGAAAAUAUCAAUAUAUGUUAUUUAAAUUAUUCCUUAUUUUAUAUUUUUCUAAAACUCAAUAAAUAAUUUUUUGUAAUGGUAUUUCUCAAAAAGUUUAAACUCCUUAAUUUCAAAUAUUAUUUUUCUAACCAUAAAUCAUCUUUGAAAUAAAUAUUUUAAAAAUGAUAGUUUGAUUUAUCAUUUAAAUGUAAGUGUUUUAUAUAAAUUAUUUUAAAUUAACAUAAAAACUUUUUAGUUAUUAUUUGUUAAAAUUUUCGUAUUCUUUCAAAAGAGUAAAAAGUUCAUGUUAUUAAUUGUAAUUUUUUUUUUUCCUAUUAUUGUGCUUUUUAUAUAAUAAUUUUUUAAAAUUGCAUGAAUAAAAAAAUAUUUAAAUAUAAAAUCUUAUAAAAUAAAAAUAAAAAUUUAUUAAACAACAAAUAUGAAUUUUUUUGCUUUUAUAUUCUUUAUUAUUUAAAGUUUGUUUAUAUAGUUAUUGCACCAACAUUGGCUGACCAUGGAUUGAGCAAAACAUUUCCAAUAACCACUCAAUUAAUAUAAAGGAAAAAGAAAUCUAAAGAAGAGAUAAGAGAAAAGACUGGAGCACAUCCUCUCCACCACAAAGCUAAUAAGCAUCUUAUUCAAACAUAAGUUUGUCUUAUCAUAUCCGACGUCAUCAUCCAACCAAGGAAAUACAUUAUUAUUAUUAUUUUUUUAUUAAAAAAAAUAGAAAUUAAAGAAGAGACAUAAGGAAAUCACAUUCUUUAAUAUUAUAUUAUUAUUUCUUUAAUAUUUUUUAGAAAUGAAAUAUAUUCUUAUUAUUUGAAAAAUGAAUUCAAUUGAGUCUAAAUUCUUAAAUUUAUAAAGAAAAAUAGUAUGAUAUUGGAUAGGUAUUAUAUCAAGCUAAAAAUUUGGAUUCUUAAAACAUAUGAUUAAGUUUGAACUUUUGAAUAAGGUGGCCAACAAAAAAAUCAUAUAUAAUAUUAAAAAAAAAUUGAAAUGAAACUACAAAACAAUUUAAUCAUGAUUAUUAUUUUUGUUUAUCAAUGUGAUGAUUACCAUUUUUUGAUGUGACGUGAAAUUUCAAUGGGAGAAUUAUGUUUUGACGGGCCAAUUUGGGAAUAAUAACAUUUUCGGAACCGAACUUUCCAUAAUGCAAGAUAUGUCCACUGUUUGGAAAAAUAUUAAAGGAAACAUGCAUUCUGGCCUGAGGUGUUAUUUCAUACCGAAAAUACCCCUCCAUUGUUCAUCGUCCCUGUGAAAGGUCCCGAUAUUUCCUACCAGCCCACGCAAGAUGCAAAAUCUGUCCGAUAUUUUUUUUUUUUUUUAAAAAAAAAUUUGCAGGCAAAGGUUGGAUUUUUCAGCAUGGCUCAAAAAUCGUGGAUUUAGGGUUUGUGAAAUUUAAAUCCAAUGGCCCAAAAUCAAAGAGACCCCUAGAUCAGAUCAAGAAAACACAUGGAGGAAAAAAAAAGCACUUUUUUUUUUGUUUUUCUUGGGGAUUUUGCAUGGAUUUUGUCGGAAAUCAAACGAGGAUGGAUUUUCUCGGAAAUCAAACGAGGAUGAACUUUCCCGGAAAUCGAAUGGGGGAUGGAUUUUCUUGGGAAUCAAACGGGGGUUGCAAAAAAAAAAAAUAAUAACUUAGAUUAGAUUAGUACCUGCGAGGAUUGAGAAUGGCAGAGGAAAAAAUAGGGCUUUUUUUAGGGAUUCUCUCGUCUGGAGGCCAACUUCAGAGAAGGGCCUCGGAAAUCAAACGAGGAUGGAUUUUCCCGAAAAUCGAAUGGGGGUGGAUCUUGGGAAUCAAACGGGGGUUGCAAAAAAAAUAAAUAAUAACUUAUUAGAUUGGUACCUGCGAGGAUUGAGAAUGGCAGAGGAAAAAAUAGGGCUUUUUUAGGGAUUCUCUCGUCUGGAGGCCAACUUCAGAAAAGGGCCUCGGAAAUCAAACGAGGAUGGAUUUUCCCGGAAAUCGAAUGGGGGUGGAUUUUCUUGGGAAUCAAACGGGGGUUGCAAAAAUAAUAAUAAUAACUUGAUUAGAUUAGUAUCUGCGAGGAUUGAGAAUGGCAGAGGAAAAAAUAGGGCUUUUUUAGGGAUUCUCUCGUCUGGAGGCCAACUUCAGAAAAGGGCUCCUUGAUGCCCGAGUGAGAGACGGUGUCGUGAGAGACGGUGGCUGCUGACAGGACAACUAAAGGGCAAUUUUGGAAUAGCAUUUUAAAACAGUAGAUAGUGCAUGUUUCCUUUAAUAUUUUUCCAAACAGUGGACAUAUCUUGGAUUAUGGAAAGUUGGGUUUCGAAAAUGUUAUUAUUCCCAAAUUGGCCCAUCAAAAUAUAAUUCUCCCAAUUUCAAUCCUUGCUCUCCACCACACAAGUUCACGGUAGAGGGGACCACCUUCUAAGCUAUACCUAAGAGGCACUUUAUUUAAUGGCAAAUCUAAUGAAUAAAAUUUUAGAUCAUCUCCGGAAGACUUUUGUUAUUUUUUAACUUCUAUCUUCCUUGCAGUUGUAGAAAACACAUCUUCUUUGGAUUAUCAUCUGGUAUCAUAGUCAAGUUGAUCAGAUGGUUAUCUCAAUCCAACCUACCGUCCCACUUUUUCAAGGAAAUGGAUAUGAUAGUUGGAGCAUAAAGAUGAGGACUCUUUUUAUCUCCGAAGAUCUGUGGGAGCUUGUGGAUAAGGGUUAUGCAGAAGAGGAAAUUCCAAGAGAUGCUAUGAGAGAUGUACGAAAGAAUGAUGCCAAGGCAUUGUUUUUUAUUCAACAAGCAAUCACAGACAGCAUUUUUCCUCAAAUUUCAAAGGCAACGAAGUCUAAGGAAGCAUGGGACACUUUGCAAACAAAAUAUCAAAGCACAAGCCUGGUAUUAGUUACAAUGUAUUGAAUUUUUAGAUUCAGUCAAAUAAAGUAAAAUAUCUAUGUUUCCAACUAAUUCGUAAGAUUAGAAUGUGUUGUUCUAAGAAGGGUUCUGACUACAGCUUUAAAUUAAUGGGUUGUUGGAUAAUUUAUUUAGGAGUUUAUUUGAGUUUGGUUGCUUAUUUAACGGCAAGUGUUCAACUCAAUUAGAUUUCUUAUCUUUCAUCUUGAACUUUUUUUAAGUGCUUUAUUAUUUUUUAACUUCUCUAUGGUAGGAAGGCAUCUUUUUCUUAUUAUUGUAAAUGAUAUAAUGACAUAAUAGAUCAUAUAUCAGAUCACUUCACUUUAGUUGAAUUCACUUUUAUUUGGGAGGAUUGAAAGACCAAAUGAAUACUUAGGUUAUAUUUGGUUCCCAAAAGUAGGAAGAAAACAAUAAAAUAAAAUAAAAUGAAAUAUUAAACAAAAUUAUUUUUUCAUGUAUGGUUUUAUUAAGAAAAAAUUAAACAUAAUUAAAUUAAUUAAAAAAUUAUUUAUUUUUAAAUUAUUUAACCUUUAUACAAAAUAGUUGAAAUAACUUAAACGAGUUUGAAGCAAUGUAGAAAUAUAAUUAAUUAAUUUUCAAAGUAUUUUUUAUUUUCAAUUGUUUCUUCUACUCUUCUUCUUUUCUUUACAUUUUCCCUCAAAUUUCUUGGGUGCUUAUAACAACAGUGCAGAAUUGCUGAAUUAACUCGGGUUUUGAUUUGAAUUAGGUUGCAGCUCAAGAUGGAGAUGGCAGCCAAACUGACAUCCCAGUCAUGGAUGACUCUGUGUAUAAGGCAGCAGCGAAGGGCGACAUUGAAGUUCUGAAGAAAAUUCCAGAGUCCCAAUUUCAUGCCCAAUUAACCCCAAAGCAUAACACGAUACUCCACAUCGCAAGUGAAUUCGGUCAAACAGAGUGUGUGAAAUGGAUCCUUACGUUGCCUGCAUGUUCAUCUCUACUGCAAUGCCCUAAUCUGAACGGGGACACUGUGCUUCACCUUGCAGCAAGGGAAGGGCAUUUGAAGGUCGUGGAAGCUCUUCUAGAACCUACCCUAGAUAUUGAAACUGGAGUUGGAGAAGAUAAGGAGAUGUUGAUCGGGAUGACAAAUAAGGGGAAAAACACAGCCUUGCAUGAGGCAGUGCGAUUUAACCAUUCUGAUGUGGUGGAGUCAUUGAUUGAGAAGGACCCCAGGUUUAACUAUCGUGCUAAUGAUUCAGGUACGACUCCUCUUUACAUGGCUGCGGAGAGAGGACUUACAGGCUUGGUGGUACUAAUCAUAGACAAAAGUAGUACUUCACCCUCUUACCAUGGCUUAAUGGGUAGAACGGCCUUGCACGCUGCUGUAUUAUGCAAUAAUGAAGGUAGUAGACUCACAAUACUAAUGAUUAUGUUAUUUUCAUAUAUGUAGAUUAAAAGGGAACAUGCAUGCCUUCAUUUGUUUUGUUCAUUUGCUUAAUUUUCUUAAACUAUUUUCCUUUAUCUAUUAAUCAGCAAUGACAAAUAAGAUACUUGAAUGGAAGCCAGACCUCACCAAAGAAGUAGAUAAGAAUGGGUGGUCUCCACUUCACUAUGCUGCAGAGAGAGGUUGUGAUCUGAAAAUAGUGGAGCUAUUGCUAAGUAAGUCAGAAAAGAGUGUAGCCUACCUUAGGAGCAAAGAUGGGAAGAAGACUGCCCUUCAUAUUGCAUCUUUCCACCAUCAUACAAAAAUAGUAGAGGAGAUCCUAUCUCACUCUCCUGGUUGUCGGGAGCAGGUCGAUGACAAGGGCAAUAAUAUUUUUCACUUUGCCAUGAUGAAAAAGGGUGACCGGUACGAUGAUUUUAAGCCUAGUAAUUACUUCGACAAUAAAUGGUUAGGGUCAAGAGGACCUGUAAAUGGGCCAGGAGGAUUUGUAAAUGGGCCAAGAGGACUUGUAAAUGAGAAAAAUGCUCAAGGAAACACACCCAUCCAUCUGCUCUCUCUUAAUCAAAUUUCAGAUUCUUGGUUUGUAUGGAAUGAAAAAGUGGAUAAGAAGGCGUACAACAAUGAAGACUUGACAGGUUAUGACAUAAUUUUGAGGGCGGACAUUUCCGAGAAAAAGGUAAGGCUCGCACAUAACUUCAAUUAUAUGUUUAUUGGCAAAUGCUUACCACGUUUCUCAUUUCUUUGAGCUGUGUUAUGUUUUGUUAUUUUUGCUAUGUUUGGAUUCCUUCAACCUAAGCAUUAGCUAGUUUUUUAUUUAUUUUUUUUGUCUCCAAAGUUUCAAGAUGGGAUAAUAGAGAAAAGGAAAAGAAAGAAAUAGAGGAAAAAAAAUUACAAAAUGUUUAUUGCUUUUCAUUGUUUAUUGAGAAAUUAAGCAAAAGAAAUUUAAAUUUAAGAGGAAUGUACUUAGCAUAAACCUUUUUUUCUUAAAAAAAAAAAGGAAAUGGGAAGAAAAAUUGUUAGUGUCUUUUAUUUAGUAAUUUUUUUCUUAUCAUUUUUUCACUUGUAUCCAAAUGUUGAAAAAUAAAAAAAUAAAAGAAAACCAUUUUUAUUAAAAAAAAAUUUCCGUUACUUUCCAAAAUCAAAUGUAGUUUAAGAUUAAUUUGAGGAAAAUAAAAGAAAAAAAAGAAGAAAAUAAAAAGAAAACAACAAUUUAUAAAAUUUUCUUUCAUUUUAUUGUUCAUAAAAAAGUCGGGAAAAAAAUUAAAUUGUUGAGAAAUGCAGUCUUUCCAAGCUUUUUCCACUUUUUCUAAGGAAAAUAUUUUAUUUUUUCUAUAUAUAUAUUUUACAUUUUCAUGAAUUUCAAACUAUAUUUGGUUCAUGAAAAACAUUAGGGCAAUGUUUAUUUCAUUGAUUUUUGUCUUUUUUUUUUUAAUUUUCUUCUCUUAACAUUUUUCCUUAUGGUUUCUUUUAGAAAUAAACAUAGCCUUAUCAUUUGUUUUCACUUUUUCUUUUUUAUGACUAAAAUAGUUUUAAGGUUUCUCAUGAACCAAACAUAACAUCAAGAAAACAUUUUUUUCUUUUCCACAUUUUAAUUAUUUUUAUCACAUUUUAAAGCAGUAGAAGGUGAGUAGGAUGAAGAGUUAAUAAAAAAUGGAUUCAUCAGUUGAAUUAAAUUUAAAUGUUAUUCACAUCUGAUUUCAGGAAAAUAUCCAAGUUGCCUUCGAGUAUGUUAUGACUGAAAGUCGUUCUUCGGUUACGGAGAAGGAAACUAAGAGACGGGAGAGAAAGAAAGAAAGGAAAGAAUACAUCUCUCAAUUACAAAAACAAGGGGAAACCCAUUUGAUAGUUUCUGCGCUUAUAACAACAGUAACUUUUGCUGCGGGUUUCACCUUGCCCGGUGGUUACAAAGAGGAUGAUGGCCAGGCAAUUUUAUCAAAGAAAGCAGCCUUCAGAGCAUUUGUUGUGACGGAUACCAUAGCCAUGGUAUCUUCACUAUGCGCCGUAUUGCUUCACUUUUUUAUGACCAUGCGCCAACGUGGGGAGUACCUUGAAAAACACUUACUUUGGGCCUUUAGUUUGACCAUGGUUGGGAUGGGAGCAAUGGCCAUCGCUUUCGCAACCGGCUCGUACGCUGUUUUACCGCAUUCCUCGGGCCUUUCAUUUCUCACUUGCAUCAUCUGCUCUUGCUUUUUCCUCUCCAUUGCAGUUGAAUAUUGUUUAUUUUGGAGAGGUACGAUUUCGGAAUUCACAAUCAAAAUAAUCCACAAAAUCCUCCUUGCUUCUGAAAGAAAAGAAAAUGCAGAUGCGUAGAUGAGGGCUCCCGAAUCGAUCCUAGUCUUUAUAAUCCACUAUUUCUUGGGUUGGAUCAAAAGACUUUUUCGGGCUAAGCAAUAUAUCAGAUUAGUCAAUGGAUACAAUUGUGAAUAUGAAUAAUGUUAGUGUUUAUUGUAAAUUUGGAUGCAAUUGAUCAUUGAGAUUAAUAUAAUCAAAACUAGUUUUACAAACGAUUUUUGAUAAAUUUAUAUUAAUGAAAUCAUUUUUUUUUAUAAACUGUUUUUGUCAUUGAAUUAAAAUUAUUUUUGUAUAAAUUAUAUUUGAUGCAUUCAUUUUUUUAUCCAUGGAUAUCAUUGUAUAAGAUUGGCAGUCAGAAUUUAAUUUCAUGAAUCAAUUCUUAUAAAAUUGAUACUACUAAAGUUAGAAUUGAUUAUUAUUUUUAAAAUUGGGAUUAAAGAAUUAGAACUUUAUUGUAUAAAUUAUUUUUUAUAAAAUUUGAAGUGUUGUCUUGGAUCAUAACAAAAGACUUUUUUGGGUUUACUGGGUGACUAACACUUGAAUUGAGAUUACUAGGGAUUUGAAAGAUUUGAAACAUGAACCUCAUGAUGGAAAAGUAAGAGAUAAGCCAGUAAGCCACUGCGCAAUAUAUCACAUUAGUAAAUAUUUCUGUAUAAUCCUAUAAUGGUGUUUUUCCAACCUUUAUUUUUAUAAUAAUAGGUAUGAAAUAAUAUAAAUUGAUUUUAAAAUUUUAAAAUAAUAAAAUAUAUGGAUAUAUAGUUAAAAUUAAAUAUUAUAAUUUUCUUUUUAUCUUAAAUAUCUUCAAACGUAAAUAUUAUACAUAUUAUAUUUAAUAAAAUUUAAAACAUUAAUAUAUUUAUACUUAUUUUUAUGAUUCAAUUUAACAUAUUAAAUAUAAAAAUAAAAUAUUAUUAAAUUUUUAAUUGUUUAUUUUAAAUUUUAUAUAAUAUAUAAAUUAUAUAUUUAUGAUAUAACAGAUUUGAUCAUUUGUCAAUCAUGGAUUUGACUAUUGAAUUAUGACUUAGUGUCUUUUCCAAUUUAAUAGCCAAUUCCAUUCUAAAGCCAUUGUUAACAUUUUUUUACGAGACAAUUGUGAGUUCAAAAAUUAAUUUUUGGUUCAUAUAAGUUGUAUAAUUAAUAGAGAUAAUAUAAAAUAUGAAGAGAUCAAUAUACCUUUCAAAACUAUUUUCUACCAUAAUGUUUGAUAAACCUUUUUGUCUUAAUUUUCUUUUAAUAAUUAUUAUGAAAAUUUAUUAUUUUUAGAAAACUGAUUUUUUUAAAAGAAUAUAUUCUAAAAAUAUAUCAUUUAAAAAAAAUAAAUUUAAUCUUAUUUUCUCUUAAAAGAAAAAAAGAUAUAAUUUUACCUACUAACAAAAUUAUUUAAUAAAUAUAAUGUUUUAAAAUAAAAUAUAUUUAAAUACAAUCAUGAGGUAGAUGAAAAUUAUUUUUUCAUAUUUUUAUAAUUUUUAGCAAAUAAUUAAAUUUAAAUAUAAAAUCCGCUAUUAGCUAACACGUGCCUCGUACAUUGAUGAAACGUAUUUAUAAGUCAAAUAAGCAGGAACCAUGAAGCUUUGAAAAAUGAAAUAGAAAUAUACUAUUUUUCAAUUACAGUCUUCAGUCACAAUUAGAACAAACCACUACUCUUCAGUCACCACCGAGCUGAGAUGUUCCUUCCGCAGGUAGUUGCAUCCUGAUAUGUCUCUCCCCAUGGAUUCCUACCCCAAGAAACACUUCCUUAAUGAUAUUCAGUUCCAUCACCACGUCUUUGAUGUCCAUUCGAUCACCAGGUGAUUCUUCAGAACGUGCUACUCCAAUUCUCGCAAUUGAGGCAAGGCAAUGCUGCAUUCUACCUUCCACAUCACCGUGAUUUGCUAUAUUGUUGAUUGCUUCACCUGACUCCCCAACCAAGUUUGAAUCGGCAAUCUCCAUCACCCGUUCUGGCAAUGCCAUCUUCGAGAAACUGUGAAGGCUCAAACCAUCCGGAAACAUGUGUUCUGUUGGUCUCUUUCCCGUGAACAUCUCCAGGAAAAGGAUGCCAUAGCUGUACACAUCUCCUUGAGGCCACAUGGAGCCACCUAGUCCAUAUUCUGCCAUGCAUAUAUUCAUCUUUUUUUACUUAAAAGUCCAUUGAAAAGUAAGGCUAAUAGGCCGAGUGUAGCUAUGCUAUCCUGCGUGCCAAUUUAAACCAACAAUUUCACAACUUAUUUUUAGGAUUGAGGAAAAAAGACUUAAGGAAGUGUACCUGGAGCGACAUAACCGAUGGAUCCCAUCAUCAGUGUCGAACUGGUUUGAUCACUACUCAGCAUGUCGUCAGCUUCAGGAAAGAGCUUGGCUAACCCGAAGUCCCCGACAUGGGCAAUCAUGUCAUCAUCAAGAAGAACAUUGCUUGGCUUUAGAUCACCAUGAACAAUUGGUGUCUGCAAUUGGUGAUGAAGAUAAUCCAGAGCAUUAGCCACAUCAAUUGCAAUAUCUAAUCUUUGUCUGAAGCUUAAAUUUCUGGAUUCGUGAUGCAGCCAGCUAUCUAGGUUCCCAUUAGGCAUGAACUCAAAUACUAGAGCACUAAAAUCACUACCUCUGUUUGUCCACACUUGUAUAUGAAGUUAUGAUCCUGAGGAGAUUUCGAUGUUGAAUUUGCCCGGAGGACCUUGCACUCAGCCAUGAAACUCUUGGAAGCUCCAUGCUAUUGAAGGUUCAGUACCUUCACUGCAACCGGUCUUUAGCCUUGACUAGGAAUUCCUUUGUAUACAGAACCAAAACUUCCCAUGCCAAUCAAAGUUGGAGGAAGCAAAUGCACCAGUUGCUUUGAGUUGUAAGAAACCCUCAAGUACCCAUAUCCCAAAGAAGUGGAAGAGGACUUCAUUAUUGUCUUUUUUCUCCUAUAAAGGAGAACUGAAGCCACAAUGAAAGCCAAGCAAGAAACACCAGCAAUGCUUAUAGCUACAAUAAUUUUGAUUGAAGGAUGCUUGCCCUUGGCAUACUUUGCUGACUCUACAACAGAGCAUGGUGGCAGAUGCAGUUGAGGGAUUUCCCCACAAAGCUUCUUGUUCCCAGUGAUUGAAAUCCCAUUCACAUUUUUAAAAACUCCUCCACUUGGAACUACUUCACCUUCAAGGUAGUUAAAAGACAGAUUUAAAGUCAGCAAAGCAGAAAGAUGUUGUAGUUCUUUGGGAAUCGUUCCAGACAAGUUGUUGCAUGAAAGAUCUAGGAAUUGAAUUCCUCGCAAAGAGCUAAAGGACGGGUAUUUUUCCCUGGAAAGAGUUUCUUGCCAUGUCGAGGUACUCUAAUACUGAACAGCUGCCAAGUUCCCUGGGAAUUUCCCCUGACAAAUGUGUUAUCAGAAACAAGUAACUCAUUUAGGUUUUUCAGUUGACCAACAUCUGCUGGAAGAGAACCAGUGAAUGAGUUUUGUUGAAGGUAGAGUGAUCUCAACCGAUUGAAAUGACCAAUGACAUUUUCAGGUACACUACCACUCAACUUAUUGUGACUGAGGUCCAGAGUUUCCAUAUUGUGGCAGUUCCUGAGAGAUGUAGGAAUGUUCCCAUCCAAAUUGUUGUAGCUCAUGUUAAGGUGGAACAGUUGACUUAAGUUGCCGAGGGUGGACAGUAGCAGACCUGAUAGCCUGUUCUAACCGAAGUCCAAUUCUCCUAAGUUCUGAAGCUUGCCAGUUGAUGUGGGAAUGAUACCAGUGAGAUAAUUCCGAGUUGCAAUGAAUUGAAUCAAGUUGAUGAGGUUUCCAAUCUCUUUUGGGAUGUUUCCAGAUAUUUUGUUUUCUCCUAGGACGAGUUGCUGCAGUUGGGUUGAGAGAUUGACAAUGGAGUUGGGUAACACACCCCCAAAAUGAUUGCCUUCUGGAUUGAUUAACCUUAAACCGCUGAUGUUGGUGAGAGAAUUUAGAAAAUUUAAAUCGCCAGACAUUCCCCUUCCUAAACUAUUGAAGUCAAGGGUCAACCAAUACAGAUCCUUGAGCACUCCCAAACUAUCAGGGACUUUCCCAGUUAGAUGAUUGUCACCUAGAUCCAAAAGUUCAAGUCCUGAAAUAUUGGAUAGUGUAUCUGGAAUUAUUCCGGUAAACUGAUUCAUUGCUAUGCCAAACUUGCAGAGUUGAGGAGAACUGAGCCUCAUGUUUGACAUGAAAUUUCCAGACAGAUGGUUGUCAGUUGCUACAAAUUCAAUGACAGAUGACAAAUUAUGGAGGGAGGGAGGAAUCACACCAGACAAGUUAUUUGUACCUAGAUAUAAAUAUCUCGUGCUCUUCAAACGACCUAAUUCAUGUGGAAUAUUUCCCUCCAAAUGUACGCAAUGGACAGCCAAGAUGAAGGGUUUCCCAAAGUAAAUGGAAUAACCCCUCUUAGAUAGUUGGCACCAAGCCAUAGAUGUAGGAGUUUCGACAUAUGGCCAACGUGCAAGGGAAUCUGCCCUGUCAGAUUGUUCCUUGUGAAAUUCACAGUUCUGAAGCUUGAGCAGUUUGUCAGUUCAAUCGGAAUCUCACCUUGGAUAAAGUUCAUGCUCAGAUUGAGAUGUUGCAUCCGUGGCAAAUGGCCAAUAUCACUGGGAUGGUACCGUGCAAGUUAUUGUUGGACAAUUCCAACUCUCUGAGAAAUGUUAAGUUUUCAAUAGGAGGCAAGGAACCAGCUAAUCUCUGACUCUCCAACCUCAAGGCUGUGACCCUCUGAAGUUGGUGACUGCAUGUAACCCCCUCCCACUGGCAGAAGUGCAGAGAGUCAAUACAGGAGCUCAGAUUAAUAAUUGUUUAUGAUUAAGCUAUCUAUACAUAUUCAAUUUAUAUUUAUUAAAUAUGGGUCACCUUGUGUGUAGAGCCCAAGUCACAUGUGUCUUACAUGAUGGGCCUAAAACACAUGUGGCCCAACAACCAAUGGGUAUGGUCCCUAAGACAUAGUGGAAAUUAAUAAAAGGGAAAAUGAAACUGAAGUUUGGUGUCUUAAGUUUUCUUUUCUGAAAAUACAAAACAUUCCCUCUCCUGUCUCCUAUCACAAGAGAAAAAAUAGAAAGGUGGUUUCCUCCUCUAUUUCCAUAGAAAAAUCAUAUUUCUUCAAGAUCGAUAAUGGAUUCAGGUUUGUCUACACUCUCUAAUCUAAUCGGCAUGUUUUCUUUAUGAUUUAACAUGAGAUUUCUACAUUGGGUUGAUAAUGACGUUUACAACAUUGGUUUCUUUAGAUUUCAAUUUAAGGGAUUCAGAUCUAGAACUUCUACAUGAUAUUCUCAUAGCAUCCCUUUGAAAAUGGAGGAAAUGGGAAUUAAAAUGGGCAAAAGUGAUUAAAAUGUAAGUUUGAACUAGAGAUUCAAGCUAUUCAAGAAUCAAACAUUGAGGCACUUGUUUAACUUCUGUCAGUGGUCAAGGAUUGCCAACAUUGUAGUGCAACAGUCAUUAACAAAAGUGGCUUUGACUUGGUAAUUUGUAAGGAUAAUUUGUCUUAUAUAUCUAACGUGUCUAAGGUGUUUUCAGUUUUUUUUUUCCUUUCAUUUUUAAUGGAUUUAUUAUUUCAUUUUAUUUUAUUUUGUGUUUUGUUUUGUUUCUUCACAGUCUAAUAUAUUUUCUUUGCACAUGGGCUACAUCUCAUUCGGUAUUGUUUUAUAAAUUUCUUAUUACCUCUAAAAAUGUAUUUGCAAAUGUAUCCUAAAAUGUUAUUUUUAUUGUUGCUUCUAUAUUUUCAAUUUUGAUUAUUCACUGGGAAUUUAUACAUUGAUGAUGUUUAAUGCUAACCAAGUUAACUUUCCAACAAUAUAAUAAGUUAGGGCAUCAAACUGAGAAAUGAAGGGGUUUCUCUUACUACAGGCAUUCUGGAGGAAUUCUAUUAUCAAGCUGCCUUUAUCAAUGCAGUAGUCAUAGGUCACAAGUUUUCUUUUUACAACUUGAUAUUGUUUUUCUUUGUUAGGUCAGCCUCCAGUACUGCUCUGUGUUUCAUCAAAACUUAGGGAAGUAGUAUAUAUAUAUAUAUAUAUAUAUAUAUAUAUAUAUAUAUAUUGGAGUGAUGAGCAGGGUAGCUGAUGAUGCCAAAAAACUUGGAUAAGGAGCUCUGAAUGGUGAAUUAGUCCAGUUCAAUUUAGGUAGGACCACCAUCAUCACCCGACUAGACCCAUCCCAUAUACUUGCCAUUAUUGAGCUUGGAUGUGUGGGGCUAGCCCACUCCUAUAUGCGAUUAGUUCUUGAAAACUUGGAUAGGAAUGCCAUCAACAGAAAACCUAUAAAGUCAGCAAAAAUUAGAGAUGAAACAAGUUAAAUUUCGUAAACUGAAAAAUGUGGGAACCUAUUAAAGGGUUGCAAAUGCAAUUUGUUUUGGUCGGUAGGUUUUUGAGAUUAGUAGAGAAAAUAAUAUGUUGUGAUAAUAGUUAGUCCAUCAUUAUAUACGACCAAUAGUAUCAGUGAAAGACACACAAGAGCUUCAACUAGAAUGCAUGUUAUAUGUAAUAAACUGUAUAGAACUCUCAAACCCAGUGGUACUUAAGCUCCUAGCAUCUGUUUCGACUGGGAAUCUGCAAUAAAAACCUUCUACCAAAUCACUGUUUCGUGUUGAAGGAAGAGAUUACAUUUGGAUUUGGGAGCAUUGACAAGCCCCAGACUACGUGUAUAUCAAUAUACUCUGGGUUUCAUGGGCCUACAAACAAGAAAUCAUAGGUUUUGGAAUAGAAUACCAAAGGUAAGUUCCAGAUGAAGUGUUCUAGUGUUCUUUGUUGUUAUCAUUAUUAGCCUUCUUUUCUUUCUUUCUGUUUUUUGUUUUUUCCUUCUUUAUUACGAAGAAGGUCAUGAUUUCUUUCUUGAAACAAGUUUGCAGGAAUGACAAGGGGAAGGAGGUUGUGUCAGAUAGGGUAUGCAUUUUAGAGGUGCAAAUUAUUGAAGUUUUUGGGAUUUGACUCAUCUUUGUAACAUUAUUAUUUCCCUUAGAUUGUUCUUUAGAUGCAUGCAAUGUCAACAGUUUAAAUAUGAAAUUCAUGGCUGAUAAAAGGCCCUCCCUUAUACCGGCUGUGGAUUUUAAAACCAUCUCUCACAUGACAUGCACUCAUGCUAUGGCACGACCUGUUGAGAUAAUCGAGGGAAGGGAUACUUUAAUACAUUUUAAGAAAAUGGUUGUCUUACUUAAUUUGAUAUGUUCCAAAGGAUUUUAUAGGAAGGGAAGCCUGGAGUGGGAUCAAACCAUGGCUUAAAUCCUCUGCUCCCUCUUUCCUACACCAUUUACAAAGACAUUGGUCUGUGGAUGAUGUGGGUCUUGUUCUCUAGAUUGCCCAAAAGCUCAAAAUCCAAGUCAAAACAAUUUACAUUAGAAAUCAACACCGGAAUGAGUUUCUUCAUGUUGCUCUUUGUUUUAGUCACACACUCAUCUUACAUAGAAAGCUGUCACAACCCUCCCUAAAGAGUUACUCCCAAGUAGCAUCAAAUGCAUGUGGAAGAACCCAACCCACAUCCAAAAGUCUCCAGUGAUGAUUCAAAGGCCCGCCCUGUUUACCAUAAAGUAAUUACGAUUAAGACUCUAGAUAUAGAAACCCUUGAUAAGUUUGUUAUGAUGGCAGUAGAAAGAGAAAUAAAGUUGAACGAAAUGAGCAGAGGCAUGGUCGAGAACAAUGUUUUUGGAACUGGAUCAUUUAUUGAAUUGAAAAAAUUACGGGUUUAUGGUUUAAUGGUCAAACCGGUCAUUGAACCGAGUUUAAAUCGGUGAGGUCAUAAAUAUAUAAUUUAUAUAUUAAAAAAUAAAUUAAAAAUUUUUAAUAUAAAGAAAUUAAAAAAUAAUAAUAUUUAUUUUUCAUCUUUGAUAUUAUUAAACUUAAAUCAUGAAUAAAUAUAAAUGUAUUAAUAUUUUAAUUUUUUAAAAUAAAAUAUGUAUAAUCUUUAAAUGUGAAGAAAUAUAUUAAAAUAGAAGAAAAUUCUUUUAUUUAUAUUAUAUUAUUUUCUUAUAUUAAAAAAAAUUAAAUAAUUAUGUUGAUUUAGUUUAUUUUGAAAUUUUAAAGAACAACCAUUAGUAGUAAAGUGGUCAUAGUCCUGACAUGUGAAUUUUAUGGAUUUUUUAAAACUCAUCCCACAUAGGAAGUUGAUAAGGAGAAUGCCUUUAACUGUCCAUUUCAUGAUAUAAUAAGCAUGCAAGAGGGCUCAAGACAGAGCCUUGUCCUGGUAAAAAAGGUCAACCUAGAACCAAUGGUUCAAAACUAGUUCAAUGUGUACUUCAGCCCAAAGGCUAUGGACUGAACCGAACCAAGCUUUGGUCAAUGGUUGGACCAAUCAGACUAGUUGGUCCAGUCGGAACUUUGUAUAUUUUCUCAAAGGUAGGGCCGCUUUGGGUAUUUGCAAGUAUUGUCUCAUCUAAAACUAAUGGUUAGAAACUCAAUAAAUAACUUGACUCUCUUUUUGUAUAUAUUAUUUUUUGAAAACUAUACUUGCACCUAAAUCAAAAUAUAUCAUCAUCAAUUAUACAAUAUCAUAUAUAUAUAUAUAUAUAUAUAUAUAUAUAUAUAUACAUAUUUAAUUGGACUUCUUAUUAUCUUAAUAUCGUAUAUUUAGAGCUCAUUUAAUUGUGUGAUUUAAAAAUAGUUUUUAGUUAUUAAAAAUAAAAAAUUGUUUUUAAUAUCAUUUGACGGUUGUUCUCUGAAAAUGAUUUUUAAAAAUAAAAUGAAAUAAAGAACAAUUUUUAGGAAACAAAUAAAGUUAUUUUCAUAAAUUUUAAAAAAUAAAAAUAAAAUAUGAGUCCGUUUAAUUAUGUUUUUAAAAAUUUGUUUUUAAGUUAAAGAAUAAAAAAUAGUUUUUAAAAACAAAUUUAAAAAACAUGGUAAAAAAAGACUGUUAUACUCUCAUUCAAAUGAUCAAGAUUUUGACUUCAGUUCCAUAUGUUGGUAUAUUAAAAUUUUUCUAUAUUAAAAAAUUUGGAUAUGAAUCAUAUGAUACUAUAAGUUGGUGCCAUGAAUGUUUCCUGAAAAACAAGAAAGGAAGAAGGGGGGAAGCCGGAAAGGUGCGGCGGUGGUGAGAAAAGCGAUGAUAUGAUAUAAUUUUUUGUAUUGCAUCAAAGUUUUCAAUAAAAUUCUAAGCAACCAUGAAAGUUGUUCAUCAUGUACCUGACACUUUGGACCGAGAUGAUGGCUCCUUUUUGGCUUCUAUUUCAUGUCACGUGCCUCGAAUAAUGUUAAAAAUAAAAAAAAUUAAAUAUAUACAUAUUUUAUAUUAUUCCAUAAAGUUGUGUUGAAAAUAUCAAUAUAUGUUAUUUAAAUUAUUCCUUAUUUUAUGUUUUAAGUUUUAAAUUAUUCCUACACCGUUUUGUAAUUUACUUUUUCUCAAAAUAUGUUUUAAGUUUUAACCACCUCGAAAAUCUUAUGUAAAACUUUCAUAAAUGAUUAAAAAAAUUAAUAACAUACAUUAGGUUGAGUGUUUUUUUAAUAAAUAAUUUAAUAAUGAAACCCAUAUAAAAUAAAUGUUAUUUAAAUUAUUCCUUAUUUUAUAUUUUUCUAAAACUCAAUAAAUAAUUUUUUGUAAUGGUAUUUCUCAAAAAGUUUAAACUCCUUAAUUUCAAAUAUUAUUUUUCUAACCAUAAAUCAUCUUUGAAAUAAAUAUUUUAAAAAUGAUAGUUUGAUUUAUCAUUUAAAUGUAAGUGUUUUAUAUAAAUUAUUUUAAAUUAACAUAAAAACUUUUUAGUUAUUAUUUGUUAGAAUUUUCAUAUUCUUUCAAAAGAGUAUAAAGUUCGUGUUAUUAAUUGUAUUUUUUUUCCUAUUAUUAUGCUUUUUAUAUAAUUUUUUUUUAAUUGGAUGAGUAAAAAAAAUAUUUAAAUAUAAAAUCUUAUAAAAAAGAAAUAAAAAUUUAUUAAACAACAAAUAUGAAUUUUUUGCUUUUAUAUUCUUUAUUAUUUAAAGUUUGUUUAUAUAGUUAUUACACCAACAUUGGCCUCACGAUGGAUUGAGCAAAACAUUUUCAAUAACCACUCAAUUAAUAUAAAGGAAAAAGAAAUCUAAAGAAGAGGCAAGAGAAAAGACUGGAGCACAUCCUCUCCACCACAAAACUAAAAAGCAUCUUAUUCAAACAUAAGUUUGUCUUAUCCUAUCCAACGUCAUCAUCCAACCAAGGAAAUGCAUUAUUAUUAUUUUUUUAUUUUUAUUAAAAAAAAAUAGAAAUUAAAGAAGAGACAAGGGAAAGGACAUAUGCAGCCCCCUCCAGGGCCUCCACCACACAACCUUGCCGUGAAGGGUGGUUUUCCCAAAACAGACUGUAAACGGAGCUGACAGCCAAAACUGUCAUAGCAUGGAUGUCAUUGUACUUACAUGGCAUGGAUGUCAUCAUAUGCGUCAUGGAAAUUUAGUUUUAUUUAAUUUUUAUUUAUUUUACUCCUUUUUAAAAUAAAAAAAUUUUGAUUAAAAAAAUUAAAAUUUUAGCUGACAGAGAGAAUUUAAAAAUGUAAAUAACAUACCAUAAAAUAAUAUUAAUAUAGAACAUUAUUCAAUAUAAAUAAAAUGCUUUUAUAUAUCUAAUAGCAUAAUGUAAUGUUUUUUUAUUUAUAAAUUCUAAAUAUUUUAAACACAAAUGUUAUUAUCAAAGAAAUAAAAAAAAUUAUUUACUAAAUUUUCAUUUAUACACUUCAUUUUGUCUAGUUUCAAAAAUAGAAAAUAAUAAUAACUUUACUUUUAAAACUUUACAUUAAAAAACUAAUGAUUUUUUAAAACUAUUUUAAAAAUAAAGGUAUUCAUAAAAAUUUAAUAUCUUAAAUUUAAAAUUUUUUGAAAGUUAUUUUUAAAAUUAUAAACUUGGUCUACACUUUUUGUAUAAGAGGAUUUUUUUUUUUUUAUAAGUUCUUACUAUUUUUUUAAAAUUAAAAAAAAACACCAAGAAGUAUGUCCAAAUGGACAUGAAAUUAUAAAUUAUCAAAUGAUUUUCAAAUAGUUGAGAAAGAUUUUCUAUAUAUAUUGUAGACCUGGUUGGCUGGGGGCCCCAAGGAGCAAGAGAUUGCUUCUUUUUCUUUAGAAAAGUGGGUGAGAUUGGAUAGGGGAGGACGGGAGCAGCUGGGAGAUUGGAGGGGGGAAAAGAAAAUGAUAAGAGAAGGGAAGUGGCAGCAGAUUGGAGGGGGGGUUUUUGGGUAGAAAAAAAAAUAUGGGAAGGAAAAUCUUGAAGAGAGAAAAUGGGCAGCAGCUAGGGGAGAAGAAGGAAACCGGGCAGCACAUGCACUGGAGAGGAAAACCGGGCAGCACAUGCAUUGGAGAGGAAAACCGGGCAGCACAUGCAUUGGAGGAGAUUUUGGGCAGCACAUGCAUUGAAAGAAGAAAAAAAAUCUGGGGACAAGAGAGGAAACCGGGCACCAAAUAGACCUUUCUUCAACCUCUCGGCCUCUCUCUUUGUUUUCCAUCUCCGGGUACUUUCUUUUCUCCACUCCAUGCUUGUUUUUUUUAACUUCUUUUCUAAGCUCAUUGUUGGAUAUAUAGGGUGAGGAUGAUAUGAGUUUAUUUAGGUUCUUAUUAUUGGAGCUUUGUUCUACCAUCUUCACCGCCAACCUGCCACCACUGAUCUUCAACCCGGAAUUUUUUUUAAAAAAAGAGUGAAACCAUCUUUUGAUCUUUGAAUGAAUAUUUUAGGCAAUGGGUUUUGUUGGUGGGCUCCCAAGGCAUUGACUUGUGGGUUUAAAUAGGUUCAUGUGGGCCUUAAGCCCUUUUCUUUUAGUUUGGGCCGGAUGGGUAAUGUUUGUUUGGGUCUCCUAGGUUGGGCUUUGCUGAAGCUGAAGGUUAUUUGGCACUUUUUUUUAUGGGCUUGAGAUGGAGCCCAAGGCUCUUUUAAUGAAUGGACAUGGGCCUUUUUUUUAUGAAUGGACAUGGGCUUGAUGGAGAGAUGGAGCCCAAGGCUCUUUUAAUGAAUGGACAUGGGCCUUUUUUUUAUGAAUGGACAUGGGCUUGAUGGAGAUGGAGCCCAAGGCUCUUUUAAUGAAUGGAGCCCAAAGCUCUUUUAAAGAAUGGACACGGGCUUAUGGACUUGGGCUUGGUGUAGAUGGAGCCCAAAGCUCUUUUAAUGAAUGGAUGUGGGCUUGGUGUAAAUGGAGCGCAGAGCUCUUUUAAUGAAUGGACUUGGGCUUGAUGGAGAUGGAGCCCAAGGCUCUUUUAAUGAAUGGACAUGAGUUUCUUUUAAUGAAUGGACAUGAGUUUCUUUUAAUGAAUGGACAUGGGCUUGAUGGAGAUGGAGCCCAAAGCUCUUUUAAUGAAUGGACUUGGGCUUGAUGGAGAUGGAGGCCAAGACUCUUUUAAUGAAUGAAGCCCAAAGCUCUUUUAAUGAAUGGACUUGGGCUCAUAGACUUGGGCUUAUGAUGGGGAUGGAACCCAAAGCACUUUCAAAAUCUUAUUAUUAUUAUUAGUCUUAUUAUUAUUAUUAUUAUUAAUUCAAACUUUCAAAAUCUUAUUAUUAUUAUUAUUAUUAUUAUUAAUUCAACUUUCAAAAUCUUAUUAUUAUUAUUAUUAUUAAUUCAAACUUUCAAAAUCUUAUUAUUAUUAUUAUUAUUAUUAUUAUUAUUAUUAUUAUUAUUAUUAUUAUUAUUAUUAUUAUUAAUUCAAACUCUCAAAAUCUUAUUAUUAUUAAUUCAACUUUCAAAAUCUUAUUAUUAUUAUUGAUCUUAUUAUUAUUAUUAUUAUUAUUAUUAAUUCAAACUUUCAAAAUCUUAUUAUUAUUAUUAUUACAAAUUCAACUUUCAAAUGUCGAUGUUUUCGCAGUUCAAUUUCCUAAAGUCCAUUUCUCAUUUUCUUUAACAAAUUUCCAUUUAAUCACCGGAGCUCUAAUCUUUUAAAUUUAAUUCCAAAUACUCCAAUUUUCAAAUAAACUACAAGAAUCCAGUUUUCACUCGAAUAGUUUUAAUCCCAUUUCAGUUCCUAAAUAAUCUUCUGAUCUUCUUGAUUUUACAUAAGCAAUAAUGAUUCCUUCAUAAUUCUAAAACACGGGAUUUGUGAGAUUAGCUCAUGAACAAUAAAUUAGGCUUUGUUGGGGGCCCUAUGUUUGAUCCCUUUUGACUGUCAAUUGUUGUGCUUAAUAUAUUUUGCUUGAGCUUCGUUUUGCACUCCGAUAUGCAUGGGCUAUACUUUGUAUUCAUUAAUUGUGCACUAAUCUCGUUUCUUGAUAGCGCAUUGUGGCUCGUGGCCAAGGUACACAUCCACUCCCAUUCUAGUCAAUCUCUAUUGUGUGUUUUGAUUUUCAUAUUAUGCAUGAUUUAGGUGCGUAUCCAUUGACUUUCUCGUUGAUCGUCGCGUCAGUUUCAUUUUAUUAGUAGAGACCCAUUUUAGAGACUUAGAGAGGUGUUAUGGUCUUUACCGUACCUUCCCGAUAAGUAACCUGACCCCCGAACCCGAUCCGGUUUUUCGUAGACCACAUUUUCCAAAAUAAGGAGUCACACUUAGGGUUUUUCUUUCUUAUUUUGUUUACCCUUUAAAAAUAAAACAAAAAUAAGUGUUUCAAUCAAUUAAAUCAUUUUUCAAAUAAAAAUCGAGCUCGCCAUUCGAGUGGGAAACGCAUGAGCCGAAAUGCGAGGUCCACAAUAUAUAUAUAUAGGUUUUUCGUAGACCACAUUUUCCAAAAUAAGGAGUCACACUUAGGGUUUUUCUUUUUUAUUUUAUUUACCCUUUAAAAAUAAAACAAAAAUAAGUGUUUCAAUCAAUUAAAUCAUUUUUCAAAUAAAAAUCGAGCUCACCAUUCGAGUGGGAAACGCAUGAGCCGAAAUGCGAGGUCCACAAUAUAUAUAUAUAUAUUUAUAUAUAUAUAAUAGGAAUGCAAUAUAUUUUUUAUUUUAAAAAAAUGGAUGUUGAGAUGUAAUAAAAUUUCUAUUAUAUUUUUUAUUCCUUUUAUAAAUUAAAUAUAAACAUGCAAUAAAAUAUUAUGUUGGAUUUAAUAUCUAAAAUACCAUUAUCACUUUAGAUAUAGUAUAUUAAGAUUUGAUUAUGUUAUGUCUUAUUUUAUCCAUCAAUUAAAUGCAUCCUCCAUAUUUUAUACCGAUCUUGCACAUGGAAAAGGCAAAAUGGAACUAAUUAGGCCACGUCAUAUAUGUAAUUUAAGUUUUAUCAUGUUAUACACUAGGUCUUUAACUUUGUACCUCAAAUAUGAUUUUAGUACUUUGUACCUUGACCUCAUUCUUGUUAGCAUCUUUAUUCAAAGCUCUAAAUUUUAUCAUAAACUUUGAAUGACUGCUUGGAUUUGAACUUCAAUAGAUGUCAAUUUGGUACCUUAGACCUUUUCGGAUCUUAAAAACAUAAAAGAAAAAUAAAAUUUUAAAUAAUGAAUUUGAAGAAAAAUGAUACCUUUGAUCUUAAUUUGAAGAAAAAAAGAAUGAAAUUGUGUGGACCCCGCAUUUCGGCUCAUGCGUUUCCCACUAGAUGGUGAGCUCAAUUUUCAUUUGAAAAAUGAUUUUUAUUGAUUAAAAAAAUGACUUGGAGUCGCCACUUAUUUUUGUUUUAUUUUUAAAAGGGUAAACAAAAUAAGAAAGAAAACCCUAAGCGCGACUCCUUAUUUGGAAAAGGUGAUCUACGAAAAACCGGAUCGGGCUCGGGGGUCAGGUUACUUAUUGGGAGGGUACGGUAAAGACCAUAGUACUCCUCUAAGUCCCUAAAGCCGGGUCUCUACUAAUACAAUGAAACUGACGUGGCAAUCAACGAGAAAGUCAAUGGAUACUCACCUAAAUCAUGCACAAUAUGAGAAUCAAAAACACGCAAUAGAGAUUGACUAGAAUGGGAGUGGAUGCGUACCUCGGCCACGAGCCACAAUGCGCUAUCAAGAAACGGGAUUAGUGCACAAUUAAUGAAUACAAAACAUAGCUCAUACAUAUCGGAGUGCAAAACGAAGCUCAAGCAAAAUACAGUAAGCACGAUAAUUGACAGUCAAAAGGGAUCAAACAUAGGGCUUCCAACAAAGCCUGAUUUAUUAUUCAUGAGCUAAUCUCACAAAUCACGUGUUUUAGAAUUAUGAAGGAAUCACUAUUGCUUAUGUAAAAUCAAGAAGAUCAAAAGAUUAUUUAGGAACUAAAAUGGGAUUAAAAACUAUUCGAGUGAAAACUGGAUUAUUGGAGCUUGUUUGAAAAUUGGAGUAUUUGGAAUUAAAUUUUAAAUAUUAGAGUUCCGGUGAUUAAAUUGAAAUUUGUUAAAGAAAAUGAGAAACGGACUUUAGGAAAUUGAACUGCGAGACCAUAGACUUUUGAAAGUUGAAUUUAUAAUAAUGAUAGUAAUAAGGUCUUGAGAGUUUGAAUUAAUAAUAAUAAUAAUAAUAAGAUUUCGAAAGUCUGAAUUAAUGAUAAUAAUAAUAAUAAUAAGAUUUUGAAAGUGUGAAUUAAUAAUAAUAAUAAUAAUAAGAUUUUGAGAAUCGAAUUAAUGAAAAUAAUAAUAAUAACAAUAAUAAUAAUAAGAUUUUAAAAGUUGAAUUAAUGAUAAUAAUAAUAAUAAUAUUUUGAAAGUUGGGUUAAUAAUAAUAAUAGUAGGAUUUUGAAAGUUAAAUUAAUAAUAAUGAUAAUAAUAAGAUUUUGAAAGUUGAAUUAAUAGUAAUAAUAAUAAUAAGAUUUUGAGAGUUUGGAUUAAUGAUAAUAAUAAUAAAAAGAUUUUGAAAGUGUGAAUUAAUAAUAAUAAUAAUAAUAAUGAGAUUUUGAGAGUUUAGAUUAAUGAUAAUAAUAAAUAGAUGUUGAAAGUGUGAAUUAAUAAUAAUGAUAAUAAUGAGAUUUUGAAAGUUGGGUUAAUAAUAAUGAUAGUAAUGAGAUUUUUGAAAGUUGGGUUAAUAAUAAUAAUAAUAGGACUUUGAAAGUUUGGAUUAAUGAUAAUAAUAAUAAUAAUAAAUAGAUGUUGAAAGUGUGAAUUAAUAAUAAUGAUAAUAAUGAGAUUUUGAAAGUUGGGUUAAUAAUAAUAAUAGUAAUGAGAUUUUUGAAAGUUGGGUUAGUAAUAAUAACAAUAGGAUUUUGAAAGUUUGGAUUAAUGAUAAUAAUAAUAACAAUAAAUAGAUUUUGAAAGUUGAGUUAAUAAUAAUAAUAAGAUUUUGAGAGUUUGGAUUAAUGAUGAUAAUAAUAAUAAUAAAUAGAUGUUAAAAGUGUGAAUUAAUAAUAAUGAUAAUAAUGAGAUUUUGAAAGUUUGGAUUAAUCAAUAAUAAUAAUAACAAUGAUAAUAAUAAUCAAUAAUAAUAAUAAUAAUAAUAAUAAUAAUAAUAGGCUUGGGUCUGGGCUCCAAAUUCAAACCCAAGCCCAAAGCCAAAACCAAACACAAAAUUGGGCCUAGUGCCUUAUCUCAAGCCCAAACCAAAUCUUCAUCUUCUUCCUAGCUUCUUCACAGCCCAACAGCAUCUUCUCCAUCUGGGCAACUCCUUUAGGAUAUCUCCACCAGCGUCGGGAUGGUGGAGAUGCGUGGCUUUUGAAGCCACGGCACCAGCCGGUGGACGUCUCUGCUAAUGGCGUCGUCGACCAUGCCGCGGGAGCAGUCGAAGAGGACGGCGAGCAGGCCGCCGUCGACAGCCUAGAGAGAGGCGUCCCGAACCGAAGCAGCAACGCCGAACUCCAAAGGUGGCUCCGGCGAGGUCUGUGGGGAAUGGAAGGCUUGCUUGGCUGCUGCCCGCUCCCAGCCACUGAAGAGGACUUGCGCACAUGGAGGUGUGAGUGAUGGUGAUUAUACGGGCAUAGAGAAAGAAAAGGUGGCGAGAAAUGGGAUUGGCGUGGAGAUGGGUAUGGAAAGCUGGGUGAGUGGAAUCAAACGGGUAUUAAAAUCAAGAUAUGCUUACGGGAAUCUCAUGAGGAAUCUGAAACAAUACUAAAUUUAUCUUCAAUAAGAACCAAAUAAAUAAUGAACCUGAACAUGCUAUAACCCCAUCAAACCAUUCUAAAGCUCAGCUGAGAUGCACAUAUGGCAUUGGACUUCUAUUCCCAUUCAACUAAUAGCAUCCAAUAGUCAACAAAGAUAGAGAAGAAAAACAGAUAAGUUGAAACGAAGUGGAAAAAUCCAUAAUAUUCAUACCUGAGGACAUUCUUCUUUUUCCAGAUGGGUUGGCUUCCUUACUGCUCUUUCUCCCCCAAAAGUCUCUCCUCAAAUAUCCUCCAACGACCAGCCCAGAGCUCCUCCUCCGCAGCUGAAAAAAAACUCUCUCCCUAAAACCAGGAAGACCCUUGCCCCUCUGCUGCUGCUCGCCACCUCAAAAUGACCCCCCCCCCCCCCCCCCCCCCCCUCUGCUCACUCUUCCAGAUGGCAGAAAAAGCUCUCUGCUCCUCCUGAAUCCAUCUCUCUCUAGCCGCCAGCCCAGAAAGCUCUGCCUCCCCCCGCAGCUUCAGAGCCCCCCAACCGUUUUUCUUCUCACGGUCUUUUCAUCCCUUUUCUUUUCUCUCUGUCAAGCUUCUAUUGGUUCCUCAAAAGCCCAUCUGAAUCUUCAACAGCCAAUCCGGGAGUGACACGUGGCUGCCUAAGAGCGCGACACUUGGCCAAAAACUAAUUGCAAAAAAUGAUUUAGAUAUAUCCCAAUUUGGGGGUCUACAAAUUGAAAGAGACAACAAUUAAAAUAUGAAUAAGGAAAAUAGGAAAAUGAAAUUUAUUAUAAUUUUUCAUCUUUUUUUGUUUGGUCUUUUAUUUCCUCAAUUUUUUUUUUGUAUUUAAAUAUAAGAAAAUCACAUUCCUUAAUAUUAUUUUCUUAUUUUUUUAAUAUUUUUUAAAAAUCAAACUGUGGACUCGGUAUUUUUCACGUGCGUCCCCAUUCGAUGGCGAGAUUUAUUUGGUGAAAAUUCGAUUUUUUGAAAAAGACUUGGAGUCGUCACUUAGUUUUAUUUUAUUUUUUUAAGGGAAAAACAAAAUAAGAAAUAAAAACCCUAAAUGUGACUCCUAAAUGAAAAACAGGUUUGCGAAAAACCGAAUUUGGGUUCGGGAGUCAGGUUACCUAUUGGAAAUGUAUGGUAAUGAAUUGUAACACCCCUUUAAUCCCGCAUACAUACGGUCUCUACUAAACGAAUUAAGAGAAUUGUGACAAUUAAUUAAUUAAUUAUGUAUACUAAGAAAAAUAACAUAUAAAAUUAUGGUAAAAAUCAAUAUACACAAAAAUAAUGAUGAAAUCUAAUUAAAAGAAUACACAAAAUAAAUGACAAAAGAAUUAUGCAAAAUGAUUUAUUUAAAUAAAUAAGAUAUUAAAAAAAUAUUUUUUUUCAAGAAAUUUCAAAGGAUUUUAUUAAAAACAAUUUUGAAUGAGUGAUUUCAAUUUAUUUAUUUACAAAAAAAAAGUCAAUUUAUUUUCUCAAUUUCAUUUGUAUUCAAUUUUUAGAAAAUUUAUUUACACUUAUUGUAUCAAAAGAAUUUAUUACAAAAUUUCAAUUUUGCAACAAAAAAAAUAUUUUUACUUGUUUUUUUAAAAAAAAGAACUUUUAUAAUUUUAUUUACAAAAGUAUUUGAAUUUGUUUUCAUUUAAGAAAAGUUACUUAUACAAUAUACACACACAUAUAUAUAUAUAUAUAACUUUAUUUGCAAAAGAAUUUUUAAAUAAAAAUUAAAUUUUUGGACAACUUUAUUUACAAAACAAUUUUUGGACAUUUUUUACUAAACAAAGAAUUUUUUAGACAAUGAUUAUUAAAAAACAAAUUUUUAAAUGCUAUUAAAAACAUUUUUUUGGAUUUUUCUAAAAGCAUUUUUCUGAAUUUUUAUUAAUAAUAAAAACUUUCUUUUACUUAGAAGAAUAUUUUAAAAUUAUUAUUUUAUUAAAACAUAUUUACUGAAUUAUUCUUUUUAUUUAAACAAAAUCUCUUAUUUGUUCGAAAUUCGAUUUUGUAAACACUCAAUAAAUAUUUACAAAUAAAUAUUUAUAGAAACUAGUAAAAAUAAAAUCAAAUAAAAUUGGGAAAUAAAACCUGUAUUCAAAUAAGCUUACAACAAGUUCAAUGUCUUCCUAAAACUUUUUUAUUCUCACUUUCUUCCAUGAAAUUUCAUACUCCACGCGUCAUAAAUUUGUACUCAGCCAACAAAAUUGUAGAAUAGACCCAUGCAAAAACAAAAAUAGCCCAAAUGUAAAUAUUCAAAGAUGUACAAAAUCCCAAACAAAUAUUCAAACCAAAAUUUAAAUUUCAAAUUAAUCUUAUAAAUUUCGUUAAUUAAAAUAAGUCCAAAUUACUAUAGGUUUUAGCCUAAAAUAUUCAAAUUAAUAACAAAAAAUACAAACACAAUCAACCAAACCUAAACCGAGAAGGAGAGUACCUCAACCGAGAAGGGAAGGUUACUGGAUGAGAGAAAAUGUUUUUGACACUUCUCGACCAGACCUUGAUCGGACAAGGGCAACCGAUCAACCGGUUCCCUGGUCGGUUGAGCCGGUUGGCCAAUGCCUCGACUGGUUCAGCCUUUUGGCCCCAAAAACCUAUCUUUUUCGGUUCUUUUCCUUUCCAAUACUUACGUAAGGUAUUUAGGUAAAUUAAUAUGUCAAUUUUGAAACGUUUUGCCUAAGGUACAUGUGGACCCCGUAUUUCGGCUCAUGCGUUUCCCACUCGAUGGCGAGCUCGCUUUUUAUUCGAAAAAUGAUUUUAUUGAUUAAGAAAAUGACUUGGAGUCGCCACUUAUUUUUGUUUUAUUUUUAAAAGGGUAAACAAAAUAAGAAAGAAAACCUUAAGCGUGACUCUUUAUUUUGAAAAAGGUGGUCUGUGAAAAACCAGAUCGGGCUCGGGGGUCAGGUUACUUAUCAGGAAGGUACGGUAUAAACCAUAACAUUCCUCUAAAUCCUUAAAGUUGGGUCUCUACUAAUACAAUGAAACUGACGUGGCAAUCAACGAGAAAGUCAAUGGAUACUCACCUAAAUCAUGCACAAUAUGAGAAUCAAAACACGCAAUAGAGAUUGAUUAGAAUGAGAGUGGAUGCGUACCUCGGCCACGAGCCACGAUGUGCUAUCAAGAAAUGAGAUUAGUGCACAAUUAAUGAAUACAAAACAUAGCUCAUGCAUAUCGGAGUGCAAAACGAAGUUCAAGCAAAAUACAUUAAGCACGACAAUUGACAGUCAAAAAGGGAUCAAACAUAGGGCCCCCAAUAAAACCCAAUUUAUUGUUCAUGAGCUAAUCUCACAAAUCCCGUGCUUUAGAAUUAUGAAGGAAUCAUUAUUGCUUAUGUAAAAUCAAGAAGAUCAGAAGAUUAUUUAGGAACUGAAAUGGGAUUAAAACUAUUUGAGUGAAAACUAUAUUAUUGGAGUUUAUUUGAAAAUUGGAGUAUUUGGAAUUAAAUUUAAAAUAUUAGAGCUCCGGUAAUUAAAUUGAAUUUGUUAAAGAAAAUGAGAAACGGACUUUAGGAAAUUGAACUGCGAGACCAUAGACUUUUGAAAGUUGAAUUUGUAAUAAUAAUAAUAAUAAUAAGAUGUUGAAAGUUUGAAUUAAUAAUAAUAAUAAUAAUAAUAAUAAUACUAAUAAGAUUUUGAAAGUUGAAUUAAUAAUAAUAAUAAUAAUAAUAAGAUUUUGAGAGUUUGAAUUAAUAAUAAUAAUAAUAAUAAGAUUUCGAAAGUUCUAAUUAAUGAUAAUAAUAAUAAUAAUAAUAAUAAUAAGAUUUCGAAAGUUUGAAUUAAUAAUAAUAAUAAUAAUAAUAAGAUUUUGAAAGUGUGAAUUAAUAAUAAUAAUAAUAAUAAGAUUUUGAAAGUUGAAUUAAUAAUAAUAAUAAUAAUAAUAAGAUUUUGAGAGUUUGAAUUAAUAAUAAUAAUAAUAAGAUUUUGAAAGUUGAAUUAAUAAUAAUAAUAAUAAUAAGAUUUUGAGAGUUUGAAUUAAUAAUAAUAAUAAUAAGAUUUCGAAAGUUCUAAUUAAUGAUAAUAAUAAUAAUAUAAUAAUAAUAAGAAGAAAUGAACUUUAGGAAAUUAAGUUGCGAGGAUAUAGAUUUUUAAUAAUAAUAAUAAUAAUAAUAAUAAUAAUAAUAAUAAUAAUAAUAAUAAGAAUUAAAAUUAAUAAUAAUAAUAAUAAUAAUUAAAAUUAAUAACAAUAACAAUAUUAAUAUAUGUUAAUAAUAAUAAUAAUAAUAUCUUAUAAUAAUAAUAAUAAUAAUAAGAAUUAAAAUUAAUAAUAAUAAUAAUAAUAAUAAUAAUGAUAAUAAUAAUAAUAAUAAUAAUAAUAUCACUAAUAAUAAUAAUAAUUAAAAUUAAUAACAAUAACAAUAUUAAUAUCCGUUAAUAAUAAUAAUAAUAAUAUCUUAUAAUAAUAAUAAUAAUAAUAAUAAUAAUAAUAUCACUAAUAAUAAUAAUAAUAAUAAUAAUAAUAAUAAUAAUAGCCUUUGGACGUCCACGAUCGGCGUUGCUUCGGACGCCGCUGUCCCCGUGGUGGGAUUUCACCACGCAAAAAAAAACUUCACCACGCGAAGAAAACUGGCCUGGAAUCAUACACAUGCCUGAAAAUCCUCCAGGGCUUCGACCACAAAACACACUGCAUGGAUGGCAGCCUCUCGUCGCUGCUCCGCCCAGAUCAGUACCUCCAAGGCCGCUUCGCCCAAGAACGAAGGAGUCGCAGUUCGGGGACCUGGAGCAUUGCCGACGAGCAUUGAUAGGAAAUCAGCCCGGAAGUCUUUUCUACAACAGGUCAGAGAGCUGACUUCCAUCUUCAAUGUAUGAAGAGUGUCAUCAGAUUAUCCAGUGGCGGGGUUCCAGAGGAUUAGAUAGUUUGGAAUCCCAGUAAGUCCCAGGUUCAAGCUUGGAAAUGGGUCAGUUAUCAAAACCAAAAUUUGUCUUAGAAGUUUUCUCAAUCGCACAAUGAGAGAUAGUGUCAUUUUUCCUUAUAAGGUUAGCAAUCUGCAUGCAUUUUAUGAGGGUGGAUGGAAGGUGCCCCUUUCACAAAGGCACUUCUCCAGUUUCGGUAACUCGGCCAUUGAUGGCCUCAUUCCCACAACCAACAAAGGAGCAAAGCAAUGAACAGAGAGGAGAAACAGCAGAGAACAAAACAUGAUUUUUAUAUAAUAAGAUUCAAGGAUGAAUUCAUACGUUAGGUACUUAUGGAAGGAGUCAAGAAAACCGAAAUAGAGUCAAAUAGAGCACAUACGCAUAUGGACAAAUUCAGCAAAACAAAACAAUAAUCCUUGACACCCAUACCAACCAACAAACCACUCCCAGAAAUCAACAGAAGGAUUUUAGUUAGCAGAACAAUAUCAUAACGUGAAAACAUGAAGUUCACAGAGAUUUUACCUAGAAGUUUUCUCCACGAGCAAGGUAUGUUCGUCUCUCCGCACCUUCCUCAUUUUCCCCUCAUUUUUUCCUCCUUCCUCCCUCUCUGCCAAAGAAAACCCCUUCCCGAAAGUCAACACCUAUUGCGCUAUUCACCACCUCAGCAUCUGUGGAGUCCCAACCACCCCCAUGGCUGCGGUCCUCUUCAUUGCCACGCGCCCCAUGCAUGGAGUUUUCUCUCAGCCGGUCCCCCCACUUAGGAAUGGUAAUUUCACGGGUUUUCCGGGUCACCCGCCUGACCCGCCCCUAUUGGGACGAGUAUAAGAACAUGGCAAUCGGGGAUGGGCCGGGUUCAGGCUUUUUUUAAAAACCUGAAUCGGGUUCGGGGCGGGGUCGGGUGUAGUUAUAAUUUGACCCGCCCCGCCUCGCCCCGCCCCGCCCCGAAUAUGAAAUUACAACUUUGUCCCCCACUUAUAAAUAUUAGCUUCCUCUCCUCAUUUCAGGUCUUCUUCUCUCAGUUCUCGUUCCUGUCUACGCUAGGGUUUUUCCUCCCACUCAAUGCAAAAAUCCAUCAAAUAAUCCAUUCGAAAAUCCAUCAGAUAUUUGCCUCUUCGUAUUCACCAUAUUUGUGGCCUACCAUCCCGGGGUUUUGUGGAGCCGUUUGGACGAUUUCUUUACUAGGUUUCAUCUCAAGGACUACGCUGUUUCGGAGGCAUCGAGGGAUUAUAGGAGGUUGGUGUAUGAGUUUUCAAAGAUGGGUUGUUUGAGAAAAAGGGGCAUGGGGUGUUUGUCACGCUCUGUGCGAUGGCGAUGAUGUUCUCCGCCUGUAUUUAUGGGGUUCUGGGGUGUGACAGCACAUGGGUUCAUAUCGCCAGUGGCACUUUGAUGGGCCUUUUCUGGAUUCAGAGUGGGUGGAUUGGGCACGAUUCUGGGCACUACUAGUGAUGAUGAACAAGCGUUUGAAGUUUGAACCGCUUUGUGCAGGUGUUGAGUGGGAAUUGUUUUGUGGAAUUGGAAGAUGCUGUUGAUGGUCCUGGCGGCAUGGGCCAGCACCCGACCCUGCCUCGCCUCGAGAGGCAUGGGGAUGGGAUCCCAUUAACCCACCCCGCCUCGGGUAUGGGACGGGGAUGGGAAAUAGAUUUAUAUAAUUGAGACGGGAAUGGGGUAGGGGUGGCCCCGCCCAAACCCGCCCCGUUGCCAAUCCUACCCUCAUUCCACCCAGCCAUCCCUCAAUGGUGGCGGGAAAGGCCUGAAAUCAAAAUAGACAUGCAAAGAAAACCCAAAAUCAAAAAAGGGGGUCUACAGUACAUUUGCUAAAACUCGAGUUUUAAUGAAAUUGUAACUUUAAAUAAUAAACCAAGUUUUCCAAAUAUGCAUAAAAAGAUAUAUAAAACCUAAGUGCACCCAUGUAUUCAUCUUACAUUUGUUUUAUAUGAUAAAGUCUUUCAAAUGUCUCAAUCUUAUAUCUAUUUGGUUUUUUGAUGAAUUUAUAAAUUUACACCUAAAAUUCUUUACCAUUCAAAUCAAUUAGUCACUUAACCAUGAUUUGUUAUCAUCAAAACCUGAUUAGGAGAACCCUUGGGCUAACAAUUACAAAUUCGGAAGGUAUCAAAUUUAUACCUUAGGAGUUCCUUUUAUUAAAUAUACAACAAGAGAUGAUAUAUAGAAGCUUAGAAAGUGAAUUAUUUUAGAGAAUGUUAAAAAUUUUGAUACACAAAACACAAAUUACUUAAAUAUAAAAUCGUAUCAAGGAUAAAUAUAAAUUUAUUAAACAAAAACUACAAAGUUUAUGCUUUUAUAUAUAUAUAUAUAUAUGCUGCUAUUGGCUUGAACAUUGGCCUCGCAAUGGACUAAAUAUUUCACUUUGACAAAACUUUUUCGUCCCCACUCAAUUAAUAAAGAAAAAUACACAAUUAAAAUAAAUAAACAAAAGAAAAAAAGAGUUGUGCACCUUCUCCCCACCACACAACUAAUAAAUUCUAUCAUAUUUGACUCAAUGGUGUUAUCCGUACUUCCUAACAUGGGUUGGCAAAAUAUAUUAGGGACUUUUAACAUAGAAAUUAAAGACUAUAUUUUGCUUUGAAAAUAUUAAAUAAAGGAAAAAAUUGUUAAAAAAAAUAAUUUUAUUAUAUUUGGUUUUAUUAUGAAAAAUAUAAUUAAAAUUAGUUAGAAAUUUAUAUAAUUUUUAUAUAAAAAAAUAAGUGAAAUAAGUUUAAAAUAGUAUAUAAAAAUAAUUUAUUUAUUUUUAUUUUUAUUUUUUAAUUUUUUUUCUCUUGCAUUUUAUUUAGAUAAAAAAAAAAAUAAAAAAAGAAGAGAUAAGGAAAAGGAAAGUACAUAUGCACUUUCUUUCUACCAAUGAUGAAAAUAUCGAUAAUUAUGGAUAUAUCGGUAUUUUGAUUUUACGGAUAUAUUAAAAAUAUCGAUGAAUAUUUUUUUUCACAAAUAUGGGUGAAGAGAAACUUAUUUAAAAUUCAUAAAAAUGCUUUAAAAAACUCCAAGAAUUGAUAAAAUAAGUAAGAAUACGUAUUUUAUAUAUAUAUAUUUUAUAUUAUUCCAUAAAGUUGUGUUGAAAAUAUCAAUAUAGUUUUAAAAUUGCUAUUUGGAAGAGUUCAGAUGUGUGGUCUUUUAUAUCACAUCCAGAAAAUUGAGAGGAUGAGUCAUAGAUCACUAUCAAAAUCAUUGUAAAUCACGUGACUCCUUGAUACGUGGCUGGUUGCUGUUGGUUCACCUCUCCUACUUCUCCUACACCGUUUUGUAAUUUACUUUUCCUCAAAAUAUGUUCUAAGUUUUAACCACCUCGAAAAUCGUAUGUAAAACUUUCAUAAAUGAUUUAAAAAAGUAAUAACAUAUAUUAGGUUGAGUGUUUUUUUAAUAAAUAAUUUAAUAAUGAAACCCAUAUAAAAUAAAUGUUAUUUAAAUUAUUCCUUAUUUUAUAUUUUUCUAAAACUCAAUAAAUAAUUUUUUGUAAUGGUAUUUCUCAAAAAGUUUAAACUCCUUAAUUUCAAAUAUUAUUUUUCUAACCAUAAAUCAUCUUUGAAAUAAAUAUUUUAAAAAUGAUAGUUUGAUUUAUCAUUUAAAUGUAAGUGUUUUAUAUAAAUUAUUUUAAAUUAACAUAAAAACUUUUUAGUUAUUAUUUGUUAAAAUUUUCGUAUUCUUUCAAAAGAGGAUAAAGUUCAUGUUAUUAAUUGUAUUUUUUUUUCUUAUUAUUGUGCUUUUUAUAUAAUAAUUUUUUUAAAUUGCAUGAAUAAAAAAAUAUUUAAAUAUAAAAUCUUAUAAAAAAGAAAUAAAAAUUUAUUAAACAACAAAUAUAAAUUUUUUGCUUUUAUAUUCUUUAUUAUUUAAAGUUUGUUUAUAUAGUUAUUGCACCAACAUUGGCAUGACGAUGGAUUGAGCAAAACAUUUCCAAUAACCUCUCAAUUAAUAUAAAGGAAAAGACAUAUUAAAAAGGAGGAAGAGAUCUAAAGAAGAGACAAGAGAAAAGACCGGAGCACAUCCUCUCCACCACAAAACUAAUAAGCAUCUUAUUCAAACAUAAGUUUGUCUUAUUCUAUCCAACGUCAUCAUCCAACCAAGGAAAUGCAUUAUUAUUAUUAUUAUUAUUUUAUUAAAAAAAAUAGAAAUUAAAGAAGAGACAAGGGAAAGGACAUAUGCAACCCCCUCCACCACACAACCUUGCCGUGAAGGGUGGUUUUCCCAAAACAGACUGUAAACGGAGCUUACAGCCAAAACUGUCAUAGCAUGGAUGUCAUUGUACUUACAUGGCAUGGAUGUCAUCAUAAACAUCAUGAAAAUUUAGUUUUAUUUCAUUUUUAUUUAUUUUACUCCUUUUUAAAAUAAAAAAAUUUUGAUUAAAAAAAUUAAAAUUUUAGCUGACAGAGAAUUUAAAAAUGUAUAUAACACACCAUUAAUAAUAUUAAUAUAUAACAUUAUUCAAUAUAAAUAAAAUGCUUUUAUAUAUUUAAUAGCAUAAUGCAAUGUUUUUUAUUUAUAAAUUCUAAAUAUUUUAAACACAAAUGUUAUUAUCAAAGAAAUAAAAAAAAAAUUACUAAAUUUUCAUUUAUACACUUCAUUUUGUCUAGUUUCCAAAAUAGAAAAUAAUAAUAACUUUUUAUAUAAAAUUCAAGAACUUUUAAAACUUUACAUUAAAAAGCUAAUAAUUUUUUAAAACUAUUUAAAAAAAUAAAGGUACUCAUAAAAAUUUAAUAUCUUAAAUUUAAAUUUUUUUGAAAGUUAUUUUUAAAAAUAUAAACUUGGUCUACACUUUUUGUAUAAGAGGAUUUUUUUUUUAGAAGUUCUUACUAUUUUUUUUUAAUUUAAAAAAAAACACCAAGAAGUAUGUUCAAAUGGACAUGAAAUUAUAAAUUAUCAAAUGAUUUUCAAAUAGGACUAAACAUGAGAAAGAUUUUCUAUAUAUAUAAAUAUUUUAUAAUAGGAAUGCAAUAUAUUUUUUAUUUUUAAAAAAAUGGAUGUUGAGAUGUAAUAAAAUUUCUAUAAUAUUUUUUUAUUCCUUUGAUAAAUUAAAUAUAAACAUGCAAUAAAAUAUUAUGUUGGAUUUAAUAUCUAAAAUACCAUUAUCACUUUAGAUAUAAUAUAUCAAGAUUUGAUUAUGUUAUGUCUUAUUUUGUCAUGUUCAACCAAUCAAACUUAAAUUACCUUAUUUAAUGUUUUUAUCCAUCAAUUAAAUGCAUUACAUGGAUAGGCAAAAUGGAACUAAUUAGGCCACGUCAUAUAUGUAAUUUAAGUUUUAUCACAUUAUUUUAGUACUUUGUACCUCAAAUAUGAUUUUAGUAUUUUGUUCCUUGACCUCAUUCUCGUUAGCAUCCUCAAAGCUCUAAAUUUUAUCAUAAACUUUGAAUGACAGCUUGGAUUUGAACUUCAAUAGGUGUCAAUUUGGUACCUUAGACUUUUUCGGACCUUAAAAACAUAAAAGAAAAAUAAAAUUUUAAAUAAUGAAUUUAAAGGAAAAUGAUACCUUUGAUCUUAAUUUGAAGAAAAAGAAUAAAAUUGAAAGAGACAAAAAAUUAAAAUAUGAAGAAGGAAAAUAGGAAAAUGAAAUUUAUUAUCAUUUUUCAUCAUUUUUUGUUUGAUCUUUUAUUUCUUCAUUUUUUUUUUGUAUUUAAAUAUAAGAAAAUCACAUUCCUUAAUAUUAUUUUCUUAUUUCUUUAAUAUUUUUAAAAAAUGAAACUGUGGACUCUGUAUUUUUCACGUGCGUCCUCAUUCGUUGGCGAGAUUCGCUUUAAAUUUAUUUAUUUAGUGAAAAUUUGAUUUUUUGAGAAAGACUUGGAGUUGUCACUUAUUUUUAUUUUAUUUUUUAAGGGAAAAAUAGAAUAAGAAAUAAAAACCCUAAAUGUGACUCUUGAAUGAAAAACAGGUUUAGGAAAAACCGAAUUUGGAUUCGGGGGUUAGGUUACCUAUUGGGAAGGUAUGGUAAUGAGCCGUAGCACCCCUCUAACCCCGUAUACAUACGGUCUCUACCAAACAAAUUAAGAGAAUUGUAACAAUUAAUUAAUUAAUCAUGUAUGCCAAGAAAAAUAACGUAUAAGUCAUGCUAAAAAUCAAUAUACACAAAAAUAAUGAUGAAAUCUAAUUAAAAGAAUACACAAAAUAAAUAACAGGAGAAUUAUACAAAAUGAUUUAUUUAAAUAAAUAAAUAAGAUAUUAAAAAAUAUUUUUUUCAAGAAAUUUUAAAUGAUUUUAUUAAAAAAAAUUUUGAAUGAGUGAUUUCAAUUUAUUUAUUUACAAAAAAGAGUCAAUUUAUUUUCUCAAUUUCAUUUGUAUUCAAUUUUCAGAAAAUUUAUUUACAUUUGUUGUAUUAAAAGAAUUUAUUACAAAAUUUCAAUUUUGAAACAAAAAAAAUAUAUUUUUACUUGCUUUAAAAAAAAAAGAACUUUUACAAUUUUAUUUACAAAAGUAUUUGAAUUUGUUUUCAUUUAAGAAAAGUUAUUUAUACAAAUUAUUAAAUAUAUAUAUAUAUAUAUAUAACUUUAUUUGCAAAAGAAUUUUUAAAUAAAAAUUAAUUUUUUGAACAAUUUUAUUUACAAAACAAUUUUUAGACAUUUUUUACUAAACAAAGAAUUUUUUAGACAAUGAUUAUUAAAAAACAAUUUUUUAAAUGCUAUUAAAAACAUUUUUUUUUAUUUUUCUAAAAGCAUUUUUUUGAAUUUUUAUUAAUAAUAAUAAAAAAACUUUCUUUUACUUAGAAGAAUAUUUUAAAAUUAUUAUUUUAUUAAAACAUAUUUACUGAAUUAUUCUUUUUAUUUAAACAAAAUCUCUUAUUUGUUCGAAAUUCAAUUAUGUAAACACUCAAUAAAUAUUUAUAAAAACUAAUAAAAAUAAAAUCAAAUAAAACUGGGAAAUAAAAUGUGUACCUAAAUAAGCUUACAACAAGUUCAAUGUCUUCCUACAACUUUUUUAUUCUCACUUUCUUUCAUGGAAUUUCGUACUCCACGGGUCAUAAAUUUGCACUUAGCCAACAAAAUUGCAGAAUAGGUACAUGUAAAAACAAAAAUAGCCCAAACGUAAAUAUCCAAAGAUGUACAAAAUCUCAAACAAAUAUUCAAACCAAAAUUUAAAUUUUAAAUUAGUCUCAUAAAUUUCGUUAAUUAAAAUGAACCCAAAUUACUAUAGGUUUUAGCCUAAAAUAUUCAAAUUAAUAACCAAAAAUACAAACACAAUCAACCAAACCUAAACCGGGAAGGAGAGUACCUCAACCGGGAAGGGAAGGUUACUGGAUGAGAGAAAGUGUUUUUGAUACUCCUCGACUAGACCUUGACCGAACAAGGGCAACCGAUCAAUCAGUUUCUUGGUCGGUUGAGUCGGUUGGCCAGUGCCUUGACCGGUUUAGCCUUUUGGCCCAAAAAACCUAUCUUUUUCGGUUCUUUUCCUUUCCAAAACUUAGGCAAGGUCUUUAGGUAAAUUAAUAUGUCAAUUUUGAAAUGUUUUGUCUAAGGUAUAUUUGCUAAAACUCGAGUUUUAAUGAAAUUAUAACUUUAAAGAAUAAAUCGAAUUUUCCAAAGAUCCAUAAAAAGAUAUAUAAAACCUAAGUGCACCCAUGUAUUCAUCUUACAUUUGUUUUCGAUGAUUAAAAGUCUUCCAAAUGUGUCGAUCUUGUAUCCAUUUGAUUUUUUGAUGAAUUUUCAAAUUUACACCUAAGAUUCUUUACUAUUCAAACCAAUUAGUCACUUAACCAUGAUUUGUUAUCAUCAAAACCUAAUUAGGAGAAUCAUUGAGCUAACAAUUACAAAUUCGGAAGGUAUCGAAUUUAUACCUUAGGAGUUCCUUUUAUUAAAUAUACAACAAGAGAUGAUAUAUAGAACAUAGAAAGUGAAUUAUUUUAGGGAAUGUUAAGAAUUUUGAUACACAUAAUACAAAUUACUUAAAUAUAAAAUCGUAUCAAGGAUAAAUAUAAAUUUAUUAAACAAAAACUACAAAGUUUAUGCUUUUAUAUAUAUAUAUGUUGCUAUUGGCUUGAACAUUGGCCUCGCAAUGGACUAAAUAUUUCACUUUGACAAAAGUUUUUCGUGACCACUCAAUUAAUAAAGGAAAAGACACAAUUAAAAUAAAUAAACAAAAGAAAAAAAGAGUUGUGCACCUUCUCCCCACCAUACAACUAAUAAAUUCUAUCAUAUUUGACUCAAUGGUGUUAUCCGUACUUCCCAACAUGGGUUGGCAAAAUAUAUUAGGGACUUUUAACAUAGAAAUUAAAGACUAUAUUUUGCUUUGAAAAUAUUAAAUAAUGGAAAAAAUUGUUAAAAAAGAUAAUUUUAUUAUAUUUGGCUUUAUUAUGAAAAGUGUAAUUAAAAUUAGUUAGAAAUUUAUAUAAUUUUUAUAUAAAAAAAUAAGUAAAAUAAGUUUAAAGUAGUAUAUAAAAAUAAUUUAUUGAUUUUUAAUUUUUUUUUCUCUUGCAUUUUUUUUAGAUAAAAGAAAAAAUAAAGAAAGAAGAGAUAAGGAAAGGGAAAGUAUAUAUGCACUUUCUCUUCACUAAGGAUGAAAAUAUUGGUAAUUAUGGAUAUAUUGGUAUUUUGAUUUUACGGAUAUAUAAAAAAUAUUGGUGAAUAUUUUUUUCACUAAUAUCGUUGAAGCGAAAAUUAUUUAAAAUUCAUAAAAAUGCUUAAAAAAACUCUAAGAAUUGAUAAAAUAAGUAAGAAUCCGUAUUUUAAAGUUAUUUUAUAAAUAUAAUUGAUAUAAAUAUGAUCAAGAAGAAAAAUAUCGGUAGACAGAGAUAUAUCGAUAGAUUUGAUAUUUGAAUUUUAAGAAUAAUAAAUAUAAAUUUUGGAAGUGUAUAAAGUUAAGAAAUAUUUGAUUUUAUUAAAUAAAAACAAUUUAUAUGUAAAUAUAAUGCAUAUGACAUUGCAAUAGUCUUAUUAUUAAAAUGAAAAUCAAUAUGAUUUUAUCAUAUUAUUAUAUAAAGGGAUCCUAUCUUGUUGAAGAUAAUAUUUAUUUUAAAAAUUUUAAAAUAUUUUUUUAUUAAAACAUGUUUUAUUAUAUUUUAAAUAAAAAAUUAAAUUAAUUUAUAUAACAUAUUUUAUUUGAGAUUUAAUUUCUAAAAUUUUAUUAAAAAUAUGUGAUAAUAAUUUUUUCUAUUAACAUUAAUUUAUUUAAAUAAUUAAAAUUAUUAAUAAUUUAUCUUAUCAAAUUAAUUUUAAUUUAUAAAAUAUCAUCGAAAAAAGUCGAAAUUUCGUAGUGAUUUAAUCAAAAUAAUGAUGCAUAAUUAAUAAUUAUUUAUACAGAGGGUGGAAACUUGUUCUCAUGAUUUGUUUCUUUUUAAAUCUCUACUAAAUUUAAAAACCGAAAGGGCCACUCACUUCUCUCACUCGGGCAUCAAGAAGCCCUUAUCUGAAGUUGCCUUCCAGACGAGAGAAUCCCUAAAAAGACCCUGUUUUCCUCUGCCACUCUCAAUCCUCGCAGGUUCUAAUCUAAUCAUGUUAUUUUUUUUUUUUGCAACCCCCGUUUGAUUCCCAAGAAAAUCCAUCCCCAUUCGAUUUCAGGGAAAAUUCAUCCUCGUUUGAUUUUCGAGAAAAUCCAUGCAAAACCCCCAAGGAAAACCAAAAGCAUUGCUAUUUUUUUUUGCUCCCUGUGUUUUCUGGAUAAGUUCUAGGGGUCUUUUUGCUUUUGUGCCAUUCGAUUUAAAUUUCAUGAACCCUAAAUCCACGAUUUUUGAGCCAGGCUGAAAAACACAACCUUUGCCUGCAAAUCAUGAUUAGAUUACUAAAUAGCAUCUUAUGUUUUUGUUCUAAAAAAAAUUGGACAAAUUUUGUAUCCUGUGCGCGGGUCGGGCUGGUUGGAAAUAUCGGGAAAUUUCCCGAAAAAUCGGUAAAAAUACCGAUAAGUACCAAAAUAUCGGCGAUAUUUUCGAAAAUUACCGAAAUUUCCGUCGACCGAUAAUCGGUGACGAAAAAUUUCGACAUUUCAAUCCUUGGUCUCCACCACUCAACUUCACGGUAAAGGGGACCACAUUUGCUUUAUUUAAUGGCAAAUUUUAGAUCAUCUCUAUAAGACUUUUUUCAUUUAUCUCAACAAUUCUUUGAAGUGCUUUGUUAUUUUUUAAUUUCUAUCUUCCGAAAACACAUCUUCUUUGGAUUAUCAUCUGGUAUCAUAGUCAAGUUGAUCAGAUGGUUAUCUCAAUCCAACCUACCAUCCCAUUUUUUGAAGGAAAUGGAUAUGAUACUUGGAGCAUAAAGAUGAGGACUCUUUUUAUCUCCGAAGAUCUGUGGGAGCUUGUGGAUAAGGGUUAUGUAGAAGAGGAAAUUCCAAGAGAUGCUAUGAGAGAUGUACGAAAGAAUGAUGCCAAGGCAUUGUUUUUUAUUCAACAAGCAAUCUCGGAGAGUAUUUUUCCUCAAAUUUCGAAGGCAAUGAAGUCUAAGGAAGCAUGGGACAGUUUGCAAACAAAAUAUCAAAGCACAAGCCUGGUACUUGCAUUAUUGAUUAGUUACAAUGUAUUGAAUUUUUAGAUUCAGUCAAAUAAAGUAAUAUUUAUAUGUUUUGUAAGAUUGGAAUGUGUAAGAUUCAGUCAAAUUUCUUGGGUGCUUCUAACAACAGUGCAGAAUUGAUGAAUUAACUCGGGUUCUGAUUUGAAUUAGGAUGCAGCUCAAGAUGGAGAUGGUAGCCAAACUGACAUCCCUCUCAUGGAUGACUCUGUGUAUGAGGCAGCAGCGAAGGGCGACAUUGAAGCUCUGAAGAAAAUUCCAGAGUCCGAAUUUCAUGCCCAAUUAAGCCCAAAGCAUAACACAAUACUCCAUAUUGCAAGUGAAUUCGGUAAAAUAGAGUGUGUGAAUUGGAUCCUUGAUUUUCCCUCAUCUUCAUCUCUGCUGCGAUGCCCUAAUUUGAAUGAGGACACUCCCCUUCACCUUGCAGCAAGGGAAGGGCAUUUGAAGGUCGUGGAAGCUCUUAUAAAUGCUGCAAGAAAACCUACACUAGAUAUUGAAACUGGGCCUGGACCACAUAAGGUUAUGCUGAGGAUGAAAAAUAAGGGGAAAGACACAGCCUUGCAUGAGGCAGUGCGAUAUGGAAAUCGUGAGGUGGUGAAGUUAUUGAUCAAGGAGGACCCCGAUUUGGUCUAUGGUGCUAAUGAUUCAGGUAUCACUCCUCUUUACAUGGCUGCAGAGGGACGAUUUAGAGCCAUAGUGGAAAUAAUCAUAGAUGAAAGUAAGGAAACUGGUACUUCACCCCCUUACAUUGGCGGACUUUUCUUAAUAGUACGGUAAUUUAAAAAAGUUAUACUUAAAUUAUUGUAGUAGAAGAAGUUAUUACAAAUAUACGGUAGUUUUUGCCACAUAGGAGAGAGGAAAUAGGAGAGAGGAGAGAGGGUGAACGGAUAAAUUUUUUUAAAACCAAAAUCAUCUUUCAAACAAAGGGAACUCGUCUCUUGAAGAGACGAGUUCCAUGAAAAAAAAUAUAUAUAUAUUUUUAAAAAAAUUCCAGAACUCGUCUCUUCAAGAGACGAGUUCCAUGAAAAAAAAAAAAAAAUAUUUUUUAUUAAAAAAAAAUAUUUUUUAUUAAAAAAAAAAAAACAGUUGCUCAAAGGGAACUCGUCUCUUCAAGAGACGAGUUCCCAUGGAAUUUUUUUUUUUUUUAAAAUUACCAAAUUAUAAAAAAAAAAAAAAAAAACAAAAAACAAGCUCAAGGGAACUCGUCUCUUGAAAAAAAAAUAUAUUUUUUUUAAAAAAAUCUCAAAUUAUUUAAAAAAAAAAAAACAUUUUUUUCCUUAAUGGAACUCGUCUCUUCAAGAGACGAGCUCCAUGAAUAUAUAUAUAUAUUGCUUAAGAAAUUCCCAAAUUAUUAAAAAAAAAAAAAUGGCAAUUCCUCAAGGGAACUCGUGGAAAUAUAUAUAUAUAUAUAUAUAUAUAUAUAUAUAUAUAUAUAUAUAUAUAUAUAUUUUAAAAAAUUCCCAAAUUAAAAAAAAAAAAAAGGAUUUCCUCUUCCCAUGGAAAAUUUUUUUUUUUUUAAAUUCCCAAAUAAAAAAAAAAAAAUUUGCUAAAGGGAACUCGUCUCUUCAAGAGACGAGAGACGAGUUCCCAUGGAAAAAAAUAUAUUUUUAUUUAAAAAUAUAAUUUUUAUUUAAAAAAAAAUCCCAAUUUAAAAAAAAAAAAAAAAAAUUCCUCAAGGGAACUCGUCUCUUGAAGAGACGAGUUUCCUUUAGGAAUUUAAAAAAAAUAUAUAUAUAUAUAUAUUUUAAAAAAAUAUAUAUAUAUAUAUAUAUUUUAAAAAAAUAAAAAAUUUCCUAAAGGGAAAUGGGAAAAAAAAAAAAUAUAUUUUUAAAUAUAUUUUUUAUUUAAAAAAAAAAUCCCAAAUUUAAAAAAAAAAAAAAAAAUUCUUAAAGGGAACUCGUCUCUUUAUAUUUUUUUACAUGGGAACUCGUCUCUUGAAGAAACGAGUUCCCUGUUUUUUAUUUUUUUUUAUUAUUAUUUUUUUAAUUUGGGAUUUUUUUUAUAUUUUUUCCCACGAAGAGACGAGUUCCCUUUAGGAAUUUUUUUUUUUAAUUGGAAUAUUUUUUUAAAUAAAAAAUAUAUUUAAAAAAAAAAUAUUUUUUUUCCCAAGGGAACUCGUCUCUUCAAGAGACGAGUUGCCUUUAGGAAUUUUUAUUUUUAUUUUUUUAAAUAUAUAUAUUUUAAAAAAAAAAUAUUUUUUUUUUACAUGGGAACUCGUCUCUUGAAGAGACGAGUUCCCUUUAGGAAUUUUUUAAUUUUAGAUUUUUUUAAAAUAAAAAAUAUAUUUAAAAACAAUAUAUAUUUUUUUUCCCAUGGGAACUCGUCUCUUCAAGAGACGAGUUCCCUUUAGGGAAAUUUUUUUUUUGAUUUAAUUUGGGAUUUUUUUUAAAUAAAAAAUAUAUUUAAAAAAAAAAAAUAUUUUUUUUCCCAUGGAACUCGUCUCUUCAAGAGACGAGUUCCCUUUAGGAAUUUUUUUUUACAUGGGAACUCGUCUCUUCAAGAGACGAUUCCCUUUAGGAAUUUUAAAAUAUAUAUAUAUAUAUAUAUAUAUACCAUAGACACCCAGGACAAGGUCGUGUGCAAUGAAAACAUGAAUUAUGCCAUGAUUCAAAACAAAGAAGAGGGUUAGAAAAUACAAAAGAUAUCCGACAAAGAAAUUUAAAGAGAAGGAACCAAAAACUUGUUAGUUCAUCAUAAGCUUAAAACCGACCACGUAGGCGGUACAAAAUAAAAACAUAAACUUAAAAACAAAGCUUAAUUAAAACUGACCAUGUAGGCGGUACAAGAACAUAAAAUAAAAUGAAAAACAAAACAUAAUUAAAAACCAUCCAUAUAGGAGGUAAUCAAAACAUACUUAUAUUAUACAUAAGGAGAAAUAUCUUACAAUGGACAAGGGUAGAAAAGCUUGAAGAAAGCUUGAAAGCUUGAAGAGGUUACAUGAUGAGAGAGAAAAAAGAGAGAAGGGAGAGCUUCAGCUUGGGAGAGAAAAAUUGAAUGUAAAUUGAACGUGCUUACAAAUGAGAACCGAGCCUCCUUAAAUAGGCAAAAAAGGAAUCUUGAGUAGUAACCAUGAAUAGUAGACCCGUGCUUGAAUAGUGAAUAGUGAACAGUAAAAAGGAACUGUAGCACUAUUGACUUUUGACCCGGAAUCUUGCUUUCGGCUGAAAUGACUGCUGAUCAGUUAAUCAGGGAGGAAUAUAUUCCGAGCGGUGAUCCAUUAGGAGCUGAGUAUCUUGAAUAGUGGAUUUGAACGGUAAAGGGUCAAUCUUUUUACUGCAAAAUAUCUGAUGUAGGGAAUCCGCAGCAAUGAGAUGCCCCAUGUUUUUUGGGUAGGCUUCAAAGUCUCUGCUGAUGACUCUGGCUCUCCAAUGCUUGAUUUGCUUAAUAAUUGGCUCUCCGCAAAUGUCGGUUUGAACUAAGGGACUGGACAGAAGAGUAGGUCUUCUAUUCUGGUAAUGAAGAUUAACAUAGUGUUGUGUUGGAAGAACGUUGCCUCUAGAAAUCCAUUCAGGAGCUUUGCUAAUAAAAAUGGCAUCAACAAACUUCUUGUUUAACUUAAAACCUUGGAUUAAGCUUAGAUUAACCUUUCUGCCAAUAUUGCUAGCUUGACUUGGAUCAGAACAGAUAAGUUGGUAAACCAAUCCAUAAUCAAGAAGCAUUUCAGGAGUUAGGAUUAAAACUUCUCAUUUGAAAGCAAGGUUAAUUGGCUGGUAAUACUGUAGAUCAAUGCAGGCUCUGCUGAUAGUGAAAUUCCUAUUGCAAUUGCAAUUUGGCUUGUUGUCUUGUUGAUGAAGAAGCGGUUCAGUACAAUUUCUGCAAAGUUUUGAGCCAUCAAAUUCCAUCUCCUUGGUUAAAUUUAAUCCUGGAACACUGAGACCAGGAAUUGCUGAGAGAUAAAUGUGCAUAUCCUGAAGAUAAGCCGAAAUAAAAACUUGCUUUUCUUCUGCACUGGACUUGGCUUUUUCACAAAUUAGCUGAUAGAUAUCAUCUAGCUUAAGAGUGGACAAGAUCUCACUCCUUCGGUGAAACAUUCUAAAGAUAAUGCACUCCUGCUCAUCCUUACUUAAUUUCUCAUUCACCAGUUGGGUGAAUGGUUUUUUCUCACUAAUUUCCAGUGGGGAAAAAGGGGCUUGGCUUAUAUCUUUUUUGUGAAAAUUAGCUAUUUCUAGCUUUUUUUUCAAGGGUCCUGCACCUAGCCUGCAAAUCACAAAUACUCUUAUGAACAGAUAAGGGGUUAGUAUCAAAAGUAGAGAAGUUUAAGGGGAUGGGUUCUUCCACCAAAGGUAGAGAACCAGAAAUAUUUCCUUCUUCAACAACAGGGGAGGAAGGAUGCUUAAGAAUAGGAGGAUUAGGAUCAGAAGUAGAUCCCUGAGAUCCCGAAGCAAAAUCAUAAUACAAAGGCUUGAAUUUUUCUGAUAAGACUGAAUGAGGUUUCAUGUAAGAUGAUGAUUUCUUAAAGGAUUGCUUUUCUGUUUUGGGAGCCAUGAUCUUGUGAAUCCUGCAAAAAUUCACGAGUUAGGAAAUCAGGGAUUGAGUUAUUUUCUCCUUUAAUAUACUCAAUUUGAAAAUCAAAAUUGCUUAAAAUAGCUUGCCAUCUAGCAAAAAUAUGUUUAGAAGCUAUAUUUUUAACAUCUUUUUGUAAAACUGAUUUUGCAGAUUUGCAAUCCACUCUUAAUAAAAAUUCCUGAUUCAAAAGAUCGUCUUGAAAUUUUGAAAUGCAUAAAAUGAUGCUUAAAAUUUCCUUUUUGAUGGUGCUGUAAUUGAGUUGGGCAUGGUUCCAAGUUCCAGAAGUGAAUCUAACCAAUAAUUCUUGAUUAUUACUUCUUUGCUUAAGAAUUCCACCAAAACCUAUAUCAGAAGCAUUAGUCUCAACAAUCUUAAAGGCUUUAUGAUCAGCUAAGGCGAGACAUGGUAGGGUUUUGACUCUAGACUUUACUAUUUUAACAAUCUUGGUAUGAUCCUCAUUCCAAGGAACUGGAUUUUUCUUAAGUCUUUGUCUUAAAGGGGCACAUAAUUGGCUUAAAUCUUGUAUGAAAUCUGACACAUAAUUAAGGCUUCCUAAGAAACGUUGCAAUUGUUUCUUAUCCUUAAUCUCAUCAGGGAACUUAUCAGCAAACUCAAUUGAUCUUUGAAUGGGGGUGAAAGUUCCUUGGUGAAUAUGAUGUCCUAGGAAUCUUACUUUAGUUUGAAAGAGGUUAAUCUUAGUGGCUAACAAGCUUAAACCAUUGCUCUUAACAGUCUCAAUAAACCUAUUGAGAUGUUUCUAAUGCUGCUCAACAGAAUCUGAGUAAAUCAAAACAUCAUCAAUGUAAACAAUAAUGAAAUCAGAAAACUGGUUAAAGAUUUCAUUCAUUAUGUUUUGAAACUCAGAAGGUGCAUUCUUAAGGCCAAAGGGCAUUACAUUCCACUCAUAAUGACCAAAUGGGACCACAAAGGCUGUUUUGUACCUAUCUUUUUCUGCAAUCUGGAUUUGCCAAAAUCCUGAUUUCAUGUCAAACUUAGAGAAAACUUUGGACUUCCCUAAUCUUUGAAGGAGGUCUUUUUUAUUUGGGAUAGGAUACCUGAUCCAUCUUAAAACAUCAUUGAGGGGCUUAUAGUUGAUGACUAGUCUAGGUGUUCCUCUUUCAAGUUCAACUUGUUUCUGAACAUAAAAGGCUAAACAACUCCAAGGAGACUUAGACUUUCUUAUCAACUUCUUAUCCAUGAGAUCCUGGAUUUCUUUUUCACAAUAGCCUAACAAAUCCUUGUUCAUUUGGAUUGGUCUUGCUUUAGUGGGAAUAUUUUUCUCACUAAAAUCAGGCUCAUAGGGUAAAUCUACCUCAUGCUGCUUCCUAUGCCAAAAAACAUUAGGAAUGUUAGAACAGACUUCCUUAAUAAUCUUAUUCUUAAGGCUUUCUAUAGCAUCUUGGGUUUUCUUAAUCUUCAGUUGAUCUUCUAUUCUAACCAGAGCAAUCUCUUGUUUUAAGAGAUUAAUAUGAUUUUGCUUAGCCUUAAUCACCUGAUAUUUUAUGGUGUUUAUACUUCUUUCUCCAGGUGGAUUGGCAAAUUCAAACAGAAUUUCCUUAUCUAAAAGCUUAGUUCUUAUACCUUGAUCAUCUACCCACAUAGGAAAGAUGGAGCUUAAGAAAGGGACUCCAAGGAGGACUUUCUCCUUGAGAUCUUUAACAAGAAUGAAGGUUUGCUUAAUGCAAAUGCCUUGGUUACAAAUAUGGGCAUUCGAUAACUUGUACUUGAUAAUAAGCUUUUUACCAUUAGCACCAAAGAGGGCUUGCCUGGUUUUCUCAUAAAAUUGGGUAGGUACAAGACCUUCUUGUAGGCAAUUCAAAGCUGCACCUGAAUCAAUUAAAGCAAUAAUAUCAAGGAUAAAUUUAUUCUUAAUUACUAUAGUAAGGGAGACUUCCCACCUUUGGAAGAUAACUUUACUAAUAGUAUUUAAGUAUGCAUUUAUCUUAUCACUAUUGUCUUGUGAAGAUUCAAGAACUUCUUCAAAGUCUUCCUUUUUAGGACUACUGUGGUAAAAACCUACCCUGUUGAUAUAAUCCUGAGGGAUAGGGAUUUCUGAGCUUGUAGGUUGUCUUAGAUUCUCAAUAUCCUUCUUAUACUGCCCUAUUUCUUCUUGAAGAUCUUUAAUAGUCAGGGCAUUAAGGAUAAUCCUUUUUUCUUGUUUAUCAUCAUGAUCGUUAAAAGGGUUUUGGAUAGAAGGUUCUCUGGUUAGCCUAAUUAGUCCAUUAUCCUUUGCUUUUGGACUAAUAUUCCUUUUAACCAAAAGGAUUCUCCUAUGGGAAGGUUGAGGUGUUUCAGGGAUAACAAGAUUAUCUUUAAUCUUUUGGCUUAUUUUAUCAAUGAAAGCUUGAUCAAUUUGAGGAUUUUCCUGGAAUUUCUUAGAUAAUUCAAAAGGCUUAAACAAAGGCUUAUUAUCAUUCUUAACAAAAGGCUUCUUAAGGUGAUCCUGAAUUUCAAUAAUCUCCUCAACUCUAUUGACUUGAUUUCCAAGGGUUAUGAGAAACAUAUUAGUAUAAUUGAUUUGUUCCAUAAUCCUNNNNNNNNNNNNNNNNNNNNNNNNNNNNNNNNNNNNNNNNNNNNNNNNNNNNNNNNNNNNNNNNNNNNNNNNNNNNNNNNNNNNNNNNNNNNNNNNNNNNNNNNNNNNNNNNNNNNNNNNNNNNNNNNNNNNNNNNNNNNNNNNNNNNNNNNNNNNNNNNNNNNNNNNNNNNNNNNNNNNNNNNNNNNNNNNNNNNNNNNNNNNNNNNNNNNNNNNNNNNNNNNNNNNNNNNNNNNNNNNNNNNNNNNNNNNNNNNNNNNNNNNNNNNNNNNNNNNNNNNNNNNNNNNNNNNNNNNNNNNNNNNNNNNNNNNNNNNNNNNNNNNNNNNNNNNNNNNNNNNNNNNNNNNNNNNNNNNNNNNNNNNNNNNNNNNNNNNNNNNNNNNNNNNNNNNNNNNNNNNNNNNNNNNNNNNNNNNNNNNNNNNNNNNNNNNNNNNNNNNNNNNNNNNNNNNNNNNNNNNNNNNNNNNNNNNNNNNNNNNNNNNNNNNNNNNNNNNNNNNNNNNNNNNNNNNNNNNNNNNNNNNNNNNNNNNNNNNNNNNNNNNNNNNNNNNNNNNNNNNNNNNNNNNNNNNNNNNNNNNNNNNNNNNNNNNNNNNNNNNNNNNNNNNNNNNNNNNNNNNNNNNNNNNNNNNNNNNNNNNNNNNNNNNNNNNNNNNNNNNNNNNNNNNNNNNNNNNNNNNNNNNNNNNNNNNUAUAAGCAAACCUGGUUAUGAUAGAAACAGGACUGUUUCCUGGUUUGAUCUUAAAGCCAUGAGUCUUAAUAUGCAGGACAACGGAAUCUAAGAUGUCUGCAUCUCUUAAUCUAACUGUGAAGUUAGGAUAGCACUGGAAAUAAACUGGGCCAUCAUUCAGUCCAGCUUGGACUGCACCUAUAAUAGAAUCUCGAUAUUCGAGAUGCCUAUUAUCCCUUAGACACAUGACAAUAGCGGUGUUUAAACCUAAUCUUGUCAAAGACUUAGCUGCUACUUGAAUCAUACCAAAGUGUAUGAAAUUAUAGCCAUCUUUCUUAUGCUUUUCAACUGAUCUGUUAUCUAGAAGUCUUAUGACUUGGUCAUCUUGUUCUAAACUGACUGUCAUUUCAGAGGUCUUAAUGGUAUAAUCUGUGAAGAACUUAAAGGUUCCUUUCUUAUAAAUUUCUUGAUUAGACACCUUGGGUAACUUCCAAUCAUCUAAAUCAUUUUGGAUCUUAGGAUAAUUGAUCUCUUCACUGUUUACAACAGUAUCUUGAGAAUCACUGGAUCUCCUAGACAUGGUUCAAAAAAUUGAACUCAUUUUAAGGUUUUUGAUCUAGAGCCUAAUAGCAGAUUGACAAACCUUAUGAGACGUCACCCCAACCCUCUUACAGCCUAACAAACGCCUAUCCACGGCUAACANNNNNNNNNNNNNNNNNNNNNNNNNNNNNNNNNNNNNNNNNNNNNNNNNNNNNNNNNNNNNNNNNNNNNNNNNNNNNNNNNNNNNNNNNNNNNNNNNNNNAUAUAAGUGUUCGGAUUAAAACUAUUUAUCAACCAAAGACAUAACCCAUGAUCUAUUUUCCUACAUCGAAGUUGCAAGAGGCUACCAAAUCCUAUUUCUUCUAUGGCUGCCUUUUGCUUUGGUUCUAAAUUUUCAAUCACUCUAAUAACUCGCUCGGGGGAGCAUCGAGUCUGAAGAUAUAACUGAAAAGAUACACAAACAUCAAACAUGUUUACAUUAAUAUAAUUUCCAACAAAUACAUAAGUAAAGAAAUUAAAUAUUCAUUACAAAUAAAAAUUACCUUUGGAACCACACCCUUUUGAAGUGAAUAUUGUUUUGAACUUUCUUUGGACUUUGCCAUGAAAUUUUCUUUUUCUACUUUUGAAAGUGCAUUCCACUUCUUGCCCAAUUGUUUCCUCAACUACAGUAAUUGGUCACAUAAUUUAAAUUCUAAUGUUAAAAUGUAAUUAUAUUAGACGUAGCAAAAUUACUCCUUACAUCAUCAUUUAUCUUCACUCCUUUGUCCUUCUCUUUCAUCAUGGCUAAUUGAUCGUUACUACAAAACAAUUUCAAACAAAUUUAACAAUAACAACCACAAAAAAUAAAUUAAAAAACAUAUUAUUUUACAUAUUUCUAUUUUCCCUUACUAGUAAUGUAUCCAAGCGCCGAUAGGCCUCUUUGGAUUUCUAAUAACUUCAAGACCAUCGCAUUCGCUCCUAAAAAUUAAAUCAAAGCAUUUAAGUCAAUUUUUAUAAUAUGAUUUCAAAUAUAAUAAAUCAAACAUGCUUUCACCACCACAUUAUCUCAACAUAAGUUUUUUUUCACAUUUCAAUAAAUUUUAUUUUUAUAUCUUACUACAACCAACCAAAUGCCAAUUAAAAUACAAAUACCAUUACAACUACAACUACAACAUCCUCCCUAAAUAUCUUUACAUUUAAAAUGAUGACAAAAUUAACAUACAAAUUUUUUUCAAUGUUCAAUAAUCUAACCACACUCUUUUUCUAUAAUGUAAUCAAUCCAUAAAUCUAACAAAAAACAUGAAAUAUAAUGGACAUAAUAUUGUAAAACACAUAAUUACUACUCACAUUUUUUUCCCUUUAUAUAGAACUCGCCAAAUAAUUAGGAUACAAGCGCCUUUUGAGUAACAAACAAUUGUGUCAUUCUCAGCUUUCUUUUCCUUAGUACUACACGUCCUCUUCUUCUUCUUCCAGCUACGUCUUCAAUUCGGGUUUUUAAACCAUUAAAUUUAGAACCUAAAAACACCCCCUUACACCUCUUAAACAAAAUAUAAAAUAUGAAGAAAACACAUGGGUUAUGAAGAUUCCACUAAAAUUCUCCGUGUGAAAGAACAGAAAUUCUCCUUGUGAAAAAAUGCAGGGGUAGGGGGGAGAGAAAGCAAAAAUUCAGAAAAUUUACAUAAAAUCUUCGAGAAGAAGAAUCUAGCAGAAAAAAUAGCUGACCUGGACAUCGGGAGAAAUGAAGUCUAAGACUCGGAUCUUGGCACUGACCUCGCCCACAAUCCUGAGCUCGCGCUCCUUGAGGGAGACUUCUUUGAUGAGGUCAAGACGUCGACUUGGAGGAGGUUGGCCCGGUUCACGGCAAUGGUGGUCUCCACCCACCUGUGAAGACGUCUUUGAUCCCGGCUGACGGCGAAGGUGGUCUCCACCUAGCUGUGGAGACGUCUUUGAUAAGGUCUGCGACGUCGGCCUCGAAGAGGUUGGCCCGGUUGAAGCCGACCGUGGUCUUCACCCAGCUGUGGACAAUCACUGGAGAGAAAAACGGGAAAAGGGAGAGAAAACAAAGAUGACAGUGGGAAAUGGGUGAGCUAUGGAGGAAGUCGGCAAACAAAGAUGAGGAAGUCGGCAAAUGGGUGAGCUGAGGAAGUCGGCUAUGGAGGAUGCGCGAGACACCCAGCUAUGGAGGGGCGGAAAACGGGUGAGCUGAGGAAGUUGGCUUGGGAAGAGAGCAAGACAGCAAAUUAGGGGGGGGGGGGAAAGGGAAAAAGGAGGAGAGAUGGGGGGAACCGGAGGGGAAGGUACCCAGGAGAAUUUUUUUUUGAAUUUUUUUUCAUUUUGGAUGGCUGAGAUUUAAUCAUUUUCAUCCAAUGGAUGAAAAAAAAUGGAGGCAUGGUACUGAAGGAGGUAUUGUAGAUUUUCCCUAUAUAUAUAUAUAUAUAUAUAUAUAUAUAUAUAUAUAUAUAUAUAUAUAUAUAUAUAUAUAUAUAUAUAGUGUGACACUCCUUUGUAAUUUGUGGCAGAACCAAACUACCCCGCCAUGCAUAUGCAUAGACAACUCAGGGAACCUGCCGUAAACUUAAGCAUGUGGUUAGACCAACCAUAAUUAUGGGGACCAACUGGUUUGGUGGAGUUAAACCUAACCAAACUUCCCCAUUAAGCCACUUGGUUUAACUCAUCAAACUUAAACCAAUCCAAAUCAGCAAAUCCACUUGGUUUCCAAGGAGCAAACUUUUACAGUGUGGGUUUCUUCUACUUGUGCCUACCUACGCUAUCAGUAAUUUCGUUCCACAAGGUAGUCCAGACAAAGAUGUGAACAACUUUAUUGGAUUAGUAACAAACCAGCUGUGCAAAUACCAUUUGAGCUUAGCUCAGGCUUCAGUGAGAAAAUCUCAUCUUUCCCCGAUAGGAUUUUUGAUCUCUCCUCUUUAACAUAGGCUAGGGUGGAAGGAAGCAUUCCCAGCAAGAAUCUUGAUGGUUGGAAUAUCUAAAAGUGGCUACUAAUAAACAAAGGGGUGUGAUCCUUCACAGCAUCUAUAAUCUCUGCUGCCCCAUCAUUCUUAUGGGAUGCUAAAGUAGUGUCUUAUUUAGAUAUGAAACCAAACUGUCUGGCCUGUUGGCAUCCAGCAAAAAGCCAGCUGCAUGAGUCCUAAUUUAUGCAGCAAAAAGCCAGCUGCAUAAAACAUGUUUCCUGAGAAAAUGAAUUCCAAUGACCUAUUCCUGUUUCAUCGUUCAAAGCAAGCUCCAUGGCUCCAACUUCUUUCUUUACUAAUGAUUUGUUUGGAAAACUGGUGCCUAGUGUCGGUGCAUAUUCUACAGAAAGUCUAGUCUGUCAAUUUGUACAAGACAAUUGGCCUAACCUCUUUUCCAAAUUGAUAACCCAUCCAAGGGUGUAACCAAAAAGUACGUUACUUUUUAUUUUUAUUUUUUAUAAAAUCAAUUUUGCACUGAAUUAUCAAUUCUUUUCUUCCGGUCAAUCCACCCACAUAAAACCACAGUGACUCCACUGAGAUAUCUUGUCCACUAAAAAGAAGAGAUUAGAAAAUCUCAUGACUGAUAUUCUUAAAAAAAUAAUGGGUUAAAAAAUGUCUAAUCGACCGGGAAGGGGUUGCAUACCUUGAAGCUGGUACGGGAAUUGUGGUUGAGGGUAUUCCUGGUGAUGAGCAGAGGGGAGUGCGGCCAAGACCAAAGCUGCCGCUAUGGCUUGUGCCAUUUGUUCUGCUAGUGUACUUCUUGUGCCAAUCGAAGCACCGCCAUAAACAUACCAACGGAAGAACAAAAAUAAUAAAAUAAUCGACAUAAAAUUACAUAAAGAAUACAAACAUAUAUAAUUAUUCGUCUCGAAAUAUCUCAUUUUUCCUUAUUAUUUAUAUCUCUAUCUUGAACUACAGACAUUUUUGUUGAGCCCUCUUUCUCCAUCCGUCACCAUGAAUGGUUCUCACAGGCUCAUUUUUCUCAUAACUUUUUCAUUUUAUGAUCUGAAAUAUUUCUUUGUCUAAUUACAGUCAUAUACAAGCUUUGAAAUAUUUUAUAUAUUACUUCUUUUAUACAAAAAAAUAUAUUCUAGUUACGAAUUUCAGAAACCUCCCCGAGGCCAUUAGUUUGUGCCAUUGACUUGGUUGAAGCCCCAUAUGUUAAAAAAAUGAUCUCAACUUUGUUACGAGUCAUUUGACAAAGUGAAAAACACGAUAGAAACCAAUAGUAGCCACUUGCCAGGUCUAUUAAUUCGUCAUUAUUUGCAAGACUUGCUAGUCUUUUAACUUAGUCCCCACUCAAGUCCACAAAUAAAAAUCAUAAUCUCAACUUUGUUAUGAGUUAUCUGACAUAGUGAAAAGUUGGAUAGAAAAAUUGGUAAAAGCAAGAUAGAAUAAUUACUAAAAGUAGGAAAUUGGAGCCAAAAUAUGUGCUCUAAUGGCACAUGUUUGAUACAGUUUGUGCACCAAAGGACACUCAAAUCAUCCAACUAGACCUAAAUCAAUUCUAAGGUCCUAGCUAUAAGUUUAACUUGUAUUUUGGAGAUUUAUCUCAAGUUUGAGGGAAGAAAAGGAUGCAAGUUGAAUCACUUUACAUUUUGAAAGAUCAAGAAAGAGUUAACUGAGGAAAUAAGCUAGUCAAGACUCAUGGAACAUGAGCAAAGGCAAGAUGAGGAUAUCAUGAGUUUGAAAGAUGAAAGAUGACCAUUAUAAAUUAAUAAAGAAGGCAAGAAAACAUGGGAAAUGAGGCAUGAAGCAAGAUUCAACUACAUGGAAAUUUAGAACUCAAAAUCCGAUGGCAACAUAUACUUUGAAUUUGAGGAUAAAUUUGGAGUACUUUCCAAAGUUCAUUUUAGGCAUACUAUAUAUCGUUUCAAAUAUCAGGAAGUUAAAAGUCCAAUGCUUCAAAUAGUGUACAAAUCGGAGUUGAAAUGAAGAAGUUAUGAUCAUUUGAAAACAGUUGCAUAAAGCUAAAGGACCAUUUCGAAAUGAUUUCGAAAUUCGACUUAUGAAUUCGAAAUCCAAUUUGAAAUGACCCCAAUUUCGAAUUCACCCACUUCUAAUUUGAUGUUUUACCUCCUAUACCUUGGGAAUUUCAUCUAGGGCACUCCAUCUGCCUUAAGUGGGUCCCACACAACUAGAAAUCGCCAUUUUAUUAUAUUUUUUUAGUCAUUUUUAGGUAAUUAUAUUGGAAUAAGUGGCCAAUGAGAGUAUGCCACAUGUUAGGUAAUUGAUGAUAUUAUAUAAAUUCUCUUAAUUCUAGAGUUUUAAUUAUCUUGGAUCUUUUUCCAUUAUGGAUUAAGAAAGAAGGCAAGAAAACAUGGGAAAUGAGGCAUGAAGCAAGAUUCAACUGCAUGGAAAUUUAAAACUCAAAAUCCAAUGGCAACAUAUACAUUGAAUUUGAAAAUAAAUUUGGAGUACUUUCCAAAGUCCAUUUUAGGCAUACUAUAUAUCGUUUCAAAUAUCAGGAAGUUAAAAAUCCAAUGCUUCAAACAGUGUACAAAUCGGAGUUGAAAUGAAGAAGUUAUGAUCAUUUGAAAACAGUUGCAUAAAGCUAAAGGACCAUUUCAAAAUGAUUUCGAAAUUCGACUUAUGAAUUCGAAAUCCAAUUUGAAAUGACCCCAAUUUUGAAUUCACCCACUUCUAAUUUGAUAUUUUACCUCCUGUACCUUGGGAAUUUCAUCUAGGGCACUCCAUCUGCCUUAAGUGGGUCCCACACAACUAGAAAUCGCCAUUUUAUUAUAUUUUUUUAGUCAUUUUUAGGUAAUUAUAUUGGAAUAAGUGGCCAAUGAGAAUAUGCCACAUGUUAGGUAAUUGAUGAUAUUAUAUAAAUUCUCUUAGUUCUAGAGUUUUAAUUAUCUUGGAUCUUUUUCCAUUAUAGAUUAAGAAAGAAGGUAAAAAAACAUGGGAAAUGAGGCAUGAAGCAAGAUUCAACUGCUGGAAAUUUAGAACUCAAAAUCCAAUGGCAACAUAUACAUUGAAUUUGAGGAUAAAUUUGGAGCACUUUUCAAAGUCCAUUUUAGGCAUACUAUAUAUCAUUUUAAAGAUUAGGAAGUUAAAAGUCCAAUGAUUCAAGCAAUGUACAAAUUGGAGUUGAAAUGAAGAAGUUAUGAUCAUUUGAAAACAGUUGCAUAAAGCUAAAGGACCAUUUUGAAAUGAUUUCAAGAUUCAACUUAUGAAUUCGAAAUCCAAUUUGAAAUGACCCCAAUUUCGAAUUCACCCACUUCUAAUUUGAUGUUUCACCUCUUGUACCUUGGGAAUUUCAUCUAGGGCACUCCAUUUGCCUUAAGUGGGUCCCACACAACUAGAAAUCACCAUUUUAUUAUAUUUUUUAGUCAUUUUUAGGUAAUUAUAUUGGAAUAAGUGGCCAAUGAGAGUAUGUCACAUGUUAGGUAAUUGAUGAUAUUAUAUAAAUUCUCUUAGCUAUAGGGUUUUAAUCAUCUUAGAUUUUUUUCGGAAGAGUUUGACAUUGGAGGUGGAAGAAGACGAGAACUUUGAUUUGUUUUCUUUUCUUCUUUAUUAAAUAUAUUGUUUUUAGUUUCUUCUAAUUCAAAUUGUGGGUUUUUACCCUAUUGUGGAUUGUGAAUGUAACAUCACCCUCAUGAGAGGCUAAGAAGUCAACUUGGGGCUUGAAGCAUGAAAACCUAAAGGCUAGGAAACCUACAAGGACAAUGGGUGAAUUAUUAUAACAAUGAAACUAAUUAUUGGUUGGGUGACAAUUUAUCAAUUUUUUUUUAUCUUAUCAUUGUGAGUUAGUUUAUGUAAUGAUACAGUAGGUUAUUACCCGAUAUUAGUGAUUCUUGGUAACUCUUGAUCAUUAGUUAUCCUCCUCUUUCCUAUCGUUAUUUGCCCCAAAACAAAGCUAUAAGGAUAAGGAAGAGUUAAAAAGCCAAAUCUUGAGCCGGUAAUCAAUCUCAUCCAUUUGAUGGUUUUAGGAAUUUGUUUUAAAAGAAAAAUUGGGCUUCAGAUGGACUUUUGAGUAUAGAAUUCAAGUUGAUUGUGAGCAGCCUAGGAUCCCAAAACCCUAAGAUCAUAUUACUUAAAGGACCCUUGAUUUCUCUAAUUUCUAUACCCUAAGUUGGAUUGUGGAAAGCCCCAAAAUUGAAUCACUUGAAUUUAAAAUCAAUAUUCAUUUUGUUAUUAAUUUAAUUUCUUUUACUUAGUUUCACAUUAUUUACAUAUUGUUUUCCACUUUAGGAUUCAAACAAAAGCAAUUCAUUUACCCUAGUAUUGACAAAUCCCAUAAGCCAGUCCUUGAGGAUGAUACCCAAAAUACUACAAAAGCCGUUGUAGUUUUUUUUUUUUUUUUUGAUCUUUCUUAACCAAAGUACUACAUAGCCACUUGCCAAGUCUAUUACUCGUUACUUGCAAGACUUGCUAGUCUUUUAAGUUAGUCCUUGCUCUAGUCCACAAAUAAAAAUUAUCAUUAAUCACUCAACCACAUCCUAUUUCACUUCAUGCAAUAUUUUUAGUAAUUUUCUUUUGUUUUUUUGGUGUUAUCUUUUUAAAAAAAUUAUUAUAUAAAUAUGAAGAAUUGUUAGAAAAUAAAAUAGAGGAAGAAAAGAAAUAGAGAAGUAGAGUUAUGCAAGAACUUUGAAAGUUGUAUCUUUCAUUCAUUGAAGUCUCCUAUUUAUAGGAGUUGGAAAAUCAAAAUUAAAUAUGGUAUUUAAUUUUUUUGCAAAGAAUAUAAAAAAUCUCCAUAGAUAGUUGUGAGGUCAUUUACAAAUUUCUAUAUAUAUUUAUAACACUCCCCUUUGAAUGAUCAUCACUAUUGAAAAGAAUUAGGUAAACAUUGAUUGUUAGAACUACCUUGUUAAAAACCUUGUAAGUAAAACCCAAUAGGACAAAAUCUAGAUGAAAGAAAAAUGAGUACAGUAUGCUAACAUUCUAUGAUGAUGCUCCCCCUCAUGAUGACGUGAUUGUGCUGCCUUUAAUGGUUCAGUGUUAAGAUCUUUGAGUUAACGCAUUUCAAUUUAAUAUAUGAACUUCUUGAAUGUCAUAGCAGGAAGGGAUUUUGUGAAUAAGUUGACAAGAUUAUCAUUUGAUCUUAUUUGUUGAACAUUGAUUUCACGUCUCUUUUGAAGCUCAUGUGUAUAGAAGAACUUUGGAGAAAUAUGCUUAGUUCAAUCAUCUUUAAUAUAUCCUCCUUUGGUUUAUGCAAUACAUGCAACAUUGUCUUUAUGUAAUAUUGUCAGAGUAUCUUUGAUAUAGGAUAAUUCACAAAAGUCUUGUAUAUGCUUUAUCAUAUAUCUCAAUCACACACAUUCAUGACUGGCUUCAUGAAAUAUUGCUAGUAUUUUUGAAUGAUUUGAGGAAGUGACAACCAUUGUUUGCUUAAUCGAUUUCCAUAAUAUUGCAACAUUUCUGUAAGUAAAAACAUAUCUUGUUUGAGAUCGAACUUUAUGAGGAUUUGAAAGAUCUCCUGUAUCUACAUACCUAAUCAAUUGCGAUUUUGAUUCAUUUAAAUAACAUAAGCUCAUGUCACUUGUCCCCAUGAAGGUAUCACAAUAUAUGUUUAGUCUUAUUUCAAUAUCUUGUAAUUGUGGCAGGAUUGUAUCUUGCUAGCAAAUUGACAAAGAAUGUUAAGUUUGGUCUAGUACAAUUUGCAAUAUACAUUAAUUCACUAAUUGCAUUGAGAUAUGAUACUUCUGGACUAAGUAAUUGUUCAUUUUUUUCUAUAGGUUGAAAUGGGUCUUUGUUCACUUCAAGUGAAUGAACAACCAUGGGAAAAUUGAGUGGAUGAAAUUUGUCCAUAUAAAAGCGCUUUAAUACUUUCUUUUUAUAUAUCAACUAAUGGACUAAUAAGCCAUUUGAACAAUGCUUGAUCUACAGGUUAAGACAAUAUCUUAUUUUUCCCAGAUCUUUUAUUUCAAAUUUCUUCUUUAAAUAAUUGGCUCUUUUGUGAGAUCUUUAGGAGUUUCUUUCUUUUAGAAUAUUUUCACUAAGGCGAUCGUACCAUAUAUGCUCGAAUUGCUUCAAUCCAUAUAAGGAUUGUUGUAGCUUGAUUGAGUACAUGCUAUAAGGUUUUAAAUCAUUUGCUUCAAACAUUUUAAAUUCUUUAAGAAUUUCACACAUUUGAGAUUUUAAUUUAUUUCCUUCAAGGUAUUUUCAUGUAUAUGUCAUUAUUCAUAGAUCCAUUUAAAGAACUUAGAGCUACAUUAAGAAAAUAUGUAUGAAGUCCUUAAGGGCAAUUGUGUUAUUAAGAGAGCUAAUACAUGGUUUUUUUUUUCUAGAAACCACAUGCUAUAAGUAACGUUGAUGUCUCGUGAUAUUAACUUUUUUUUAUAGCAUUUUAAUACAAAUACUCAUUUUAUCCAAUAGGAUUUAAACUUUAUGUUCUUUUAUUUUUACGUCUUUAGGCAUUGGACUUUGGGUCUAAUAACUAGUCUGCCACUUUGAACAAGUCAACGCCCAAACUCCAUUUCGAAAUUGAGAGGUUUCCAAGAUGUAACCAACCAAGACAUUAUAAAAAGGAAUAAAUAAAUAAAUAAAUAAAAAUGGAAAAACCAUGCUUGAUCUUGGAGCAUUGAAUCAAUGCUUUUACUUCCAGUCAACCCUCCCAGAUAUCUUCUCAACGUGAAAAAAGGGAUUGUCUCCCAAAAAGGCCCAGUUUAGCUGUUAGCCAACUUUAUAACCAUGAUGACAUAAAAAAAGCAGCUGUGCAAAUACAAUUUGAACUUAGCUCAGGCUUCAGUGAGAAAAUCCCAUCUUUCCCCGAUAGUAUUUUUGAUCUCUCCUCUUUAACAUAGGCCAGGGUGGAAGGAAGCAUUCCCAGCAAGAAUCUUGAAAGGGGUGUGAUCCUUCACAGCAUCUAUAAUCUCUGCUGCCCCAUCAUUCUUAUGGGAUGCUAAAGUAGUGUCUUAUUUAGAUAUGAAACCAAACUGUCUGGCCUGUUGGCAUCCAGCAAAAAGCCAGCUGCAUGAGUCCUAAUUUAUGCAGCAAAAAGCCAGCUGCAUAAAACAUGUUUCCUGAGAAAAUGAAUUCCAAUGACCUAUUCCUGUUUCAUCGUUCAAAGCAAGCUCCAUGGCUCCAACUUCUUUCUUUACUAAUGAUUUGUUUGGAAAACUGGUGCCUAGUGUCGGUGCAUAUUCUGUUAUAUUUAUAUAAAUAUAUAUAUAUUGUUGGUUAAAAAAUAAAGUGUAAGAAGAGUUACACUUUUGAAAAUAACUUUUGGAAAAUAAAGUGUAAGAAGGGUUACACUUUUAAUGUGUGAAUUAAACACAUGAUUAAGUUUUGAAAUGUUACAAAACUUGAAAGGUUGAGGAAGACAAUGAGUCUUCUCAUCUUUGUAACUUUAUAAACUUAAGAGGUUAAGUGUAAGAGAGUUACACAUUUGAGAUUAAAUCAUGUUUAAUGUGUGAAUUAAACAUAUGAUUUAAUUUUGAAUGUUACAAAGAUGAAGAGGUUGAGGAAGACAAUGAGUCUUCUCAUCUUUGUAACUUUAUAAACUUAAGAGGUUAAGUGUAAGAGAGUUACACAUUUGAGAUUAAAUCAUGUUUAAUGUGUGAAUUAAACAUAUGAUUUAAUUUUGAAUGUUAUAAAGAUGAAGAGAUUGAGGAAGACAAUGAGUUUUUUCUCAUCCUUGUAACCUUUUUUCAACCCUAAGAGUGCUAUAUAUAUGACUUUUCUUCUUUUUGAAAUCUCAUGCAGAAAAGUGAAAAGGCUUGAUCAAUCCCAAGACUAUUUCCAUUUAGUUCCCAAAAGAUUUCUAGAGGUGGGAGGAAAUAGAGUCUUUGGACAAAGUUCCAAGAACUUGUUUGAGCCUUUCUUGUGUUCUUCUUCUUCUUGUUCUUAUUUUGUAUCUAAGAGAGUUUUAUUGUAUCAAAGUGAGUGUGUGAGAGUGUUUCCUUUCUCCAUUGUAUCCAAAUUUUUUCAAUAUAUUCUACAGAAAGUCUAGUCUGUCAAUUUGUACAAGACAAUUGGCCUAACCUCUUUUCCAAAUUGAUAACCCAUCCAAGGGUGUAACCAAAAAGUACGUUACUUUUUAUUUUUAUUUUUUAUAAAAUCAAUUUUGCACUGAAUUAUCAAUUCUUUUCUUCCGGUCAAUCCACCCACGUAAAAUCACAGUGACUCCACUGAGAUAUCUUGUCAACUAAAAAGAAGAGAUUAGAAAAUCUCAUGACUGAUAUUCUUAAAAAAAUAAUGGGCUAAAAAAUGUCUAAUCGACCGGGAAGGGGUUGCAUACCUUGAAGCUGGUGCGGGAAUUGUGGUUGAGGGUGUUCCUGGUGAUGAGCAGAGGGGAGUGCGGCCAAGACCAAAGCUGCCGCUCUAGCUUGUGCCAUUUUUUCUGCUAGUGUACUUCUUGUGCCAAUCGAAGUACCGAGAUAAACAUACCAACGGAAGAACAAAAAAUUAAAAUAAUCGACACAUAAAAUUACAUAAAGUUUCAUAAACAACAUUUCGUUUUGCGAUAAACAAUAUUAUAGAGAAUAAAGACGUAUAUUUGCUCUCAAAAUAUCUCAUUUUUCCUUAUUAUUUAUAUCUCUACCUUGAACUACGAACAUUUUUGUUGAGCCCUCUUUCUCCAUCUAUCACCAUGAAUGGUUCUCAUUGACUCAUUUUUCUCAUAACUUUUUUAUUUUAUGAUUUAAAAUAUUUCUUUGUCUAAUUACAAUCAUAUACAAGCUUUGAAAUAUUUUAUAUAUUAUUUCUUUUAUACAAAAAAAUAUAUUCUAGUUACGAAUUUGAGAAACCUCCCCAAGGCCAUUAGUUUUUGCCAUUGACUUGGUUGAAGCCCCAUAUGUUAAAAAAAAAUGAUCUCAACUUUGUUAUGAGUUGUCUGAGAAAGUGAAAAACACUAUAGAAACCAGUAGUAGCCACUUGCCAAGUCUAUUAAUUCGUCAUUACUUGCAAGACCUGCUAGUCUUUUAACUUAGUCCCCGCUCAAGUCCACAAAUAAAAAUCAUAAUCUCAACUUUGUUAUGAGUCAUUUGACAUAGUGAAAAGUUGGAUAGAAAAAUUGGUAAAAGCAAGAUAGAAUAAUUACUAAAAGUAGAUGAUUGGAGCCAAAAUAUGUGCUCUAAUGGCACGUAUUCGAUAUGAUUUGUGCACCAAAGGACACUCAAAUCACCCAACAUAACCUAAAUCGAUUCUAAGGCCCUAGCCAUGAGUUUAACUUGUAUUUUGGAGAUUUAUCUCAAGUUCAAGGGAAGAAAAGGGUGCAAGUUGAAUCACUUUAGAUUUUGAAAGAUCAAGAAAUGGUUAAAUGAGGAAAUAAGCGAAUCAAGACUCAUGGACCAUGAGGAAAAGCAAGACAAAUAUAUCAUGAGUUUGGAGAAGAGAGAUGACUAUUAUGGAGUAAGAAAUAAGGCAAGAAAACAUGGGAAAUGAGGCAUGAAACCAGAUUCAACUGCAUGGAAAUUUAUCCUCAAAAUCUCGUGCUAACAUAUACUUUGACUUUGAGGAUAAAUUUGGAGUACUUUUUGGAGUACUUUUUGAAGUCCAUUUUAGGCAUACUAUAUAUGAUUUCAAAGAUCAGGAAGUUAGAAGUCUAACACUUUAAACGAUGUACAAAUCAGAGCUGAAAUGAAGAAGUUAUGACUAUUUAAAGACAACUACAUAAAGCUAAAGGACCAUUUCAAAAUGAUUUCAAAAUUCGACUUAUGAAUUCGAAAUCCAAUUCGAAAUGACCCCAAUUUUGAAUUCACCCACUGCUAAUUUGAUGUUUUGCCUCCUCCACCUUAGGAAUUUCAUCUAAGGCACUUCAUCUGCCUUAAGUGUGUCCCAUACAAGUAUAAAUCACCAUUUUAUUAUUUUUUUAGUCAUUUUAGGCAAUUAUAUUGGAAUAAGUAGCUAAUGAGAGUAUGCCACAUGUUAGGUAAUUGUUAAUAUUAUAUAAACUCUCUUAGUUCUUGGGUUUUAAUCAUCUUGGAAUUUUUUUUUUCCGAAGAGUUUGACAUUGGAAGUGGAAGAAGACGAGAACUUUGGUUUGUUUUCUUUUCUUUUUUAUUAAAUAUAUUGUUUUUAAUUUCUUCUAAUUCAAAUUAUGGAUUUUUACCCUAUUGUGGAUUGUGAAUGUGAUAUCACCCCCAUGGGAGGCUAAGAAGCCAACUCUGGGGCUUGAAACAUGAAAACCUAAGGGCUAGGGAACUUAUAGGGACAAUGGAUAAAUUAUUAUAACAAUGAGACUAAUUAUUGGUUGGGUGGCAAUUUAUCAAUUUUUUUUUAUCCUAUCCUUGUGAGUUAGUUUAGGGAAUGAUACAGUAGGGUUAUUACCUGAUAUUAGUGAUUCUUGGUAACUCUUGAUCAUUAGUUAUCGUUGUCUUCCCUAUCAUUAUUUGCCCCAAAACAAAGUUAUAUGGAGUAGGAAGAGUUAAAAAGAAAAAUCUUAAACCGGUAAUCAAUCUCAUUCAUUUUAUGGUCUUAGGAAUUUGUUUUAAAAAAGAAAAAUUAGGCUUUUAAUGCAACUUUGAGUUAUAGAAUUCAAGUUGUUCACGAGUGGCCAAAGAUCCCAAAACCUUAAGAUCAUAUUACUUAAAAGACCUUUAUUUUCUCUAAUUUCUAUACCCUAAGUUGGAUUGUGGAAAGCCCCAAACUUGAAUCAAUCGAAUUUAAAAUCAAUAUUCAUUUUGUUAUUAAUUUAAUUUCUUUUACUUAGUUUCACAUUAUUCACAUAUCGUUUUCCAAUUUAGGAUUCAAACAAAAGCAAUUCAUUUACGUUAGUAUUGACAAAUCCCAUAAGUCAGUCCCUAAGGACGAUACUCAGAAUACUACAAAAGCCGUAGUAUUUUUUUUUUUUUCUAAUCUUUCUUGACCAGAGCUACUAUAUAUUAGGCUUAAGUAUUUUGGUACAACAGAGAAGAUUGGUCAACAAGAUAGAUAAAUUAGUAGUAGCCACUUGCCAAGUCUAUUCCUCAUUACUUACAAGACUUGCCAAGUCUUUUAAGUCAAUCCUUGCUCAAGUCCACAAAUAAAAAUUAGCAUUAAUUCCUCAACCACAUUCCAUUUCACUUCAUGCAAUAUUUUUGGUAAUUUUCUUUUGUUUUUUUAGUAUUAUCUUUUUAAAAAAAUUAUUAUAUAAAUAUGGAGAAUUGUUAGAAAAGAAAAUAGAGGAAGAAAAGAAAUAGAGAAGCAAAGUUAUGCAAGAACUUUGAAAGUUGUAUCUUUCAUUCAUUUAAGUCUCCUAUUUAUAGGAGUUGGAGAAUCAAAAUUAAAUAUGGUAUUUAAUUUUUUUGCAAAGAAUAUAGAAAAUCUCUAUAGAUAGUUGUGAGGUCAUUUACAAAUUUCUAUAUAUAUUUAUAACACUUCCCCUUGAAUGAUCAUCACUACUGAAAAGAAUUAGGUAGACAUUGAUUGUUAAAACUAUCUUAUCAAAAACCAAGUAAAACCCAAUAGGGCAAAAUCUAGAUGAAAGAAAAUGAGUACAGUAUGCUAACAUUCUAUGAUGAUGCUCCCCCUCAUGAUGACGUGAUUGCGUUGUCAAUGGCUCAGUGUUAAGAUCUUUGAGUUAACGCAUUUCAAUUUGAUAUAUGAACUUCUUGAAUGUCAUAGUAGGUAGGGCUUUUGUGAAUAAGUUGAAAAGAUUAUCAUUUGAUCUUAUUUGUUGAACAUUGAUUUUAUGUCUCUUUUAAAGCUCAUGUGUAUAAAAGAAAUUUGGAGAAAUAUGCUUAGUUCGAUCAUCUUUAAUAUAUCCUUCUUUGAUUUAUGCAAUACACACAACAUUGUUUUCAUGUAAUAUUGUCAGAGUAUCUUUGAUAGAGGAUAAUUCACAGAACUCUCAUUUAUGCUUUAUCAUAUAUCUCAAUCAUACACAUUCAUGACUGACUUCAUGAAUUGCUAGUAUUUUUGAAUGAUUUGAGGAAGUGAUGACCAUUGUUUACUUAAUCGAUCUCCAUAAUAUUGCAGCAUUUUGCAAGUAAAAACAUAUCCUAUUUGAGAUCAAUCUUUAUGAGAAUUUGAAUGAUAUCCUGUAUCUACAUACCCAAUCAAUUGCGAUUUUGAUUCCUUUGAAUAACAUAAGCCCAUGUCACUUGGCCCAUGAAGGUAUCACAAUAUAUGUUUAAUCCUAUUUCAAUAUCUUGUAAUUGUGGCAGGAUUGUAUCUUGAUACCAAAUUGAUAGAAAAUGUUAUGUCUGGCCUAGUACAAUUUGCAAUAUACAUUAAUGCACCAUUUGCAUUGAGAUAUGAUACUUCUGGACUAAGUAAUUGUUCAUUUUCUUCUUUAGGUUGAAACGGGUCUUUGUUCGCUUCAAGUGAAUGAAUAACCAUGGGGGAAUUGAGUGGAUGGAAUUUGUCCAGAUAAAAGCGCUUUAAUACUUUCUCUUUAUAUAUCGAUUGAUGAACUAAUAAGCAAUUUAAACAAUGCUUGAUUUGCAGGUCAAGACAAUAUCUUAUUUUUCCCAGAUCUUUUAAUUCAAAUUUCUUCUUUAAAUAAUUGGCUAUUUUGUGAGAUCUUUAAGAGUUCCCUUCUUUUAGAAGAUUUUCACUAAGGCGAUUGUACCACAUAUACUCGAAUUACUUCAAUUUAUAUAAGGAUCAUUGUAACUUGAUUGAGUACAUGCUAUAAGGGUUUAAAUAAUUUGCUUCAAACAUUUUAAAUUCUUCAAGAAUUUCACACAUUUGAGAUUUUAAUUAUUUCCUUCACACGUUCAAAAUCCUUCAGGGAUUUUCAUGUAUAUGUCAUUAUUCAUAGAUCCAUUUAAAGAACUUAAAGCUACAUUUAGAAAAUAUGUAUGAAGUCCUUCAAGGUAAUUGAGCUAUUAAGAGAGCAAAUACAUGGUUUUUUCUAGAAACUAGAAUGCCAUAAGUAACAUUUGAUGUCUCGUGAUCUUAUUUUUCAUAGCAUUUUAAUACAAAUACUCAUUUUAUCCAAUAGGAUUUAAACUUUAUGUUCUUUUAUUUUUACGUCUUUAGGUGUUGGACUUCAGGUCUUAAUAUUUCUCGUUUUGGUAACAAGUUUAGAUAUGUUUGGAUUACUUCCUUUCCACUUUCACUACUAGUUUGUACCUUUUUUCAAUUGUGAUUCUCAUUAUUUUUAAUGAUAUUAAGUCACUUUGAAAAGGAGAUAUUAUCUUGAUCCCAUUUUAUAUGACCUAUGGAGAUCUCACUCUUUUUAGGUACAUAUGCCUCUUUAGGGGCUAUUGUCAUUUUAAGAACCAUCUUCCAUUUCAAGGGAUGUUGCAUAACUUGUUGACUUAUGUGUACAAAAAACUAAAAAGCCAUUGAGAAUAAAUUUUGGUCUUUGGCUUGUUAAAGUUAGUCGGAUUGGUUUUAAAUUCUUUGACUUUUUUUAAUACUAAUUAAAAUGGUUUUUGAGUUUCAAAUUAAUAUUUUUAAAAAUAAGAGAAUUUUAUGUAUCAAGUGUCAGUUAUGGUUGAAUCUAUUUGUUUAAAAAUAAAUUAGAAAAGUUAGAUAAAAUUAAGAAACACAUGCGGAAUUCAAAAAGGGGUGAAAAAUCAAUAAAGAAAAUAUAUAUAUAUAUAUUCUCUUUUAUUUAUUUAUUUAUUUUUAAUCUGUCCGUGUGCUCCUCUUUUAUUUUUAAAAUAAAACUAUCAUAAGCAUGAGAUACAACAUGAGGUAUGUGAAAUAAAAAUAAAAAUGAAGAAACAGACUUAAAGUUACUUAUAAACUAUGCGAGAUACAAACAACGGAUAUAGCUCUAUCAAACUCCUCCAGGCUGUUGGGUCUCCAUAUUUUACAGAAAAUGAAAAGUCCGUUUGGUAGGGUUCUAUGAAGUGUUUUUGGUAAUUUUUUAACACUUAAAAUUUUUUAUUUUUAAGUAUUAGAAAUACUAAAAAUACUUUUUAAAAUUACUGUGGAGCAAUGUAGAAGUCUAAUAACUAGUCUGCCACUUUGAACAAGUCAACGGCCAAACUCCAUUUCGAAACUUGGUAGGUUUCCAAGAUGUAACCAACCAAUACGUUAUAAAAAGGAAUAAAUAAAUAAAAAUGGAAAAACCAUGCUUGAUCUUGGAGCAUUGAAUCAAUGCUUUUACUUCCAGUCAACCCACCCAGAUAUCUUCUCAACGUGAAAAAAGGGAUUGUAAAACUCCCAGCUCUCUCUGGUUUACCAAAAAGGGCCCAGUCCAGUUGUUAGCCAACUCUAUAACCAUGAUGACAUAAAAAGAUCCCAUUGGUGAUUUGUUUUCCCUCAUUUUUAUUUGUUCUUUUUUUAGUGGAGUUGGACUAGAAUUUAACUCAAGUUCACAAAUUCAAGUCAUCGCUGGAAUACAUUUGAACAGCUUUUUGUGCUUUUCCCCAAUUGAGAGGGAGGCACUCAUUUUAAAUAGACAAGAAGCAGUUCGUUUCCUGAUGAGACAAUCCAAUCCCCAUUAAUGGAGAUGCCAAUCUUUAGCUUGAGAUUACAGUGGUGGGUUUUGCUUGUUAACCUUGUCAUUUGCAUUAGUUCGCAGACGUUGGAAUCACUUUCCAGCACCAACUUUUGGAAAUGAAACCGAUAAGCUUGCAUUGCUCACCAUCAAGAAUUAUUUGGUUGACGUUCCGAAUGGAGUUAUGAGUUCCUGGAAUGACUCACUGCAUUUCUGUCAGUGGCAGGGGGUUACAUGCAGUCGCCGACGUCAGAGGGUCACAGCCUUGAGGUUGGAGGGUCAGAGCUUAGCUGGUUCCUUACCUCCUAUUGGGAACUUAACAUUCCUGAGAGAGUUGGUGUUGUCCAACAAUAACUUGCAGGGUUCUAUCCCCACUGACAUUGGUCUUUUGCGACGAAUGCAGCAUCUCAAUCUCAGCACAAAUUCUCUCCAAGGUGAGAUUCCCAUUGAGCUGACCAACUGUUCAAACCUCAAGACUGUGGACUUAACAAGGAACAAUCUGACCGGGCAGAUUCCCUUGCACGUUGGCCAUAUGUUGAAACUCCUACUUCUAUGGCUUGGUGCCAACGAUCUAACAGGGGUUGUCCCAUUUACUUUGGGAAACCUGUCAUCUCUUCAACAUCUGUCCGUUGCGUACAAUCAUUUGGAGGGAAAUAUUCCACAUGAAUUAGGUCGUUUGAAGAGCUUGAAAUAUUUAUAUUUGGAUGUAAAUAACCUAUCUGGUAUGAUUCUUCCCUCACUCUAUAAUUGGUCAUCUCCCAUUGAAUUUUUUGUAUCUGGCAACAUUCUAACUGGAAAUUUUACUCCAAACAUGAGGUUUAAUUUUCCUCAACUCCGCAAGUUUGGCAUAGCAGGGAAUCAGUUUACCGGAGUAAUUCCAGAUACACUAUCCAAUAUUUCAGGACUUGAACAUUUGGAUCUAGGUAACAAUUAUCUAACUGGCCAAGUCCCUGAUAGCUUAGGAGUGCUCAAGGAUCUCUAUUGAUUGAACUUUGAAUUAAAUAAUUUAGGAAGGGGCAUGCCGGGCGAUUUAAAUUUUCUAUCUUCUUUGCCCAAUAUCAGCAGUUUAAGACUUAUCAAUCUACAGGCCAAUAAUUUCGGGGCGUGUUACCCAUCUCCAUUGUUAAUCGCUCAACCCAACUGGAGAAGCUUAUCAUAGGAGACAACAAAAUAUCUGGAAGCAUCCCAAAAGAGAUUGGAAACCUGAUCAGCUUAACUGUUUUCAGUGCAAUGCGGAAUAAUCUCACUGGUGCCAUUCCCACUUCAAUUGGCAAGCUUCAGAAUUUAAGAGUAUUCGAGUUAAAUUGGAACAGGCUAUCAGGUCUGCUCCCAUCCACCCUCUGCAACUCAAGUCAACUAUACUACCUUGACAUGGGCUACAACAAUUUGGAAGGGAACAUUCCUACAUCUCUCAGGAACUGCCAAAAUAUGGAAAUUCUUUUCCUCGAUCACAAUAAGUUGAAUGGUAGUGUACCUGAAAAUGUCAUUGACCAUUUCAAUCAGUUGAGAUCACUCUACCUACAGCAAAACACACUCACCGGUUCUCUUCCAGCAGAUUUUGGUCAACUGAAAAAUCUAAAUCAGUUACUUGUUUCUGACAACAACUUGUCAGGGGAAAUCCCCAGGGAACUUGGCAGCUGUUCGGUAUUAGAGUAUCUUGACAUGGCAAGAAACUCCUUCCAGGGAAACAUCCCCCUGUCCUUUAGCUCUUUGGGAGGAAUUCAAAUCCUAGAUCUUUCGUGCAACAACUUGUCUGGAAUGAUUCCCAAAGAACUACAACAUCUUUCCGCUUUGCUGAGUUUAAAUCUGUCUUAUAGCUACAUUGAAGGUGAGGUUCCAAGUGGAGGAGUUUUUAAAAAUGUGAGUGGGAUUUCAAUCACUGGGAACAAGAAGCUUUGUGGGGGAAUCCCUCAACUUCAGCUGCCAGCUUGUUCUGAUGUAGAGUCAGCAAAGCAUGGCAAGGGGAAGCAUCUUUCAACCAAAAUUGUUAUAGCCAUAAGCAUUACUGGUGUUUCUUGCCCGGCUUUCAUAGUGGCUUCAGUUCUCCUCUAUGGGAGAAAAAAGGCAGUAAUGAAGUCUUCUUCCACUUUUUUAAGAUAUGGGUACUUGAGGGUUUCUUACAAAGAGCUCCUCAAGGCAACUAGUGGAUUUGCUUAUUCCAUCUUGAUUGGCAUGGGAAGUUUUGGUUCCGUGUACAAAGGAAUUCUAAGUCGAGGCGAAAGACCUGUUGCAGUGAAGGUACUGAACCUUCAACAGCGUGGAGCUGCCAAGAGUUUCAUGGCUGAGUGCAAGGUCCUCAGGAAUAUUCAGCAACGGAAUCUGCUUCGAAUCAUAACUUCAUGUUCAAGUGUGGACAACAAAGGUUGUGAUUUUAAGGCUCUAGUAUUUGAGUUCAUGCCUAAUGGAAACCUAGAUAGCUGGCUGCAUCAUGAAUCCAGAAAUUUAAGCUUCAGACAAAGAUUGGAUAUCGCAAUUGAUGUGGCUAAUGCUCUGGAUUAUCUUCAUCACCAAUGCCAGACACCAAUUGUUCAUGGGGAUCUAAAGCCAAGCAAUGUUC
This 88815-nucleotide long non-coding RNA is filed under the name Vitis vinifera (wine grape). RNAcentral's name for it is "long non-coding RNA (VVIN_LNC001531)". The record is from RNAcentral. Lineage: Eukaryota; Viridiplantae; Streptophyta; Magnoliopsida; Vitales; Vitaceae.